Molecule: long non-coding RNA, 90955 nt
Filed under: Hordeum vulgare
Lineage: Eukaryota; Viridiplantae; Streptophyta; Magnoliopsida; Poales; Poaceae
Source: RNAcentral
GUAAAUAUCGCCUUUAAAGGGCUAUGUCUAUAGACAGUUCUAACAGAGAACGUAGUAAGCGGAAGGAAUGAGUGCCUUGAUCGCCCUCUUGCUUUUUGUCAAUGGAUCAUGAACAUUUUCUAUUUGUUUUAUUGAUUCAUGCGAAAUGAAAUAUGAAUAUUCGAGUGCUUAGGAAGUAGUUGGCGCGUACUAUAGAUACGCGAAAGAGUACCUGUAUCCUUGCAGGAUUUGGUUUGAAGGUUUGAGUCAGUACGGUGAAGCAUUGAAGGAAUCGAAUGGAAAAAGAGCUUAAAAUAAGGGAUUUUUAAGCUCCGUAAGUACUAACUAGAUGCGCAGGGCAUCAGAGGCUUACUCAAAUGGAACAUACGAAUCCAACCUUGCUUGACUCCAUUUUUCAUACUUGCCCUCGGGAUCAGUGGUAGAUUCGUAACGUUAUUACUCAUGGGUAGCAGAUGAUGGAUCCAUUUCUGUUGAAGCAGUGGAGUGAAGAGGAGGGUUGGGUCCCGCCUCACAACGAGCCCGGGUAGAUAGAUAGGUAGAUAGUAGAUAGUGGCUGGUGGUUUCGGGAUCCCGUAGAAAAUGCGUCUUUUAUGCCUCGGGUAUUAGCCACAGCUCGUAUUCAUUCAGUAAUUCUACCCCUUCUUCAUUCUUAGACCUCACUUCUGAAUAUUUUGACUCUUCCAAGCUGUGUCUUAGGAACCUUUUCAAUACGGUCCGGAUUGCUAGCUCCCGUUCAUAGUUCUGCUACAGACGAUACACGAGGAAGAUUUUUAUGGCGGUUCUUCCUUCUAAUUACAGGCAUAUCUAUGACUUUUUUUACCAGAUGAAGCAGGAGGCAUCGGUCCGUAGAACCUAUAAAAAAGAGAUGGUUGUGGCGCGAAGUACUCUUGUGCACCUACGUCAUCGGCUCACGCGCAACCCCGCCCCGUUAUGUUAUGUUAUGGAAGAAUUUAGCUUCUUGCUGGGCUGGUUAUUCAGAGCCAGCAACUGGCUGCCGGAUUUCAUCCCGUCCGUAGCGCUUUGGAAGUCACUCUGGCGUGGCGCUGCUGGAUACUUCUGAUCAAUAGGAAUAAGAGGGAAAAAGCUUAUGAUGAGCAUCUAUUGGAGUCGGUCAUUUGCAAGAUCUAAUUCUAGUUUCUUAUUAUGUAGUGGAAACGCCUCACAAUCUUCAGUUUUACGCUUACGCUUAAGGGAAGAAAUAUUCUUGGUGGAUGCAGGCCCUGGUACCCCAAAAAUUUGUAUGCAAGAUGAGCUUACAGGACUGGCAAUCAAGCGAGCCACCAGGUUUGAGAAUAAGGUGGGAUCCAAGAAUGUAGUGGCUGGUGAAUCACUGAUCAAAAAGCAGAUUUUUGAGAGAUUCUUCAUCGAUCUAGUGGCCGGUGAAUCACUGAUCAAAGAGCGAGCAGCCGCCAGGUUUAAUGAUUUUGUGGGAUCCCUGGAUGUAGCGGUUGGCGAACCGCUUCUUCUUCCACAAAGAUUCAGACAAAACCGAGCUUGGAUAGAACUGAAGAAGAUUUGGCGAACGAAGAAAAAGGUCAAAGGGUUUAUUAUAAAAAAUCAAAGGAGGUUAUUCAGUAGCCAUCACGGGUUUCAUUACUUUUCUUCCAUUCAAAAAAGCUCUUCUAAAAAAAGGAUAGCGAAUGAUCGAUUCACCAUUGAUAGCAUUAACCCUAAAAGGAGGGAUAUUGUGAUAAUAGCGGCAGAUCAAACAAGAACUUGAUGAAAAGAUAGAAAAAAAUAUGAAAAAUCCGAAGCCCACCUUAAUCCAUUUUGUUGAGGAUCUUGCACUUAUUCUGGCCCUAUAUUUACAUAGCCAAGAAAGGCUCUAGCGAUCAUGCGUGACUGGCAGAGCGCCUAUCCUGAGUAAUUACUAAUAGCAUGUGAUAGCUGCGGGCGAUGAUGGACUGAUGCCAUGCUAUUCAGGUACCUGACAACGCUGGCUCCGACGGUGAUGAGUCUGACGGUGGCUCAGAUGUUUCUCUUCCCGAUCCUUCAAGGUCCCCCGUUCCUGACAUCGUCCAAAGGCCGUUGGCGCUCUCCCAUCUGACAAUGCGGGCUCUGCGUGUCGCCUAUGGAAACACUACCCGAGUGGUCUAUUGCAUAGUGGAUCCGCGGGUACCCCGUCGCUGCUUCAUUUUUAUCAACAUCCGGUAAGCAGAACGGACAGAGAACUGUCCCGAUUUCUCGUAAUGCCAGGCCCAAAAGUCCUCCAUCCGCAUAGCAGCAAAAGUAGGCAUUUCUUUGAUACUUACUCACCUGUGGCUAGAUUUACCACCAUUCGAGUACUACUAUCACGGGCUGCCUCACACGAUCUUCUUGUUCAUUAGAUGGGCAGACAUCUUUCCUUAAUGCGGAGUUGGAUGAGGAAAUUUACAUGGAGUAGCCAGAUCAAGAGUACCCGCGCAUUCGCCUAACCCCGGGUUUUUUCGAUCAAAAUGAAGAUUUUUGAGAAAAGAAGCCCAAAAAGCAUCUGACCUUGAAAAGAAUCACCAGUUACUUGAUCCAUCCCUGCGGUAAGUGGGAACGAAUGUGACAGCCGAUGGUAGUAGGAUUUCCACAGGUUGAGCUCCUUAUCUUUUGACUUUUCUAAGGAUAGCCGAGUAGAUAUACUACAAUGGGAUGAAUCGAGCACGAGAAAUCACUAGGCACAGGGGAGCCGUAAGGAAGAGGAGUAAUAUUGUUAUAAAGUUCAUGAAUUCGAUUCAUUUUGGAAUCGAUAAGUGAACACGGAAUCUCGUCUUGUUCCCCUUGGUUCCGAGUCGAUUUCGCUUGUCGAAAUCAUUCAAUCCAUAAGUUUUUGUUUUUUCGAUCGGAAUUUGGGUCAGCUGAACACUUAUUUUCUCUUUCAAAAGUGGUGAUGGUGUGGGUAAAUUCAAUCGAUAUCUUGUUUCCCUUUCCGAUGCAAAUAUCGGGGAAAUCAGUGAUGAAUUGUUAGAAAGAGGGUUGAGCUAUAAAAUCUAUAAAAUGGAGCUUGAUCGGUAGCUUCGGCCUCCCAGACCCAAAUUAAGUUACCAACACGGAAUGACAUUUUCAACCUGACUUCCUGUUUGUCAUUGGAAAGAACGGAAGAGCAUUGUAUUCCUCCUAGGAAAUAAUACAACAUGUCAAAAUAAGAACGGAGAAGAUUCGUUGAUACAGAGCUGGUCCAUUUUACAAGCGAUCCCCUAUUCUGCAUCCCGAAGAUCAUACGGCCCAGAGCCAAAGCGAUCAUUACAGAUAUAUAGGGACAGCAAGAAUCAGUAAAUACCGGGGAUACCUUACUAAGAAUUUCCUAGAUCUUGAGUUAGGCGUAGCUACUUCCUCCCCCCAUGUUCUCCUGAUUCCCCAUCCUUCCGCUGAAGCUAAACCAGUAUCAGUUGAUGGCGAGCAUAGUAGAGGCGGCUUUAUCGUUAAAAAAACAACCGACUUUCGAGUAAUAAAUAACUUAUAGAAGCACUUGAGCGUGGUUUCGGCCUAUAGCCGGAGGAAAUGUUUUUAAAAAUUGACCCGAUUUUGGGCAUUCGUAGAGGGGAAAGACAACCAUGCGAUAAGAGAGGGAGAGGUCUGUCUUCCCAAAGUAGCCAUUCAAGGAGACAAGUUCUACCAUUGUACCCUGACCUGUGGAACUGGAGAAGCUCCUUUAUUGCUAUAGUUCUUGUUGAACCUUUUCUAAAGUCAACAAUUUCUGCAAUCAGGGAGGAGGCAUCGCCUUACUUGCUAUACCUUAAACCUUAUCAAGAAAGUAAGCCCAACGAAACCGCAAUCCCAAUCAAAUAAAAGAUUAGACGGGCUGAUCCCUGAGAUCGAUCACUGUUAAUUUUCUAGUUUUUUAGCUGACUUGGGACCUUCCAUAGAAAACCGAGUACGAGCAACGGUCGGGUCUGCUGCCCCUUCCUUCUCAGCAUACAACUGCAGAUUGGAUAAAUGGUUUAUCUUCGAAUGUAUGCUACAAGAAAUGGGCUGAACCGAUCUACAGGGAAUGCAAUAGCGAAAAGAAUUCCACUCUAUCUUAGAUUUUUGUAUCCUUUUCAAGGGCCAACCCUGUCCAAGGUGGCAUCCGUAUGGGCCUAUUGAUCUUGACCUCUUCAGUUGUGCAGGCACAAAUAUGAACUGGUCUAAGUUUGUUCUUGACGAUCCCCACAAGCUUCUCUUAUCUACUUGAAUGCAAAUCAGAAAAGAGGAAGUCGCAAUGCAUUUUGUUUUUCUAAAGAAUAAAAGACACGUGGAUGGUAUCGAUCAAGAGACAUGGCUAAAGGAUGGAAGUGAAUUAGAAUCAGACGGUCGUCGAACGAAUUCCCAAUAAAUGGAAGAUCUACGUGCAACGAAUUUCGUAUAAAAAGUAAAGUAGGCGAUUUCACCAAGAGGCCUAUUGAACUAGCUCCCAUGCAUGGAUCUGCAUUGUGUGCUUUCGCCGGGGCGAGAGUGAAAAAGAAAUGUACCAAGAGUUCCGUAUGAAUUAGGUUUGCCUUUCCAAAGAAAUGAGAUAAGGAGCAGUAAGGCCUGGUGGCUCUGCCUCAGCCGUUGCCUUGCCUUGCAGAGCGUCAACACCGACACAUUGUAGAGCAACGUCUUGCAACUAUGUACAAAGCCUCCAUUCCCCUGGGUGUCGUGUUUGAAAGCACAGUCUUUGUCAUAAACCGAUUACCCUCCACUCCAAAUGGCUCUACCAAGGAUCCCACAAAGUUCCCGAAACCAAGUUUCUCAGAAAAGGCCUCGUAUCCAUCUACUCACAAUAAUUUGAAUGUAGAACUGAAGAAGCACAAUUUCCUUCUUCGAGAGGAAUCCAACCGAAGAGAAGCGAGCAUCAUAAUAGCUGGAUAAAAAGAUAUUUAGUAUAAGAGGACGUUCGCGUCAAUUAUCACGCCUCUGACUGCUGAGGACGAGGUUCGGGUUAAUGAUAUUGUGAAAGGUGUCAUUAAACCGGGUCUGCCUGUGUUAGUUACGAGGUAUAUGCCAUGGAUCUCAUCUAUUCCCCUUAAACAAGGGAUAACGUGGGUUCCGACCUGGAAUCUAGACCCCCAAUUAUAGUGUGUUUAAAGAGAUCGGAGGAACUCUUCCUCGGUCUCUGUAUCCAAAGAUACUGGCAAUUAGAGCUUCAAGUGUUCGGUUCUACUCUCCGUUUUACUCAUAGUAAGGGAGAGAAGUUCAGUCCACUUGCUCUUUGGCCGCAUCGGUUGAGGUUUGCUCUGUUCAGCUCAGUUACAGAAGAGAUGGUAUCUUGCUUGUUUCAAUUAUCCGGGCUCGCCAUCAAUAGAUACUGGUUUCUCUUCCGCUUUGGCCCAAUUGACCCACUUAUCUUACAAAGAGCGAAGCCACUAACAAAUACUUAUAGAGGGAUUGUACCAACCUUAGCUAGGGAGAUAAAGGCCCUGCUCAAUGUAAAAAAAGGAUCUGGAAAAGAAGAUAGGAAUGGGGCACCAAGGAAGGAUUGUAGGUAGGGAUGCCCUUAGAUCCGUUCUCAAUAGCUUGUGAUAAGGCAAGAAAGCUAGUAGAUACCCUACCCUCGCAUUAAAGCAUCGAUCUAGUCCUCUAUUAGAGAUGAAUUUCCUGUUGGAAAUCGAGGUACAUACUCCAAAAAUCCCUAGUUUUUGCCUUCGGUUAGCAACUCGUCUAAGUUUAAGAUCGUAUUCCAUCUUCGUAAGGACAUAGAAAGGGGUUUCGGUAGUGACUGUCCUAUCAAUAGACCGAAUGGUCAUCAGUUGCCCUCAUGGCCUAACGCCGUUUUUGAGCUCCAUCACAUGCUUAAGAAGGACUUGCCACGGAGCCAAGGCCUAUUUAUGAGCCAGACCUAGAAGAUCACUGCUUUCGUGCUGGUCAUUCUAAUCACAAUGAGAACUUCUCCCAAAGAGGGUUCUUAUUUCAUUUCAGUAAGUAGUCGAUUGAAUCGGUUUCUAACCUAAGGAAUGUGUUAUUAUAACCAAAUAUAUCAUCCAAGAGACGAUCUCUUUUUCAUUAAGUAUCAUUAACAGACCGCUUGCUUACGAGCUUGGUAGCCGCCUUGGAGCCGAGGUAGGCGGAGGAACCUCUCGAACCUGGAAUCCACUUUCCACUUGUCCUUCAUAUGCUCGGGUCUGCUGUUUGACCAGUAUCUACUGCUAUUUCUUACUUCGACCAGACGGGCACUUUCGCAUUACGCAGUGAGAUCGCCUACUCCUCUCGAGGUUGGCAUUUUCUAGUUCAUAUUUCAUAGGUCACCAUAAAAAUUCCUACCUUUGAAAUUAGCAUAUUUUUAGGAACAUAUCGAACUUUCAUCCCGCAUUAUCUGUGCAAAAUUUUAUCAUUGUUUAACUACUUCCUCAAACCAUUCAAUGCGCUAUCUCCAUCCUCUCAUUCAUCUCUAUACCAGAACAAUUAAUUAGGCCCAACCCUUCUAUCAUCGGCCUUGUUGAACUAAUUACUUUCGUCUUUGUGCCACCUCAAAGAAGACAUUUGAUCAUGGGCUUUUUUUUGUGAUGAGGCUAGUUUGAACUAUGCUUUUUCUCCUUUCUACACCCCUCUUGACACAAGUUUCGCACAUCCAAUUCUCUUAUUAGAAACUCCCUAUAGAUAUACUUCUUACUGACUGAUUAUGGCUUCCCUGACUAGAGAAGGAAAUGUCGGGAGGAAAUAGAGAUCAUAGGACCACCUGAAUGCUGGAGAUGAGUGCUCGUCGUAUUCCCUCGAGGAAAGCGGAGGCCCUCGCGGAAAGAUCAAAGAAAAUGAAAAGCACAGCCGCCUCUACCUAGAGCAAAGAAGCUUUGCUAGUCUUAUCACCGGAUUCACCAUAAUCAGCUUUAAGGUCCUGACUCUCAAAUCGGAUAUCUCUUUAGUUCACACGAAUUUUAUAUUAUUUAUGAUUGGUGAUUUGAAAUUCUUUUUAUUUACUAUUUUGAUGGAAUUCAUGAACGAGUAGAUCAAAGAAAAGAAAGCAAAUCAUUCACUCCUAAACUAAAGAACUAAUCUACUGAGCUAGCCUCCCGUUAUGCGCCAAUGCUUGAACAGGACCGUUGACCUUUACCAAGCCAGUUUCCUGUAGUUGACCAAUACAGUUCGACCGAUUGAGACAGCAGGGAGGAUGUGACCGAUAGAUUUGAAGAAGGAACUCAUUUUUUACUGAUUCAGACCGUUUACCAGAAGAGCGGUAUGGUUCAGAAGAGGUACUCAUAAUACAUAUAUGGUUUAACGAAUUGCCAUAUUGAUUACCAAUUCAGUAAGCCUACCUAUACCUCCUCAGGUUCCAGCCUACCUGCUCAACCUGCGGACCCAGUACAGCAGCCCUUGACCCCUGGUCCUGAUCCACUAACUCCAGCACCUUCUACUUCCACUGAUCCGACAGCAUCAGCCCCCAUUUCAUCAUCUCAAUCCACUCAUCCUACGAUUACUCGCACACGGGAUAAUACUCGCAAGCCUCACGCCUUUCCCGAUCACGUUGUCAACAUGGCUACCUUUCAUCCUUGGCCUCUUGAGUCCUCACCAACUAAGCCCACGUGUUUCUCUAUGGCCAAUAAAUGUUCCAUUUGGCGUUCAGUUAUUUGCAUAAACUUAAUGCUUGCAGAAAAGUGUUGAUUAUAAAUAAGUAUAUGAACAAUUUACUAUACAAGCAAAUCUUUGCUUGUUGUCAUCGCAAGCAAGUAGGUAACGCAGAUUUCAAUUUGCAGUCAAUAUAAUAAAUGUACGAGGCGAAGAUAUAGGAGGUAUGAAACAAACAUAAUGUCAGUACAUGUCAAUCACACUCAAGGAUAGAUAAUUUAGCGUUCCAUCACAACAUAAACUAAAAACAAAUGAAGAAUAUAGCUAAUAAAUAAGUAAAAACGACGCUCGGCAAGCACAGUUUGCUGCGAUCGUGCCAGCGGCAUCACCGAUUGGUUGCACGGAUGUGGUCACAACAGGCAGUAAAACCCUUAUUAUAGCAGUUAGAGGAGUGGUUUAAUACAUGUAUGUCCACAUUAUACAUCGGUCAAAAAUAAUUAGACAUUCGAGAUAUGUCUGCAAGAUGGCAUACCUUAUUUUGCAUUCUGUUCUGUCUAGAACAUAAGAUGAAACAUAUGGCAUGUUAAUAAAAAUGUGUUAAAAAAGUAACCAGUGGAAAAGCAUAACAAAGUAAGUAAGUUUAUGUGUGAAAAAACAUACAUACCGCGGAGGAUCUCCUUCCAAGCUUGCAGCUGGAGCGACCAGCUGAGAUGUUGGAGAAUCUCGGAUGGAUUGGAUUUUUCAAAUAGGUUUUUCCGCCUUGUGAUGCAUUGCUCAUUUUUUUGCUCCAAUCUAUGACCAUAUGGACAGGGGCUGCAUAAAUACUAAUACAGUAAGUACAUUUUUGAUCAGCAACACCGGUCUCCGCAGCACCAGGAUACGAUCUUCCUCGGUCGUUCACUCCUCUUCCUUCGCACGGGCAUACCAAGCUCUAAAACCUACUUCUCAUUCGAUCGAUGCUUAAGUACCGGUUUGCUUCUACGUCUAUGGUUGAACUUGAAGGCCUUGGAUUCCGAAACCUGUAGAGCUUGCAUGGUGAAGAACAAGUACGUACUUCAUACGAAGAAAAGGUAGGCGGACUCCUCUGGUUUUCUCCACAGUAGGAGUAAGCAUAAUCCUAAAGCCGGCCCAAUGGGCUAUAUUUCUUUAGAGUACUCAAAAAGUAUGCUUUUGUCGGAGGGAGAUUGCCGGGUCUAUGUAGAAUAGAGAAGCAACAAAAGAAAAUAAAUUGAGUAGCCAAAGGCCUCGUGCACAGUAUGGAAGGAAGAGGAAAAAUGCGCGGUACACAAUGUAUGAUGAUGAACGUAUGGAGUUAGUUCGGUGGCUUCGUUGGGGAGUAGGGCCGGGGGGAUAAACUUGUCCCUUCUUGAUGGCGAGUAUAUGCUUCGACCGACUCUUGUGCUCCCUAUGUGCGUGUUCUUGAUCACCGAACAUGUCAGCUUCGUCUUUCUUGAUCGGUUCCUCGUGUUGCAUACAAUGAAGUGGUGUCAUGUGACGCUGGGCAUAAUCUCUGAAAACUCCUGACUGGUUCGGUGUGGUUUUGUUUAUUCAACACCAAUUGCCUUAGCUUUGUUUUUCUGAAGGAGAGAGAGAAGAGAGUAGCUAGAUUUCUUUUUCUAUUUUGAUUUUCAAAUGGCCCGGCUUUAUUUCAAAAAUGGUCCUUACUUUCCUAUCUUUCCGAGUCGGAGCUGGAAACCAACCGACCGAUGUUACUUUGCCACGAGAGCAGACAGGCUUAUGUUGACUGGAUUCAAGAUUCCAUGCUGAGCAGACAGGCUUAUGUUGACUGGAUUCAAGAUUCCAUGCUUUUCUUGAAUGUGUGAUUACCUACUUUUUGUGAAAAUAAUAGAUUGGUUAGCCUGAGAAACACAAUGGAAUUGAUCGAUUCUCUUGUUUGAUCUGCUUUCUUCCAAACUCUUGACUGGAAGAUAGGAAAUAUUGCCUUGCUAUUUAGUGGAAUUCCUCCCAAAGGCCGGAAACUUUUCUAUUUAUUUCUUGACUGAACUAAAUCAUUCUUAUUUCAGAAUCGCAUAGUGAUGUCUGUUUCACAUAUCCACUACUUGAAAACACUAGCUGAUCAGAUGUCAGCAAAAACAAAGGAUUCAGAAAUGACAUAUUACGGCAAUCGAGAUCACGUGCUCGGAAUCUCAAUUCGCUACAUUUGCGGAAACCGAUACUUCAAGAUAGGUUGGUCUUGAUUGAAUAAAAGUUUCAGAAGUUAGACAUCACUCAGAAAUCUGUUCGAGCCCCAUCAAAUCCGGAACCAACAAUGCACGGGAAGAGGCGAUCCUCGGAAUCCUAAAUCUGUACGGGGGUCGAUUACCACAGAUACGUCAUCCUAACCAAGCCGUGUAUUUUAAUCACUGUUACGCACCAUUGGUGAUCAGUCGAUGGCAAACGAAAAGAUACUAAGGGAAGACAAUAGUCUGGCUCGAGUGGGUAGGUGUGUCCUACUCACGCCCUACAUAGGGUUAAAGAACAUGUGUGUUUCCACUGUUGAAACAAACUAGAGGAUGUUAUGAUCCCGCUAAAGAAAGCAUUUGUAUAACCCGUCCACAUGCGGGCUCUUCGAGUCUUAAGUUAGGGAAAGGAAUGUUUGGGGGGGCGACCAAAGGUCUCAGAACAGAAGGAGAAGGCAAAUGUAGGGAUUGGGAACCACCUUUUCUCGAAGAAACCAAUACCAGUCAAGAAGUGAACGGUCUCAAAAACCGCUUACUUGUUAGUUUUGGUUUUCUAAGACGGGAGAGAAAAAGGCACGCGAGAAGAAGACGGUUGCUGGAAUCGGAAUAGUUGAGAACAAAGUGGCGAACGGGUGCGGAAAUAGCUAGAACUGAAUGCGGAAAGUAUGGAAAAACAUCUUGUAAUGCAUUUAACCAUAAAAUCAAUUAUGCUUCUACGGAAGUAUCUACUCGUAACGGAAUUUCAGGUGUCAAAGUGCGGAUCUCAUAUAGUAAAAAUAAGAAGGGAAGAAAUGCUCGAUUCUCAAAGUCCUAAAUUUACCAAGUCUUUUUGUACAUCUAGCGGGACGGCUCUCGCCGCGACAACUGUACGUUGAUUUAUUAGUAUUAAUCUUUUGUGCAAAAGUCGGGAUAAAAGGUGGAAAUCAGAGGACAUCAAAAAUAAAAUUGAUAAGUGUUUGACAUAUGAAAUCCUUCUUAUAUUGGAGACGGAUGGAGGAGAAUUCACCAUGGGGAUUUUUUCAAAUCAUGCGUCGAAACACACGUUUGAGAGAGAUUUAAAGUGUUCCUUAGCGCAAUUUCAUGUUAAUCUUUCUUUUAAGAAAGGAUGGCAACCCGUUUUGGAAAACUUUUUAAAUGUAAAUCCCAAAAGGAUUAUUUUCUACGGAAAGGCUGCGUCCAUAGAUGAUACAUUAAGAAUUGUAGAAAAGAAAAAAAGAGCAACAAUUAGAAAAAAGGGAAGAAAAAAAGAGAGCUACUUUUACUCACCUUUUAGUAAUUAUAGCUUACGGAGUUUGCUUUUGCGCGCUGCUUCAUUUCUAUAACAAGAAAUUACUCAUAAAAAAAGGAAGAUGUCACUAUCGCUUUUCCCCUAAAGACAGUGUUUCUUCAAAAGAAUUCCCUGCCUCAUCAGGGUCUUGCUUCGAUAAAGGUUUCGCUUCUCUUGGCCCCAAGUACCACAAGCCAACCUUUUUACCUCGAAUAUAUUAUGAAUGACUUCCUUUGCCGGAUUGGUGAAUGGAAAAGAUCAUCAGUCAACAAGGGAAGACGUUAGGUACUCUUUUCCCGUAGUAAAGGUCAUUUGCACAACCAUUUUCUCACUCCCUGCUGCAUCAUUUCUAUAUAUGUGACAUGUAAGCUCAUCUCGCCGAUACUACUAUAAGAUUUUUACUGACCCUAUCCGAUCAAGGCACUCAUUCCUGCUGCCAUUGCUAUCUAUUUGACUUCCCAAGUCAAUGUAAAAAGCCCCACAGGUGGGUGAUCUGGAUCCAUUGCUGCACCGCCCUAACCAAAGAAGAAUUCCCUGCCCCCAUAUCCGUCUAUCAGAAAAGAUAAGGAACUACCCGCGGGUACUAUUACGAUAGGGAAAGACUGGCUCAUUUUUAGAAAAGUGAAUGCAGCUCCCCGGCCAGGGGUCUUUAUUCUUAGGUCAAUGCACCGAAACGUCCACCUUCCAUCUGCCCAGACAGAAAGAUAAGUUCCAUCUUGCCAAUUUGGUCUGCAAGUAGAGAGUUGUAUGAGGCUUCAGCCCUAGAAGCAUGAGAAGAGAAAACCCAGGAGCCUUCAGGGAAGAAUGCCCACUUCCCCCACUACCGAAAUAUGAACCCUUUCAAACUCGACCUUUACUUAAGUGAGUAUAGUAUCUUGCAAGUUCACCCUAAUUAAGAUAACAACAUCCGCCAUCCUCUAGGCAACCCACAGCUGGCACCAUCCCCUAUAGGGCAGGGCUUAUUAACUCUGUUAAUUUCUCCUCAUUCAUCCAUUAUAAGCUGAAAGCGGUAUGGCUAUGUAUCCCUUUGCUUAGAUCCUUUGAUACUGUAGUUGGGGAUGGAGAGGCUAUAGGAAUUCUCCAAUAUAGCAUUAUUUGUUCCUGUGACCCCUUGUCCCGUAGGUUUGGUUUACCUUGAGCGCAUAGAAAUGAAAGAAUCCACAUUCCAUCAUUCCUUCAGCGAGCAUCUUUAUUCACAAGGACAAGUGUUUCCUUCAAUCGGUGUGCGCCACUGGAUCAGGCUACUUAAAUUCAGGCGCAAUUAGAACCAGUUGCUGGAAUAGGUGUUUUGGCCGGGUCACCAAUGCAAGGAAGGAGGCAAAGAAGGUUGUGGUUACAUGGACUCUAGGGAAGCGGAUCCUGACAAAACAACUUGCUCAGAAUACGCUUUACCGCCAACUGAUAAGUAGUUUCUAGCUGCAAGCAAAUAAGGCAGGCAAUCUAUAAAAUAAAAUAUCAUGCAAAAUUACUCCACUAUUGCCUUUUGUAAAGACUCGGUAUCUGCCGCCUCUGCUUUGGCAGCUUGUUCAGCUUCAUACUCGGUGUAAGUCCUCUCAUUUGAUGGUAUUGUGUACCUUACGCUAGUUUACUAGCGGCUAGUUUUUGUUUAGACACGGAUCUAUUGCGUUUCUUGAUCCGCUAAAAUAGGCCCGCGUGCGGGUGGCAUGAGGAAGAAGUCAGAGCCUAUCAGGCCCAAGCGAAGCUUUGCAGCGAGAGUAGUCAAAGAUCGGAUAGACUCGAACCACAAUUGCUAAGGCUAUGCCAGCUCAAAUCCUGUAACGAACAAUCAUCAACGACUUCCCUAAAUGCCGCCAUCCGCCAUUCUGCACGCUCUGUGACACUGAAUUGUUCACUUGCAUGGAGGGUUUGUUUCGUUGAAGUCACCCAUGCAUAGCCAUGGCAACUCAAUCGACAUGUUCUAUAUAUGCAAUCGCAGAGGCGAAGUAUUAUUGUCAGCCUGGACUCGACACCCAGGGCUGUGCCGAUCCGCUUGUCCCUCUAGCUCGUAUUAUAAAAAGUUGUAUUUCUAUGUAGCACAAGUGACUUACCAUCCUACCAAGGAUCCCUAGGAUUUCCACACUCAAUAAAUCGAAUCAAUUUAUUCUAGUGGUUGGUGAGGAGGGUAGCGCCGAUCGGUAGUCUAUAUCAGCGGACCCAACCCUCCCUUGCAUCUAAGGCACAUUUCAUCUCUGGGCCCGCCCCCAACAGAUACCGGUACCGGCCAUGAAGGCUUCACCCUUCUCAAGUGCAAGAAUGAACAAUAUCUUACAUAAAGAACAAGAGCACGAGUUGCGUCAAAUGACCAAAAACAGUCUAUCGAAAAGAGAAACUUGCCACUCAGCAGGAAGGGGCACUCACUAUCCAAAAUCGGUAGACAACAAGCAAGAGAUGGAGCUUCUUCUAGGCCUGGUUAUCCCGAAUCCUUUCCGCCCCUUCGGUUUGAGGUUAUGCUUUGGCCUACCUAAAAUUUGUGCUUCUAUAGUGUGAUUCAUUACGGUGCUCUCUCCCAAUAACAGAUAGCUCUAAUAGGGCAAUAGUGGAGGAAAGUCUUCAUGAAAAAGAUGGACUUGUUACUUUUGAAUGAUAAACUUAUUCGGGCAGCUGGGAAAGAAGAAGGAUGACUUUAGUCAAACUAAUGAAGCGAUCCCGCGGAUACAGAAGUUGUGUUUGAAGUAUGAGCUACUGCUGCUGCUGAAAACAACAUUUUUGCAUGGUUCUUAGCUCAUAGUUUGUGUGGGUGAUUUCCAUGAAAUAGAUACAAUUGACACAUUGAUUAUACCGAGUAUGCCCCUCGGCAUGAUCUUUCGUUUAGCCCACUGUAGAAGAUGAUCACACUUGGGAAGAGAGACAGUCGCUGUUCGACCUCAAGAAUUCCUGGAUAAUACGAGGGCUGAAAGCCUUCAUCGACAAGAGGACAUGGUUGCAUGACCGUGGCUCAAAACUAACAUUAAUAUUGGCUUACUCGUACUCUAGAGAAGGAUCUGUGCCCUUUUUGAUAGCCGAGAGGUAAGUAGGCCAUUGAAGCCUUAAUUAAGCCUGUAUUCUUCUAUCUACGAUAUUCUAUCCAUGAAAGGGAGAAGCUCAAGUCGAAGUGUGUACCAAUAGUAGAAGCAAGAAGCGUAGGUCUUUUUUGGCCACUGAGGACACAUGCGCCAGGAAGAAAUGCAUGAUCGUAUACGGAAACUGGAGCUAGAUCGUACAGAUCGUAAAAUUCACCAUGAAAGAUGCCUUAUGACCUAAACCUCACACAAGCUAAUGAAAAUGACUAUCUAUUUUGACAGGCGGGACUGAACUAGUACGAAAAUUGACCCUUAGGUUUGUCUUGGUCAACGGGACCGCAUAACGAUUAUGCUUUGAAAAUGGCUCUGGGUCCGUCAGGAUUAUGAGAAGUUGUACUCAGUAGGGCUCUUUUGGAGAAGUUGAGUAGCACCCUCGUAUUCUAGUUUGUGAGUAAUAUGAAAAGGAAAGGCUGCUGGAGGGAAGGAUAGAAUGGUUCAGUGGGAUUUAGAAGGUAUGCCUUUUUCUUCUUAUUUACUGGCUCGGACACAGGAAUUCUCGAGCAAGAAAAGCAAAUGUCAUUUCUCAAUUGUCACCGCCUGGCAGAAAAGCUUUUCUUUCUUCCUACUACAUACGAUAUUCAAGUGCCCGUUUUCCUUGUUCACAUGAGGUGAACGUCCAUGCAGAGGAUACUUGGAAUACCACCCUUAGCCCCGUCCGUCCGUUGGAAACGAUGGCUUAAAAUGAGUUCUUCUAGCUUAGCUCAGUAGAAGCAACGGACGAGCUGAAACUCUACCCACGAGGCUUGCUAUCAACCAUCAUGCCGAGGAUCUAAAUCCGUCCUAUCGGAUGAGGAGAGCAAGAGGGAUUGCAUGACGAAGUAGAUCUGCACGUGGAAAGAAAGGGGUCAAGCGGAUACACGAUUCCAAAUUACUCCUUUCCGGCUAAGAAGAGAGGAUCUACAGGGUACAACGUAAAGUGUUUUGAUCACAUUGGAAAAGACUAUCCAUACCGACCUAGAGUCGUCAGCCAUCACACUAGCAGGCAAGCCAAGUUCCGAUACAAUUAGAGAGAAGCCAGCCUUUGGUAUAAAAGCCAUCCAUCAGUCUAUCAUUGUUAAGUGACUCAUCGCCCGUGGGACUUAGAGAUGAUUGAUUCGAAACCGACCUGGACUCUUUCUUUUUUGGCAUGGAAUUCUUAAAAUGCAUAUUAAAAGUGAAAUAGUUGAUGUGAUGGAUGUGCCCGGUAUCGAUCAAUGAAACAUCGGCUCGACGCAGGAUUUCAAUAGAAUGAAAAACCUCGUAAGUAGUAGUAAUUGAAAGCCUUGGGACUGCAACCGGAACUACCCGAUCCGCUGAAAUACGAUACGAAGGAAGAAAGCUCAAUACAUGUUCGAAGCUUCAAACAGAGCCAGCGAAUCCACGCAUGGACAGACCGAGGUAGCAACACCACUAUAGGAGAUUAAACAAAUGUUCAGUGCUCUAGUGAGGAUUGAAGUUCUAAAUAAAGAAAUUGGCUUUUGAUAGGCUGGAAUCGGAUCAUUGUGCAAUGUUAUGUUUUUCAAUCCAAAAUUGAUUUGUUUCGUUGGUAGAACCCACGCCAACUCUUUUCUCUAAAUAAUAGAGAGAUCUUUUGAUAGAAGUUUGACUUCUAUCAAUGCAAUGAAAGAACUAUCCCUUCCGAUUUGUUUGUCCUAAUGAGACAAAAAAGAGCCUCCUUCUUUACCACUUUAGGGGAUGGGGGUGAAGGGGCGUUUACAUACAACCGGGGCAAAGUGGUUUAUGAUUGAAUCUCAGAGGCAUUCUUAUCAUUUGGUAGAUCCAAGUCCAUGGCCUAUUUCGGGUUCACUCGGAGCUUUGGCAACCACCGUAGGAGGUGUGAUGUACAUGCACUCAUUUCAAGGGGGUGCAACACUUCUCAGUUUGGGCCUAAUAUUUAUCCUUUAUACCAUGUUCGUAUGGUGGUGGGAUGUUCUAUGUGAAUCCACGUUGGAAGGGCAUCAUACAAAAGUUGUACAAUUAGGACCUCGAUAUGGUUCUAUUCUCUUCAUAGUCUCGGAGGUUAUGCUCCUUUUUGAUUUUUUUGGGCUUCUUCUCAUUCUUCUUUGGCACCUACGGUAGAGAUCGGAGGUAUUUGGCCCCCAAAAGGGAUUGGGGUUUUAGAUCCUUGGGAAAUCCCUCUUCUUAAUACCCCUAUUCUCCCUUCAUCCGGAGCUGCCGUAACUUGGGCUCAUCAUGCUAUACUCACGGGGAAGGAAAAACGAGCAGUUUACGCUUUAGUAGCAACCGUUUCACUGGCUCUAGUAUCCACUGGCUUUCAAGGAAUGGAAUAUUACCAAGCACCCUCCACUAUUUCGGAUAGUAUUUAUGGUUCUACCAUUUUCUUAGCAACUGGCUUUCAUGGUUUUCAUGUGAUUAUAGGUACUCUUUUCUUGAUCGUAUGUGGUAUUCACCAAUAUCUUGGUCAUCUGACCAAGAAGCAUCACGUUGGCUUUGAAGCAGCUGCAUGGUACUGGCAUUUUGUAGACGUGGUUCGGUUAUUCCCAUUUGUCUCUAUCUACUUGUGGGGAGGUAUAUGAAAGAAGGGAACGAAUAAGUGGAUUGAGGAAUAAAAGCUCGAAGACAAAGAGAACUUCUCCGGGUGACAGGAUCACCCGGGCAGCGUGGCUUCUCUCCCGAGCAGGAAGCCACAAAAAGCAUUGUGCUCUUGUAACUGAUCUUUUAGUAGGCGAAGUUGCCGAAUUCUGAAAUCACUACAGGCAUAGUGUAGGAAAUUGUGAGUCCUAAAAAACAGAUGCCCCAUGAUCAUUGACUUACAUCACGAUAUCUUUUUCUUCCUCAUUCUUAUUUUGGUUUUCGUAUCACGGAUGUUGGUUCACGCUUUAUGGCAUUUCAACGAGCAAACUAAUCCAAUCCCGCAAAGGGCGGAUCUCGACGUUCUCGUCAUGGCCAAAGCGCCUAACGAGGGUGACUUUCCCCUAGACCAACCUCCCGUUGGCGGCUUGCCUGACCUCCGCGAGGAAAUAGCCAGGACUACCCCUCAUGAAGCAAUUCUGUCGGAGCUAAGCUCCCGCGUCGAGACAAUUUUCGAGGAAGUAGGAACCCAGGUUCCUUUAGAGGAAGGGCAGUCUUUGCACGAUUUCACACAAACUCAGGUCUUAUGGGAUGGAGAGGGCGAGGGUGAAGAUACUCUUCAGGAUAUCUUUCGAGCCAACCUGGAAGAGGGAGAGGAAAGAGAGUUCGUUAGAACCGCCGCAAAUCUGGCAAGAAAAUAUCGUCACGCAGAGCUAGGAGAGCCUGAGACGCCAGAUCCCGAGGAUCCCGUGGUCGAGCGUGAGGCUCAUUCCAUGAAAUCCCUUGAAGGCACAGAAGCAAAUGAUGGGGUUAAGGAGGCAGGCCCGUCUUCUUCGCGGAAGUGUAAAAGGUGGGAUGAUGAUUCGGGGUCCGAAGAUGAUGAUUCGGGGGGAUCUAGGGUUUCUCCGGAUCCCGUUGAGAUCAUUUACGAAGGGGACGCACAAACCUGUCCCGCAGAUGUAGAUAAGAUGCGGAGUAGGUAUCCAUCUUUGCAAAUCGAGAUACUGAGGCCUCCUAUACCUGUAGGGUAGAGGGGGGAUAGAAGAGAGGGUAUGUGGGCUUCUAUCAAAUAGUGAAGACCCGGGAACGACAGUCGCUCGACGUAAGGAGAGGAACGAAAUAUCAAUAGAGGCACGAAAACUGCUGGGUAUGAAAUUUGGGUAGGGUUGGCAGGGAAAGUCCAACUGACACUUUCUUUGAUGCCCUUUUUUCUCCAACUGGCGCAGAGAUUGCAUUUGCCCUUAACCUCCUUUGAAUCCAUCGUUUAGACCCUCUCAAUUGGUAUUGGCAUUGGCUCGAGAGCAAGGACCUUAUUUGAUCGCUUAGAACUCUAUGGAAGGAAACUCACUCGCUCGAGAUAUGCUUAAGCUAGCUCAGGAAGAGUACUAAUUUUAUAUGCCUUAAAGAGGGGAUUCAAAGAACAUUUAAGUUUGAAGUGAAAACAAAACAAUAACUAAAAAAAUUGACUGAGGAACUAUCUAAUACAACUAUUACUUUCGAGGACAAGAAGGAUGCUCUAUAUCUUUUUCCAAUCCUGGCAAAGGGAAAGCCAGUAGAGUAUGCCUUGGUUUAAGAGAGGAGCUAAGGUCCAUCUUGUGCUUACAAUACAUCUUAUUUAGCAGGACAUCUUGGGCUCUUUAGAGAAAGGCGAAGUCUCUACUUGUUAACCAUGGAUGCCUGUUAUAUUUACUUAUAGAGUGAAGAACAAGCCCACUUUCCAUAUCUCUUUCGUCCAUAUGAUCGAUUGCCUUAUUCUUCUUCUAAAAUAAGUGCAUUUAGCCAUUGUGUUUUUCCAACUUUCGUAAUAGAUCUGGGCAUGCAUGGUUUUCAAUAGAUAACCCUAGGCCUUCUUCGUUUCCCCACGGGCAUUCACUUCUCUUCAAGCUCGGGAUUAGCGAAACAUGGAUCCGAUGCCCAUCUCUUUUUCCACUUUGCAAGGCUGAGAGACUUUACCAAUUGAUAAAAAAAAGCAUGAGCGGUAUCAGCAGAGGCAAAAUCGAAUAAAACGGAUUAUUUGCACCUUUCUUUGGUAGGCAACGAAUCUCAAGGAAUGUGGGAAUCUUUUACAGAUGUGAAUUCUCGCUUUAACGCUUCGAUAACAUAUUUAGAAUUAGGUAUCUUCGGGACCGGGGCUCGCCCUCAACAUAUAUUGUCUUUGCUUCCGCUGAUGUGGCGUCAAUUGCCCGAGGGAGCAUAACACUACAGGCCGCAAUGAACAUGCCCGCCGCAUCUCGGAUAAUUGCUCCAGUUGCACCAAUUCCAGUAUCCGAGACAGAAAGCAGCAUCCACGUGAACUUUGACUGUUCAUAAUAUGGGAAAUUCCGAGGUGAAGGAUGCCUGCUCAGGUCAUGAUAUCACUGAUCCAAACUACAAAAUCUGAAUCCUGACUAGUUAGCGAAUCGUGUGCUCUGUGCGAAUGUCUUUAUUAGUCUGUUUCAUUUAAGCCCAAAGGAUCUUCGAAUACCGACUGGUCGUCCCAAUCCAAUCUCCCAUCUGCUUAUUCCAAUUUCUCCUAUUCCUAGAGAAUCAACUAAGAUUUCUGUUCUUCCAUCAAGAGGAGAUAGUUAUAGUUAUCGAUAAAGCUAAAAAAACCUGUUGACAUCGAUAAAGCUAAAAAAGUUGUUGACAUAGAAUGCAAUCGAAAUAGAGACAACUAGGCGAAAAAAAGACCGAAAACAAUAGAAACUUCUACUCCCUAGGUGGUUAUUUGCCGCAUAAGAUAGCGGUGGAAGCUGAAGGAAAGAGUCGGCUUUGAAUCUAGGUAUGCUUUCUAAGGAUUGUGCUGCGCCUAGCCUACCUUUACGAACAUACCUCUGUCUUUCAAACAAAGCCCUGUGUGUGGAACUACUUAUAUUUGUUUUCUAAUUGCUUUUAUCGGGCCAUCGAGAAGUCAGUCAGCGGUUGGCUUGAGUCCUCAAGUUGGUCUUUAAGACUUAGCAGGGCCCUACACACAGUACACCUUAGUAGAAGAUAGAUUUCUCUCACCCUAUGUGCAAUCAAGCUCAGAGACUUGAGCCGCAGAAUCCCUUAUUUCUUUUCUUCCUCAUCGAUCGAAAAAGGAUGAACUAAAAUGACUUGAUUCGAAGCCACUUCUGACUUGGAUUGAUGAAACGAGAAGAUUAUUGGAUUGGAUUGUUGGUCUUUCACUAAUGGAGCAUCUCAGCCCUAGCCUUGAAGUUGAACAUCCGGGGAUAUCUAAAUAUUGAACUAGUGAUUCAAAAGAAUGGCAAGUCAGCGGUUAUGUGUUGACUUCAGAAACAGGAAUCUUGCCACUCCAAAGGACGAGUAUCCAAUGCCGAUAGCUGACCUACUGGUAGAUUCGGCAGCUUGUAUUGAGCCUCUUGGAUGCCCACUCAGGAUAUAACCAUGUGCCAAUCGCCGAAGAAGAUAUUAACAAGAAUUUAGAUGCCCUAGUCUAGUUGGUGCCUAUGAUUUGUCGAUCAAUUCCUCGGGUCAAGGGGCGCACCUAUGAUCUAUAAUCUUCACUACUAGUCAAUCCAGGGAAAUAUUCCUUCUGGCCUUUUAUAGAUGGAUACCUUUUUCUUAGAAAAAAUCCCCUUUCAGGUUUAAUGAUCAAGGAGCGGGGUACCGAUUAUCCUCUUUUUGCCGGAGGAAGCAAGGAAACAGAGCUAAUGGAAUUUCAUUGUAAAGAAAAUGACUCAUAAGGAGGUGAGUCAUAAAAUCCUUAAACACUAGAUCAUGACUAUAUACCCGGAUGUCAUUCCUUGAAAGAUCCCAGGUCGCUUCGCUUAAUCAAAGAUAAGAAAUAUCAUAGCUGCUUAUGAAUGCCAUCCAACGAGGUAGAACCACCUUCUAAUCCUUAUGGAGUUUAAGAACAACGUCCACUUGGAUUUUCUAUACUAGUUAGCCGCAGAAAAAGACGAAAGCGAGCCAAAACAUGUAAAUCAAAAAACAAAAGAAGGGAACAUCCACUGUUGAAAUACACUUGCAUCGUCGUUAAACAGGAACUCAAAAACGGCACUAUAGCAUUGGAAUUAUGGAAUUUGAAUGGAUUGAGUACAUCAAGAUGAAGAAAUUAACGUAAUAAGAGAUAUUCUCAAAAGAUUCGGUCAUGCCAGAAACCUCAGUGUGCAUGGCACUAAAAAAGGGUACAAAGAACCUGAGAUGCAAGUAAUGGCUGAAUAGCUGGGGAAACACUAAAUAAAGACAAGUGUCAUCCGGACUUACUUGAUUGAUUGAAUCGAGAGAUGGAAAUGCCAUUGAGAGAUUAGAAGGGACAGAGAAAACGUCAGAUAGAGGUCGUGCUUCUGCUCAGUCCAAAAGAACAAUCUGAGUGAGGAUAAGGUGGUUUAUGUUAGGGUCCGAGAAAGCAACUUGACAUGCCAAUCCUAACAAGAAUUCCACUCUUUCUGGUCAUGUCAGAAACCACCUCUUGGAAAGCAGAUCGAAAGCCAAUCGUUUCAGAAGAUGAUGACCCUCUUGUGCUCCUACGUUCCUGCUAGUUGGUGGAUGAAGAAUAGGAGACAACUUGUUUGAGUAGAAGAUAACCCGCGAGAAGGAUGUUUUGUAGCGCUUUCUCAUACAAAAGGAAAAGGCGUCACGAAUGAUCGAUAAAUAAAAGAACCGCAUCGCUGUCGCCCACCCCACUUUGGGCACGGGGAGGCGAGAACCACCGCUUUUAGGAAAGAGGCCUACAAUUUGAUUCUCGUCUCGUUUCACUUGCAUUUUCUUUCGUUCAGUCUCGUUUUGAGAGUGGAAUCGAACCACUCACUCCGUUUGGAUUUCGAGUCCAAAGGGCCCAGGCAGCGAAAGAGGAUUUACAGUCCCAGCAGCCUGCAAGAACCUUUUUCUUGCUUGAUUUUUAUACAAUUUUUUGAGCAACUAGCGCGAAAGCCGUUGCGCGUUAGCGCAUCCGUUUUCUUGCUUGAUUUUUAUACGAUUUUCUGAAGUGAUCUGUCCAACUAAGUAGAAAAGGACACUAGAGUGUGGCUACACGUGGUACAGGGCUGCUCGUCCCGCCUCGUGUUGAGAAAUGACAUCCAAUCUUUCGGUACCUAGAAUAUAUUCUUGGUGGAUAAACUUAUUUUUGAUCAACAUCAAUGGGAGAUCUGAUGUUUUAGAAUGACCUUCCCCCGAUCAGAGAAGGGGCUUUGUCUGGAACAGAUUGAGACGGAAAGCGGUAAUUAAUCGCCGCGUGGUGGAACGCUUGUUGGAGAAGGGUAAGCGCCUCCAUGUCGUAGGGGUGGGUAGGCCAAUAGAAGACUAGGGAACUUAGCCUAGCCACUCAGUUGUGCCCCGAGCCAAGUCUAUUUAGUGUCAGCUAACACAUACCACUAUCUAUAUAUUGGUUUUUAUUUUUCGUAGAGGUUGCUGCUUAGGUCCUUGGACCCUUCCUUCAUGAAGCUUGAGGAAGCACUCACUUUUCUAUCCACGACAUUCUUGGUUCUGCACUUAGUCUUUAACCUGUGUUGGUUUGGGACAUCAAUCACAUUCGUCAGUGGUGUGUGCCACGCACUAAGAUUGCUUUCUUCUUGCUGUCAAAUCCCAGUCUAUCGUUCAAUGAGCUUCCUUCGCUUGGAAUUCAAAGUCCAAAAAAAAGAAAGAAAGCGUACUGUGAGGUAUGAAUGAUCAAAUGUCUACGGGUGUCAUUGAAUAUCAUGGGGUACGAAUUUCUAAGGUCAUGGCGUAGGGUAUUGGAUAGGCUGGUCUACUGGUCGAAGUCAUUGCACGGUGUGCUACGGACAACUAUUGUUCCAUGGCAUUUCCUUUCUCUCGUCAUCAGGCCAACAUACACAAGGCUUGCCUUCACAGGGCCCCACCUUGACUUUCCAUCAUGGCUACACUCUUUUCAUCAAAGCAACUCUUCUUAAGAAGACCCCUUGGUCCCCACAACGAAGUUCCUCCAUAGAGAACCCAACUGCACAGCAGCAUCACAAAGGUUUCUUCGUAACUCGAUUAGUCUCACUCAAGAGAACUCAUCUAGACGGAAGGUCUUUUAAGUGCCAGUUGUACCCGCACAGAAGUUCUGCGCCCUCAACUACACCAGGAUGCCCCCUGCAGUAGCAUCACAACUUUUCUCACCAUGGACAACUCGCUAGUCUUCUUGCAUCAGCCACACCUAAUUACAAAUGACCUUGGCCUCUCCAUGCUCAUCAUUUACAUUUAAACUGCACACCCCCUUGUUGAGGUCUUACUCCAAAGGUACGGCCUCUAGCACAUGACCAUUCCUCACUCAAGUCAUCGACACCCUCGUCGAUGUACGUGUUGAAAGAAUAAAUUCCACUAUCUCUCAAACGAAAUGAGAUUUUUGAACUCCUAUAUAACAGAGUUUCAUUGAUGCCAAAGGGGGUUUUCCUCAAACGAUUGGAACCAGAAUAAAAUAAAAUAAAGAAUGAAAGAGUCAAUCUAUCUUAGUCAAGGCGCUCGCUCUGCCACAAAGGGAGGCACUGGCAAAAUCUAAAUAGAAAAGAAUAGUGUGGUUCAGCGUUGCUAUCCCCCGGUCUCCCCAAUCAAGGGCUUAUAGCAACCUCUAUCAACACAACUAUCCGAACACCUAUUGCUUGCUUUAGCUCCAACUACUGCUAGCUUUAGCUGCAACUAUCUUCCGACUCUCUACUUGUUCGUUGCCCGACGCGGCUCUGCCUCUGCCUGUUUUUGAGCUCAAUAAAAGAGAAAGUUUCAUGCCAGUAUGGGCGAAAACCAUCAAUUUUCACAUUCCCCUAAUAAAUGGGUGUUUUUGAGGUCCUUUUUCCGAUCAGUUUCAUGCCAGUAUGGGGUCAAAGUAUACAAAAAUCACAUUCUCCCCGUAGAACGCUGUUUUUAGAGCUCUCCUUUUUUGGAAAAUUUCAUUGCGCAUAGUACGAAAACCAACAGAAAUCCCACUGGCAAAGGUGUUGUGCCGGUUGCCGACCGGGCGAUCGACCAGCUUCUGACCACAAGCGUUGGUCCAGUGAGGUGAGCCACGACCAGAACAGAGCUGUUACAAAGGAAGCCCACUCCCUUAUGUUCUAAUGGGAAAUAGGACUAGGAUCUGUAAUAGUUGUAUCUGCUUUCCUUUGGUUUGCAUGGGCACGUGAUACAUUCCUAGCAUGACGUUGGAACAAGCAAGGACCCAGCGUGAUGCAGAGGGCAAGCCCAUCCCGGGUAACUUUGUAUCCUGACCCAAGCCGGAAGUUUGUCGAACUUGUAGUCUAGGACAUUGGUAGGGAUCCGCAUGGGCACGCUGAACAAUCCGAUGGCCACCCACAACACGAAACAUCGGCCCCGCUCGUAGCACUUGCCGAUCAUCCCUAUCUCUACCGGGCCCGUAUUCCCCACCUCGCUAAUACUUAUUCAUUUCUUUGAAUCGAUAAAGAUGGGUAUCCAUGCCUCUUAGUUCCGGGGAGAUACUGGUUAUGCCAGUGUGGACAGGUUCAAAUGGAGCAAACCCGCAAGAGCAUGGAGCAUAGGAUUUGAAUUAGCCCAGGAGGCGCGGGCGAGCAACUAAAGCCGACUUCCUUCCACUGAUUGGAAUUGGUUGAAAGGAAACCGGAACUGGAAGAUUGACUCGGGGAAACAGGAAAUCCUUAAUGCCGUGGGAAAUCCAUUGAGUAUCCAAGGAAAAGGCAAGCUCAAGGUAUUCUCCCCAAUCUUUCCCUUUCGGUCAGACAUCACUCGUCAAUAGGAUCGGGUGGGCUGGACACAUAGCCGGAGAUAAGAAAUGGCAACAAGGCUCAACAGAGCAGAGAGACAAGAAUACCUAUAUAGAGACAUGAGAAAGAAUAAGCCAAGGACAAAACGAGAAUUCCGCAUCCGGUGAAAGCUGAAGUCACAUAGGGAAGGGAGUUUCUGCAGAUGGAGAAAAGGGAGAUAUCACACUGUGUGUGAUAGGUUAUUAGCUCGAGGAUUGAGAUUGGUAUAUGGCAUUCAGGUAGUCCUUCUGAACUGAAAUCAUGGAAAGACUAGGCUCACCAGGCAGGGAAAGCUAGAUAUAGCCUAAAAAAACCCCACUUACGGAUUCACAUACUAGUUGGUAUGUUCAUCAAGUUCUUGAUUACUACUUACGGUGCCCACUGACUCCCUUUAAUGGUACGCCAAGAUAUCGCUCAUAACAACUUCAAAGGCAUAUUUAUUAGCCAGCUGUGGGAUACUGCCCUAAAGGUGAUGUUCCGGUGAUUAGGUCAAAAUAGAGUUCUUUCUACAAGAGCAUCUCAAGUUGGUCAUGCGUCUCGAGGAGUGUUUCGAUAUCAGCAAGCACAUUCUAACUAUCUAUAAAUGGCAUUUUGAGGUGAGAGAGAGUUCCAGCAUAUUACACAAAAGAGUGGGUAGACACAUGCGUUGAGGCAUUCCCUACAACAGGUGGAUAAAGCCGUUUCUAGGCCAUAGAAAAACAUAGCAUGUGACAUUUAUUUACAUAGGACCAAGCAUAAUCGUUUUAGAAAAGAAUCAAUCAGCAUUUGAAAGGCAAGCACUUCCUUCCUUGAAUCCUACUCUUGCCCUAAAAAGUACUAACUAAAGCCAAAUCGAAUGAAAUAUGCCUCUCUAAGUGAAUAAGCAGAAGUGAGCCCAAUAGAACAGAUCAGGAAAGAGUUUACUAAGCUAUCGCGCGUAGUAAAGAGAAUACCAUAUCUAGUUCCUGGCUAGCUCCCAUCUUUGAUGCAUGGACCCGACUAACCGGAGAUCGGACUCGUGUGCUUGAAUCAAAAGAAAAUACCGGUAUUCUGUUCCAAAUUAGGCUUGUAAUUAGAGUUACCAAUGGUAAGGAUUGGCGUGGGUUUAGAGUGGGUAGCCCGCUCGCUAUCUAUGUCUUUCAUUCCCAUGGAUUGGAAAACAUCUUACUCGCAAUGGGGCGAAACUUCUCAUCGUCAGCCUAAGUGAUUGUUUCUGUAAGCUCGAGAGAAGUACCCUUGAUUGGGUGCUCCGAACGCCCUUUGGGAAGUGAAAGUGAAGGUUGAUCAAUAGCUUGAAUCAGGACGAUGCCACUUAGAAAAGUCUUCUUUCUUCCUUUUCAUUGUGACUCAAAAGCCACAAACAAGGGUUACUAUUCAGGAGUGGAAUUGCAUUCUGUACAAUGGGCAUUUUCAUUUCUCUUUCUGUGCUAUGGAUAUGGUUGACUUCUGUCUCUCGACAUGUAAAGAAGCUGAUCAAAAGGAAAUAGUCUUCCAGAUGGCAAAUAUAUGAACCAUAAACCGUAGAUUUACCACCAAUUGUGACUCAGGGAGAUGAAAGGUAGAGAAUGGCUUAUUCGUAAAAGAAGGCUCCCAGCCAAAUAUAGAAUAGAAAGGAAGGGGCAUCCCCGUGACAAAACCAGGUGGUGUUACUUUCCUGCUUCCACCUGAACCUGCUUGCAGGCCUUAUAGAAAAGUCUUGUAUAAGAUAACUAGCUUGACAACAGGAAUUCUCUAACUUACUUGUAGAUAACGAACUUGCUGAAGGAGGUUAAGAUAGUUUUCCGUUAAUGGGGAGAGAGAAAAAGAGUCCUCGCUUUCAUAAUCGGUAAUCAGAGUCCAGGCUUCCAAAAGCCAUAUCUUACGACAACCUCUGAACCGACUAACUCAACAGCUGGCCUUAGAGAAACUGUCCUAACUUAUCCAAGUAGUCCUAAUAAAUAGCCAUGAUGAAAUACUCUUCCUUUCCCUGCGGCACUCGCUUGAAGGACUCGAAAGCUGACUAAUGCUGAUAGGAAAACAGAGCUUCCUUCAAACGCUGAUCGAUACCAUCCACCAGAAGAAAACGUGAUCGCAACUACUUCCCGAAUCAGCACCUUAUGGAGGCUUUGCAUCUGUAUUUGGAGCUGGGCAUGCAUCCAUUGAUUCUAGCACUUGGAGCUUUGAACGCUCGAAAGAGAAAUACAAUCUCCGCCCUACAAGUGGAUUGAUAGGUUCAUACAUCUUGUAGUCGGUGCAGUUCUGGGAAGGAAUGGGCUAGUAUGAGUUCUGGUUUAGUCAGUAGUUCAUUUCUCCCUUCUUGUCCGCAAACAAAGCAAACUAGAAACCUGCUUUUGCUGAAGACAGUGCUCAAUGAGAGGAGGUGGGCAAGUAUUAGUUAAGGGAUAUCAGGAAGGAGGUCGAAGAAAGGGGAAAGAGCUUCAUCAUCGAUUAGCAAUUGAAAGUAGGGGAAACUAUGAUUCUAUCGCAUGUGCGUAUCCAUUGGGGCUAGUGAAAGAUUACGGUAGGGGAACCCGUUUCACUACUGACUUCGUGUAUGAGUGACAAAAAGUAAGGGCAGAAUAGCCCCUUCAAAGUAGGGGCUUCACAACCCGCUUCUCUUCCUUAAUUUAGUGAAUGGUGGGUGCGCAAAGUCUUGAGUUUUGGAUCUGUUACGGACAAAAGGAGAAGACAACCAUUGUACCGUUCCACUACUUGAAUCUACGAGGACUAGUUUAGUCGGAUCUAUUGUUUUACCACUCACUAACAGGACUUUCCUGCUUAGGAUUGAUAAGAUAAGAAGAUCGUUUUCUUUAUCUUGCUCUGUAUAAUAGAAAUAGUGUACUAAGAUAAGUUCCAUUAAGUUAGGGCUGGUUAGUGAAGUUAAGUAAGAGGGAGUUCUAGUUAAGUAUGCCCAUAGCUCUUGCUUCUAAUUGGUUAGCGCAGGAUACUACUCUCCCCGUCCAGUUCUAGAGAAGAGAAAGGUUGCGUUCCUUCUUUUCUUUCAGAUAGUGGGAUGCGUUGAUCUGCUGAAUCAAGAAGAUCAAGUCCUCCCGGGCAAGGCGAACCUAGUGGUUUCUAGUUCAGUGCAGCCUUUUCCUCAGAGCUAUUUGACAAUGGGCCCAAUGAAGACUUCUUCCCCCCGAGGGAAAGUCGAUACUAGUUUCUGGUCUGCUUUGGAGAGUAGAAGUCGAUAUUUGUUUCUGGUCUGCUACUGAACUUCGCAUCGCGCUAGGUGAGACGAGAAGUGCCAGCAAAGGCCUCUGUUACGGAUUACGGGAAACAAGCAAACAGAACAAGUUUGAUAACUUACUCGGGUGCCGGGGCCUCGGAUGCAGAGGUUCCAGGAAGGAGGAAGGCUCGUUUCAUUAUCGAAUAUCGUGUAGAAUUCACUUGCCCUGCCUUUUGCUAGGAAUCCUAUUGUUAUGCUUUGGUCGGGUUAUCCCAUAAAUCAAGGGCCCUACUAUUCUAUUAUUUUUUGUUCAGAUCUGAAAGGACAGAUAGAAAGCUUAAACCCAGCUUGUGGGAGAAAGAUGAAUCUUGGCGAGAGUAAGGAAUCGCACCCUUAGCGUGAGGGGAAUAGCCGGUUUCCUUUCCUUAACUAGACUACCUUACGUUAGCUCGACUGGGCACGUCAACGUAUGUAUUCUGUCUUCCCAAUCAGACAUUAGUCAUUGCAGCUAUUUCAUCUGGUCUACUAGAGUAGAGAGAUCUCUCACUUCACUGCACAUCGCACUAACUAAUAGCUAGCCGCCUCACAGAUCACCUUAUUAUGUGCAGCUAAAGCGGGGUGUGUGCAUUGUUCAACUAGAGCCGAGGAGGACAAAAGAAUAAGGAACAAUAGGUUCGCUACCCGAUUUCAAUAGUUUCCUUGAUUUGAAAUCAAUCCAAUAUCCUUUCGAGAAUCUAGAGUGAUAUCAACAACCUCCUAGUUGACGUACAGACGAGGAAGCAGCCUAUUAGUUUCGGUCCAGUCCAGGAAAGGAGCAAAGCAUAUUGAUAUAGCUUAGCAGAGCUUCGCCAUGAUAACAGUUUGUUUUAACAAGUAGUAGGAAUCCGUGCUGAUGUGCCAAAUCAAGGUUUUCUCCUUGAUCAAUCGACUUGCGUGCUUCCUUUCAUCUGGCCAACGGUUCCUGUUUCAUUAGCUAGAUCUGUUAUGUCAACCUCAGAGACAGAUGCUUAUGUAAGAAGAAGGUAUCCCGAGGGGAACAUGUCAAGUAUCUGCCUCGCAUCGAACUCUAUUUUCUGUAUGUUAAUGAAAGGUUUAGACUAAAGCGGGGUAAAGGAAUUUGUCAACUCAUCAGGCUCAUGACCUGAAGACAGCAGGUUCGAAUCCUGUCCCCGCCUAAUCACGUGUACGAUUCAAUGAAAUAGCUAUUUGGAGUCCACUGAUGAUUUGCUAAUUGUUUGAUGAUCCUUGACUAGCUAUAUAGACCCUAGGAACUUGCAUGUGCUAUUACUGUUGUAUAAAGGAAAGGUGGCUCACGUUAGCACUCUCCCCUAUUCCUACAGGAAGGAAGAGUCCAUCAAAUGCAAGUCGCUACCAGUUUCCUAUUUUGGAUGAAUACCAUCGCACCAUUUGACCUCGAAGUAACGAGUACUCAAGGAAUCCUCUGGAAUUCCAGUCAUGAUGAUCAGGUACCCGGAGUACAUCACCCUCAUCAGGAAGAAAAGAGAGAGAAGUGGAGUAAAAUGGAUUCAAAUGCCGCAUUGCAAGUGAACAAAAGAAACCAGUGGAAAUAGAAAGAGAAUGAACAAGUGUAUCAAUUCAUGAGUUAAGGAAUACUAUUGGGAAGAUUGGGUGACUAAUAUCCUGAGAAAACGAUCUCUUGCUUCCCUUGAAACAUGCUAAGAGGACCAUUUCGAUUAGUGAGAAGCUCAGUUCAUGGGUCAUGACGACAGAUCAUAUCGUGUACCAGUGCACUGUUCUUUAGAGAUCUAUGUUCAGUGAACAAGAAUGUAGUUAGGGGUGCUACUUUAGUGUUAUUCCUAGACUGAUGAAGUGAAGACAUUAGGCCUCGCUAAUAGUGGACCAACUAAGAAUGUUUGUUUCUCUUUUCUGUAGAUAUCUCGAUAUUCCUUGAAAGACUUAUGAAUGGUGGCGAGGAUGUGGAAGAGCUAGUCCUAUAGUCCUUUAAGCUUGAUUCCUUUUAUCGGUUAGCAAGGAGUUUGAAGCUUGAGUACUUUCAUUCAGCUUUCGUUCCUGUGGAAUGAAGUUGGUCCAGAGGUCUCAAGUAGAUCUUCUCAGACAGCGAGUAAUAUCUCUACUACACUUUCCUUCCACUUUAUGUUGAGCAAGUUCACCUGUUAGCUUUCCCGCCAAAGGACAGCAAGUCAGUAAUGUGAAUCAUCAUAGUUUUUGUUUUCAGACAAGUACAACGUCCACCUUUAUCAUAUUAGCAAAUAGCCGAUCUUAAGAGAUCUCAAAUAAGGGACAUACUUUUUCGUAUUUUCGAAUGGAGCAGAAUAGUCAUUCAACUGAUGCUUUGAAAGUCUUAAACGAGGCGAUGUGUUUAUCUGUCUUUCCUCAUUGCAUUCCUAUACUUUCCUGCUUAGUAUCAAAACCAUCUAUGGUACACUAUUUUGGCUAGAACUUGAUUUCUCUAACAACUCAAUAUGACUUUCUUUUUCGUGUUGAGAAACAUGUUCGGAUGCAACUUUCAUUGAAAAAUAAGCAUAAUGAAUUAACUGGCCAAUGGAAUUUUAUGAAAUGAGGGCUCUCAGGAAAGCAAGACUUAAGGAAGGUAGGCAAUUUCAUACCAAGAAGAGCAUUUAAGAACAGCUCAUAAGCAAUUCCAAGUGGCAGAGAUGACUCGAGGGACCUCGUCAGAUAAGCAAAUCCUAUAGUAAAUGUGGUACCUGGUCCAGUCAACUUGGAAGUAGAAACUCACCACUAGUGGGUGUCAAUUCAAAAGUCACUUUGUGGCUAACGCUUCUACUGCUAUCGGCGGGGCUUACUCUCUCGUGGUUCAUUUCCACUGGAGAGCAUCUGUUUGAAUAAUUAGCGUAUAUAGUUGAUCACUCUAAUGACAACGGAUUCGAUUCGCAAAUUUCUCGUGCUUGACUGAAGGAAAGGUUAGCGACUGCUCUCCCUACGGAAUCUCAAGUAGAUCCAUUGCAUAGCUGGCAGACACGAUGGGCUCAGGGUUUCGACUGCUGUUCAUUCCGAUCUUAGGUAUCGCUCAGCGAAUUCAGAAGGGUUGGGUCCUUUGUCAAUGACUAACUUUCCUAGUAGCAGAGAUGCAAGAAUAACUACUCUCUUCUGCUAGGCUAUUCUUUGUUUUUGAAUCCAAGAUAAGUCAUUGCCCAGGGAAAAUCUAUAAUGAGCAUGAGGUAACAAUUGCAUGUUGAUCCGAAUCAAUCCGUAUGCUCCCAUCUUUCAGAGAUUCCCGCUAAAAGCAUACAUGUACUGUCCCGUACUCCGAUUAAGAAAUAAAUGGAACCACCUAGACUUUGGGAAAGGGGAGUAGCGGACCUUAGGCCGAGAUGUGCAAUCCUACGGCACAUUCCAGUCAUCAAAUAAAGGAAAUCGCAAUCCUAAAUCCGGAAAGGUAUAAUGAUUUAGGGCCUGGUUUUACUAGAACAAUACAUUCCCCACGAGAGGCGGGCAAUGCCCACUAGAGACUAAGAAAGCAUGCCUGUGGAGAAGAGGCGUAUGCCAAGUCAAUUGGUCCGAUUGUACAGGAAGAUCGAUACUUGUUUCUGGUCUGCUUUAGGCAGAGGGCAGAAUCUAUUAAUUGAGGAAAGGAUUGUUAUCCUACAUACAAAGGAAAGAAUACCCGGCAAAGUCAUUCAAUCUCCAAUUCUUCCUCACCUGGAUCAAGCCCAAGGCGAGAAAUACAAGCUUCUUUGCUCUCGGCCUAACCGGUCUUAGCUUUUCCUAUUCACGACUCCGAUCUUUUUCAUCCGUAGUUCUUGCUAAUGUCUUCACUUUAAAGGGAGAGAAGGAACCCGAGCCAACAAGUCGUUCGGUUAGAAAGCGCUAGCGGUCUUACUUAGCUUAGGAAAGAUGCCAUUUCUCUUGUUUUAGCCAAGAAUGAAUUGCUCAAGCUGAAUCAACUGGUAGUCUUUCCCUGGCUUGUAGUUUCAGCGACCGCUGUUCUAUGUCUAGAUUUGACACAUCGACAAGUUCCUCCACUCACAGAUCCACUUUCUUUUGGGGCCAUCAAUAGAAUAGUUCUGUUCUUUAGCCGAUGUUUUUCCUUGCCGUCUAUAUCCGAGCGGUUCCCUUUGGCACAUUUCACUUGCUUUGCUACUACGGUACCCACAUUCUUGAAAGAAAAAGGGAUGGAUAGUUGCCCUUAGGAGACACAUGGUGCCCAUUUAUCCAUAGAAUAGGUUCAAGAAGAUGAAACGCAUUGAUGUUAAUGAACUUGAGGUUGAAGUUCUAGUAAUCUUAAGCAUAGGUUUAGGUGCACAAGUGGUAUACCAAAAUACUCGUUUAACUACUCCGCAAUGGGACACCCUUCUCAAGGUGGGUCCCCUUUCGUACGACCUAUUCUCUCUCUCUGAAAGUAGCAAUAGAAGAAGGAUAGCUUCAUGAGUUCGUUCUGACUCCUAGUUCAAAAGAUUUUGCUUCUGCUUGGGAACUAUCUUAUCCCGAGUCCUCUGUGGAGUGAAGGAAGUGAUGCCAAUUCUACCAGGUCCGGUACCCACUUAACAACGGAUUCCAUUUCUCUUGACCGAUGGUGUUCUCCCACUAACUUGCUAAGGAAGAGGCUAGUUCGCGUGGACGCUGCCCUACGUGGUGUUGCUCGUUUUUAAUGACUCUUAAAAUAGUUGACUAAUGAAUUCCAAAGGAUUUAGGUAUUUGACUAGCAGUCAUCUUCAUCAGGUCUAGAUAUUGCUCUGAAUAAUUGUUCUUUCGCUUGAACCUAUGGAUUGGCUUAAGCAAGCAUGGUAUCUUUGGACCAGACCUCGAACAUCUGCUUCUAUAGGAGUUCAUGUGUGUCAACAUAACUAGUUUGAUCCCCCUUCCUAAAAUAUACAUACAACUCUUUUCUAUUCUGAUAAUAAGUAAAGUCUCCCUCCUCCACCAGUCGACGAGCCUGCGUGAGAAUCUACGCACUAAAGCCAUACUGCAGGAUUGCCCCCCAUCAUUCCAGCUUUAACUGCCUAUUCGGCUUCAGUAGUGGGUUUCCAAAGGCGCUCUUCCCAGAUAAAAACGGUUUUUAUUCUAUCCACAAGGACUUUUGCUCCAACUAUAUUGAGCACGAAAUCCAAGGACCUUGAGUGACCACAAAGCCGAAGGGCGAGAGCAAACGGAUCAAUCACUAGAGACAACUUUGUUUCUUGAUAACAAAGAUAGCCUGCCUUGACUUGAAUUGAGAUAAAGGAAGUAUAGGUAGUACAUUGAUAUCGCUCCGCAUUGAAUUGAGAAAAAGCAUUACCGGAUUGUGGAGGAUCAAUAGACUCUGCCGUCGAUAGACAGAAAGACGCUUCAAUUGCCCAAAAACUAUAGAAAUUCAUUAGCUAGAGUUUGCUUACAACAACUCCUAUCACUCUAGCAUCGAAAUGGCACCUUUCGAAGCACUCUACGGGAACCUUUGUCGCACCCCGAUUUGUUGGGGUUGGCACGUACCGACCGACGGGGCCACAAAAGAUGAAGGAGAGUGCCGAGAAGAUUCCACUUAUUCUAGAUUAAAAGUAGUUCAGGACCAGGUACGCCGACCACGAUAUUUGGAGUUUGCAGUAGGUGAUCUUGCUUGACUUCGGCUUGAACCUACAAUGGGUGUGAUGCGUUUUUGAGUGAAGGAUUAGGUAUAGCUGACCGAUACAUCGGACCUUUCUUGGCCCACAUCCCCCUAGCCCUUACUCCCUUGUUUCGGUGGUUGGUCUCUACCUUUUUCUGUCUGUUGGCUAGUUUGUCUUCCUCUUCUUUUUGAGGGUAACGUAGUAAAAAUCCUUUAUUUCAGGGGAUUUCCCUUUUCUUUCCAAAUGAAUUUAUGCUUAGUCUAAAAUUGGUAAAUACCAAAUAAUAGUAUAUAUAUAUAAUUAUUAUUAUUAUUAGAAAUAUGUACCAGUUUCCUGAAACUAACAAAUAGAGUUAUAUCGAUAUAUCGGAAUAAGUACCCCUUUUGUAAUAUACUUCCGCAGAGUGAAUACUCGCUCAAUGAUGAACCUUCAAAAAUGCGAUAUGCCGCAAUAGGUACUAGUAUCAUUAUAGCAAGUUAUUUGACUUCGAAUGCAAUAAUUCCGCUAACAUCCUCUAUAAUAGAUUGAAAAAUAAAUGAUCAAUUCUAUUCCACGAUGUAUUCCUAGUUUGAAAAGAGAUGAAUGAAGGGCAUGAUCAUUAUAAAGUAUACCCAUUUUUAUUUAUCCCAGCUGGGUUCUUGUUGAAUACCCAUAGAGCUCGGAUUCCGACGAUACGAGCAAAAUCUAUGAAAGCAUUAGGAAAGGGACACCCGCCUCCAUUUUGGAUUCGGCCUGUUCCAUCUUUUACCUUUGGGAAAAUAAAGGGAUUGGAGCCGCAAAUCCUUGUUGAAGAGGAUAUCGAGCACAAGAGUGAAGAGUGAAGAGUAGAGGGCGCAUUGGAUGUGCGCUCCCUAUGAACGAUGUCCCACUAGAAAUGGAUCUUCGGAAAGAAGAGUGUUUCUCUUGAUAUUUCUAUUCUAUUCUAUUUCUAUAAGUGAAUUAUUGAUCAAGAUCAAAUGGAGAAAAUGUAGAUGUGAAACUAUGUUAUUUGAACACCUUCUUCCAUGCUAUUGAAGCUGGCAAACAGGGGAGUGAGUGAAGAGAGAAGCCAUGCCUCUUUCGAUGUGAGGCAAGCGAUGAACGAGUAGAUGGUGCCCUUAGACCAAUUUUCUCUUUCGGUAGCUGACAUCGAGAUUGGCUAGGCUAGGAAACCUUAUUCGAGACGAUAGGGAUGGUAAACAACGCGAUGGGGUAUACAUACGAAUUGGAAUACAAAUGAAAUCAUUGCCUAUAAUGAUGAACCCGUUAGCGUAUAGGAACAACAUCAUAUGAAAGUUGGGUGGAUACUCCUAUUUAAUUGGUUUAACCAGAAACAGAGGAUAGGAUUCGAAAAGUCAACCGUGCCCUAAUCCUUAUUUGAGUUCAAUACCGCCACUACUAGUAUUGGCAUUGGUUCGUAUGUAUACAUUCGUAUUGGCUUAGCGGUGCACUUCGUAUCCCGCCACAUCCGAUCCUUUGCUUUGCUUCCUUCUUACUUUUAUGAUUUUAUUGACUACUCUUGUGCAGCUGGGUAUAGUGAGUUGAGAAAGGAGAUAGUGAAACUUAACUAGUCUUUGUCAUGGAAGGGAGCAACUUCUCUCGAGUACGUACAAUACCGAGGAUUUACGAAUAGGCUAACGUUACCAGUACAUAGUGGAUCUAUGAUAGUGAUGUAUGGACCACACCAACCUCUCUUUCUAGCCGUAAUCGAUAAGAAAGGAAGAAAUAUCAUGGCAUGUGAAAGCAAUAAAUCCAUAAUAAAAUAGGUAAAGAAAGGCAAAUACUCCGGGGUAAUUGGCUUAUACCACAAUGUUACUCUGACAGUAUCCUUGACAAAAUAGUCUUGGCUUGUAACCCAGUAUUUAUUGGACAAUAUAAUUGGCUGCCGAAUACGCGCGGCUAUCCUGCUAAUACUGGCAACCAAAGACAUGAGGUUCUUCAUACCAACAUAAUCAUUCUCCCAGUAUUGGAAACAUACUUUUGUAAUAACAUGAAUGUCUUUAAUCUCUGUGUACCUUCCUAUUUGCUCUGUCAGCUCAUUAGCUGCUGCAAAUAUUUCUUAGCUAUUAGAUCCUCUUUCUUCAUGGUAGAACUCCAAGACAGAUGAUAGCUCUUGCUUGUCUUCAUGAAAAAGUGCAGAAGCCUGUAUCAAUGAAGAGUAGGCCGGUACCAGCAGAAGAUAGUAAAUAGUGAGGGAAGGUUGGCUUGACAGGCUUCGUUCUGGAUGUUGUAAUCUCUUCUCAUGGUCUUUGUUCGCUUUAUUAUCCCGUUGUGAGAAUGGCUAGGACUGUGGAUCCACACGCCCUCUAGUCAGUACUUUCCGAGUAGCGCAAGGCUUCUUCGUUGGCAAACAAACGAAUUAAUGAACUAAUUUCCUAAUAUGACGUGAACUUGAACUAGCAUUGAUCAUGUCCAUGAGCUCAUAAGAAGGAGUUCUUCACGUGAGAAAGUCCAUGGCUUAGCUUAAUUCAAUAAAAAAGAAAGUAUCCAAUCGACUUUAGGAGCGCCAUAUGUUUCUAUCUGAAAUGGUAAAGCGAGGCUCGCUAUAAGGGUCAUAGCUAGUUCAGGAUUGGUAGGAAAGUAAUACAAAUGAUUGUAAUAUGACAACCCCCAGGGGAGCUAGCCUUUGUGUUAAGAUUAAAAAGAAGAGCCCUCUUGUCAUACGACUCGGUGAUUCCAUUGCUCUAUCCGGCCACAAGAUUCGAUCGCGUACAACACGUGCACGAGAUGGGUUGGGGACUUAGAAAUGAGCUAUGCUCCAAGAAUUGACCCCUGAACUACCUUUGCCCGCCUUUUCUUGUAGAAUCCAUUCCCCCUCUUUUACAUAUUUAGAAUGCUUUUAGGGCUAGUGGAAUGAGGCUGGAACCCAUCAAUAUCGCUAAACCGGGAGAGUUGCUUGUGUUGGGUUCAAAGUUUCGCUCUACCAAGGCAAGAUAUAAUAGAAUAUGCAUCCAGCUUUAGCUGAAUAUAGUGAGUGUUCAGCGAAAAAGAAGCUAUCCCGCUAAAUCUUCCCGUGGGGCCAAGGUUUGUUUGACAUAAAGAUAGAUAAGUGACCUUACUACACACCCAUGGGUGAAACUCUCACUCCGAUUUGAUUACCAGGUUGGGGAUAGGCAAACUACUUAUCAAUGCAUUUGUGUUGCUCUGGUGGCCACAUAUAGAAGAGUUGUUAGUGAAGUUAGCUAGAAAGGGUCCUCAUUUCCCUACCAUUCAAUCUUCCACCUGCCAGAUUUAUCGUCACUAUUUUAUUAUAGUGGGUAUCAGUAUCCAUUGGAUAAAUCCCUCCGCAUAACACUUCAGCCCUGACUUUUAUUGAUAAGACGAAUGUCUAUUCUGCGUGGUUAACAAGAGUUUUCCGAAUCAUCUAUACCUUCUCAGCAGCCUCCUGGACAAGAUCCGGAGCACUUCUCCCGAUGGACUUAAGCUCUUAUGUAGUAUAUAGUGACUGUAAGGAAUAGAGCUUAUGUAUAGUGCCUGUACGGAGCCACCCACCUCAAUGGUGAAAUGGUAGCAACUAUUGUGUUGUAUGCGAACUCCCAGCUGAUAGGCAAGAGAGGGGGCGGCUAGCAAGGGAAAGGAAAGCCGUAUCUUUGGCUAAAGUAUGUCAUAAGACAAUAUAUCAGUGGUCUAUACUGCCUGAAUCUGAGCCUGAACUGGUGCUGCACAUACAUGACCAGGAUAAUAUUAUUCUCCACACUUAUAACACAGACCAUUAGCCCUUCUCUUCUAUAUUCCUUCAACUAUUUUGCCCCUUGUCGAACUUUGACUGAGACAUAGCCUUGCUGCUGCGGGGCAGUCGACUUAUAAAUUACUGUCCUUCUUGUUCAUGUAGUGCAUGCCUCUCUCCAAAACUCCUUCCCGCACUUGAUUGAGCAAAAGAUGCAGCUUCACUAAUUGAGUUAGGCACCUGCACUUCCACUGCAGCUCUGAGUUCAUUCUUCAGACCCAAAAGAAAUUGUGUCACCAGCAGCAGUCCUCCUACAUUCAGAUCAUACAAUUUAACCUAGCGGAGUGGAUUCAACUACUUAAGAUAUUCUUCCUCAGAGCCAGUCUCCUCUCUAUCAUCAUCUAUCGUCUAAAUAAGUAAAUAAUGAAACCGAUAUAGAUCUUGUUGAGGACCCCCAUCCAAGCCAUAGGAAAGAAAGCCACUGGAGUGCGACGCUCAAAGCAAAAGUAAGUAAUAGGGAAACAAGGUUCUAUUAGGCUUGCAGGGCUGUUGCUCUUUGAAAGACGAGGUCUAGUGGAAGAGGCGGGUCAGGCAAGAUGAGUACUCAGAUUCGGCGCUUGCUUGACAUCUCUCUUUGAAUCUGAAACUUGACAUGACCAUUGAUUCCGCCUCCAUUGCCGGAAAGGAUAACGAUGGAUCUUUAGCUAGCUCAUAGGCAGAGGAAAGGUAUACGUUAACAGAUAAGGAAAAGUGGAUCCGCUACCAAAUACGUUGUGGAGCCGUGUUCUCUAGGGAGGUUUGAGGGUUCUUGGGAUGGGUUCUAUGUUGCUGCCCAUUCAUUUCCUAUUAAUAAGAAGAUAUGUAAAGCCAUUCAUUCUAUUAAAGAGAACUUCUAGUGGCAGAUUUUAGAUGGUAAUUCGGUGCGAUUGUUAUAAAACCCUUGGCUCGGUGGGACUGCAUUGAAUAGAAGGCCUAUUCCUAUGAACAUGUCAGAGCUGUUGGAAGGUUUGUCUCUCUCCCACUAUCUCAUUCCUAACAGGGAUUGACAUAUUUGUUUAUUAUCUUUUUUUCUCCCUGAUGAGGUGGUGCGAGAAAUUUCAGCUGUACCAAUUCCUAGAAGCAUCUGUUCUGAUACUUUGACAUGGGGGUCUUCUGUUCACUCUGACGAUUAGGAUGAAGGAAGUAUACAGGGAGGUCUGCCAGCCAUUUAAUGAGGAAGGUGGUCUUCAUUUCUCUUGCGUAUGGAUGCUUAAGGUCAUUCCCUGCAUUCCAUUUUUUGCUGGAAAGCUUAUUGGAAUAGACUUCCGUGCAGAUAACGAACUUCUUGUCUCAAGGAAUUUGCUCCCAUUGUCUGAGUGUUUUUUUAUGUUUGUGAAGGGGUAGUGGAGGACAUAGACCAUGUUCUGGUGAAGUGCACAGUAGCUAAUCAAGUGUGGAUGGUUGGUCUCCCUGAACUCUUUGAGCUGGAGCUUUGGACUCUACGAGAUAUUGGGUGCUUGCCCUAUUGAGAGUAUCUUACAUUCUCUCUUCAUCACACAGAUAGACAAAUAGGCAAUCCGAUAGAAAGAUUAUGGCUUUCUUACUAUCAGCAAGCUCCCACAGGCGAUGGACUGCUUCUGACUUCUUCAUUCGGUUUGUAGCCAUACCGUAUAGAGUGAAAAAUGCCUUUUUUGGAAGUAGCUAGAUUCAAGCAAGCAUCCUAGCAAAACGAUCUUUUGACAAUGGGCUCUGCCUAACACUGGGACUGACUGACUUUAUACAGAGAUAGAAAAGGCAGCAAUCCAAGCUCUUUUUGAAUCGGAUAUUGGAUAGGCUAAGCUAGGUGUAGCUCGCUUUCUCUACGGUUUUGCUGAACUUGUCAAGCCCGGGGGGCCUUUAGGGAAUUUUGGAGAACGAUAGAUUCUAGGAUAACACGACACUAAGGUUCAAAGGGAUGGCAUGGGUUAAGCAUCUUACUUUGGACCUUCGAGCUAAGUUAUUUAAUAAGGGGCUUCUCCUACUAAUUAAUUGGAAAUCCUUUUUACAAAUAUCCUCCUCAGAGCGCCCUGUAACCUUACCUUUUCUGAAUGGUACACUUUAAGACGUUUGGAAUAGAAGAAGAGCAGUCGUCGAUUGAUUGAAAGUGGAUUGACGGCAUUCAUCAGUUGAUUGAAAAUGGACUUCUCUUUUCUGAUCGAGCGAGGUCCCUUUUGGGCUUAAAAGUCCUUUGAGCCGUUGAAUCCCUUUUGUCUUGAUUUAGGAGAAUAGGCGCAUUGAUUAGGUUACGUGGUUUGAGAAAUCUGCAGGAAGUUUCUUUUCUAUUUAUUAUAUAUACCAUUCAUAUUCAAGUAAGACGGAUAGGGCAUAUUUGACUAGGAAGCAAGCAAAGCAAGUCCCUCCAUACCAACUAGCAGUCUUGUUUAGGGAGUAUCCUUCUUUACUGAGUCAGGUUCCCGGGUGCCUAUGCGAUUAUUAAGGCAGGGUGCUACUGUACCCGUAGUAGAGUGGCUUGAAUCAAAUCGUUUGUCUAGAGAGGGUGUAGCGAUAACCAAAGCUGACUGUACUAGAAACUUGAGAUCCUGUACAGGCAACUGGCCUUAGAAUAGUGUAUUGAACUACAUGACAGGAAUGACCCAUAAUCAUUGGCGAAGAAGGCUUGGAAAAGGAUAAAACAUAUUGAAGAGAAGCUUUCACAAAGGCCAAUAGCCGAUAGCUGAUGUCACUAGCCUUAACUUCUUUAUCUACUUGAAAGUUGAUGAGAGUACGGCUUUCUUAAAGGAAGUGCCCGUGCCUAUGAUAUUUUUUCCUAGUAAAGUAAAUAAAAUUGGAUUCGCCUUUUUCCGUAUAUAUAAAGGCAAGGGAAGCUCUUCGUCGAGAUUCUUAUCCAUUGAAGAAAAAGACAGACUGAAACAUUAAGACUCAAACCUGCCCCUUUAUUAUUAUUAGUAAGUAAGAUAGGUUGCUUGAGCCAAUCCUUAAAUCGUGGGAGGAAAAGGCAUAAAAGUGAGCCCACCCGACUAAAGGGGAGAAAUACAGAACUUCAAAAUAAUCGAAGAGUGGUCGGAGGUUUGAUAACCCAAGGCAAAUCCACUUCACAUUAUCUUGUUCCUGGUCAAGCUCCCGUACCCGCUCCUUAGUCCCAUCCUCCUCAUCGAAUUAAAGUAACGUAAGGUUUCAUAAGAAACAAUUCAAUAAGCGUAUCAAAGAGAAUGAGGUCUAGCACUCCGAAAUACCAUCGAGAAAGAGCAAUAGAACAAGGUUAGAAUAAGAUCUCCAAAAUGGGUGGGACAACCAAAGGUAAUUCAAUGGAUAAUCGGUCUACUUAGUGCGUAGGCAGGCCCAACGGUAUCCAAUCAAUGUAGUCGGCAGAACAAAGGAAACAUGAAUGAGAGAUAAGAAAAAAAUAUAAGUACCGAGAGGAAAAUAAAGCUCGAAUCCAUAACAUUCUCCACGCACCCACCAUUCAUUAGCAGCGACCUUACCACACAUCAUUACCACCAACCAUUUCACUUGAAUCUGUAGCUUUGCUACCUUCGCAACUAGAGGCAAUGAAGAUAUUCUUCCUUUAUUUGUCUUUCUUGGCAUCAAUAACAAAAAGAACCAUAGGUGCACCAACCAAGGCAGAGAUUGGAGAUACUACAAUUGGAGUGCAGUGACCAUACCCGAGAUAGAUCUGAACCGACGGUUGCGGAGAAUAGAAUAGGUACAACGGAAAACCAUGGGAAUAACGAGAGGGUACGUAGGGAACAUGGCUGACCAAGCUCCUUUUUCUAAAGAUUGCAAAAAUUGGCCGGUGUUCUUCCCAACUGCUCCAAUAAACGUGCCUACACCCCAUUCCGUCUAGAAAAUGAUAUGAUUGACCGAUAGUACUUAUGAAACCCGGCACUGAACUAAGGGUUUGAUUUGCGACCUCCUGAACUGUUCGCAUUGCUCUCCUCAGUUCAAGGCUAUGAUGAAAGUUCAGAUUGCCUUCCUAAUGUACGGAAUACGGAAUUUAGUCGAUGCUAAACCUCUGUUCUAGCUGAGACUAAUGGCACAGAUUUCUAGUGCUAUAACAGAAACUGCCCUUAACGCGCAAAUGAAAGACCUCACAACACUCUUUACCUGCAACUGCUCCCGCUUAUGGUAGUAGAUAAACAGGUGGUGGACAUGUAUCUGUAGCCUCUGCUGCUGGUAGAUUGACUGUUUUAUAUGGACUGAAAAAAACAGAGGGUAGUGCUUGAGAAUGCUACUCUAUUCCUGGAAUUAGCCAUCCCCUUCUUUGACUAUUCGACCUGCUCCUCGAAGCAAGGAAGGGAAUGAAGAUGGCAUUGAAUGCCCUUUCCGCAAGAAGGAUAGGAGUUGGCUUACCGCAUCUACCUUCUCAUCGCGGGAUAAGGGCUGGGGCGUUAACUCAAGUACUAAAGCUGCUGGAGCGGCUGCCUUCGUUGAUUCCCCACGAAGGAAUCGGAAUAUCGCUACUUCCCCUUACUGCCCUAAGCGGGGGAGAUGGAUUAAAAACCUUGUGUGAAGGAAAGGCUGUCAAAGUCGUUGACCAUUAAUCCGGUUGAAGGACAAAUGGAUAGUGAAUCAACGGAAUCGAGUUGUUCUAAGGACUCGGAUUCGGCAGUCGAGACAUCUAUAUCUAUGGAAUUUCAAAAGAGAGAGAAGGAUCCGAAUCUGACCCGAGGACGAGCUCAAACCUUAGGGUUUGAAAAUAAGAAGUAAAUCUCUCGUUUACUUCAAUCAAAAAAGGUAGGUCAUAACACAUAUUGAAUUAGACCUUACUCAAUCACUCAUCGCUGGAAAAAGUAGAGCGAUUUCCUCGCAAAAAAAGCACGAGCGAGAUAUUCUUCCUUAACAGGGAUCUCAAUUGCGGGAAGAAGUACAAAGGGCAAAGGCAGAAGUGGAAGGGUCAAACUCCUCUAUCGGGGAAAGACAAGAAGGAUAAAAGUGUAAAAUCACUUGUUUAAAACAUCUAAAAAAUAGAAAUGGCUAUUAGAAGUUGUAUUUUUGGUGGUCAAAGGGAAGGAAUCAGAAAAGAGGGAAGCGCUCUCAAGGUAGAAUCAGUUCCAGGCAAGUAUGUCCAUUGAAAGGAAAGAGUCCCUAAACAAAACAGACAGGUUUUCAGCAAAUAAGACGGGUCCUGGUCUUCGGCAACAAAAGAAGCCGAAGCGAGAGCUCGAACAAAGAACCUUUAUAGAUCCUCAUCAUCCUCAGGUUCUGGAUACACAACGAGAAGGGAAUCUUCCUGUUCGAAUGGAAGAUUUUUGAAAGAGAGGGGAGAAAUCAAUCACAUGCGUGAGCGGAUCGAGCUAUUAUAUAAUAAGUAAUGGCUGAAAAAGCUAUUCUUGGUAGAUCCACUUGUCAAGGCGCGGAAAGCCGCGUUCCUUCUCAGCUCACGCUUUCCUGAUUGAUUUGAAAGACCCUACACACCACCAUAUGCUUGGAUUUCUUCCCACUUUCAAAGAAUUUGCUAUCAUUCUUUCGAUUCUAUCUCCUCGCUUUAGGUCUUAUGCUUCUUAUUAAAGGGGUUAUGCCACUCUGAGUCCAUCAGUGUUGAAAGAAUGGACAGAGACAUGCAAAUACAAAGUACUAAUUUGACUACCGAUAGAGAGCAGAGCUAGAGACAAGAUGCCUAGGACCUGGAGGAGAUCCAUAAGAACCAAGUUGUGGAGAAGAUAGCAUCAAACUGGAGAUAAUAAACCUAACUCUCCAUGCUUUAAUCGAGAAUGGAUACAGGGUCGUCGAGCGAAACCUUUAUUAGGGGGUAGACCUACCUUGUUUUGUUGACUUAUUGCUUUCCAGCAAAGCGUGCCGGCCCUAUCUCUAAAGCACCAAACUUCCACAUUUUAGGAGAUGCCCUAUCUUCCCUUAAAGAGCCAGCUUAUUGAAUAGAGCUGUCACUCCUUACCUUACCUAAGACCCCUUCGGGAUAUCUUUUGAAAACCUUUUCUCUGAAAAGAAAAGAUGUUUGCGAUCCCUUGCCCGCUCGAUUAAAGAAAGUGGGAUCUGGCCUUGCAUUUUUUAGAUAGGGCUCCCUCACGGCAUUCUUGCUCUUGCAUUUGAAAGUCGAAUCAGGAUUCCAUCUAGAGAAAGGUUCCGAUUGGAACUAGUGAAUGUGUAUGCCGAACGUAGGCAGGUAUACCUGACCUUUGAUAUUAAGCUAUGAUCUCUCUUCUCUCUCUUGAAGUUCCCACAAAGCGACUCUGAACCUAAGACCGGGUUGUGGGAUGUCUUUUGAUAUUCUAAACUAAGAAAAUCGCAAUUGGAUUUCUUUUUAUAUCCCUAUGAUAGGAAAUGAAAGAAAAGGCCGAGCUUAAGCCGAUCCCAUUGCGGAAAGAAAAGAGGCUCUCCCAUUCCCACCUGAUACGUCAAAAGCAAUUGACUAAUAGGGGAACCAACCAGUCGAAUUCGAUUGAUUAUGUCACUCCGCAUUACUAUAAAAGGGCAGCAUCUUUCUACUAAAAUGGGCUUUGGCACUCCUUCCGCUAUUACUCGAAAUAAUAAUAAUAGUGAAAGGGUAGUCGAAUUUGUGACUACGUCAAAGGCUCGUUUCACUUGAAUUUAAAGGCUCUAACUCCUACUUAUUUAUAUUAAUUAAAGCUUGCCCAUGGCUGCUUUCUUCCCGUUUCUUUCUUCUUUCCACUAAUCUAAUGGUUUCAUUCUCCCAUCGAGAGGUUACGAUACUAGCAAGAGUUCUAUUCUUCUCCUCUUGAUCCUACCUUGGGUUAUGUUUGACAGGGAUGGUCAGUGAACUUCUAUUGGUUUCAGAGGAGGAUAGAGAUCCAUUGGGGAAGGCUCGAAAGGUUAUUCGAUAUCAAGGUUGACCCUCGACGCGCCGCAGCCACUAUUUUUACUCCUUUUAUGCAAUUAUGAACGAAACUUUCUUGAUUCCAAUGCAACUUAUCCUUUUGGAGUUGACGUAACAAACUACGCGAGCCUCCCGAUGAAGCCAACAGAAAUGCUAUCCGAAUACUAAAAAUAAAAGGCAAUUUCAUUAUGGUGGUAUACCAGCCGCCAGUUCUGGAACUUCCAGUUCCAAUCGGAGCAUAUAGAUCCGUAAAUGGAUUUGUAUGUAUAGCCACUUCAGUCGUGCUCCUCGUUUCUCGAAUGAAAAAAAAGUAUCUUCUUUCUGGGAACAAGCUAAACCAGAAAUUAUUACGUUCGUGAUUCUUCAUCCACCGAUGCAGAAAAUCUUCCAGUUUUCCAUUCUCAUAUGAGGCAGGAAAGUUUAUGGGCAACAGGUCGGCAUGAAGUGAUUCAUCAUGUUCAAACAUGAACCUUUCGCUCGUUGGGGACGGUUUAUAAAUCAUCGAAUUCCCACAAAUGGAAUGAGAAGUGGGUCCAUGUAAAUGACCGAGACCUCACAAACAACAACGUUCCUUCCCCAUAUGGAGUUCGGGACCCAAAGGCAAUCGUUGAGUGAAGUGUAUCUUAUUCGUAUUAGUUGACCUAAGCCGCACCAUUAUUGCAGGGGUGGGGCUCGGCCUCCGAACCGUACGUGGGACGAGUUUCUGCCUCAUACAGCUCGGGCCGAAGACCGGGGAAGUUGAGGAGAGAUGGGGAGACCGAACUGCUGCCGGUCGGGACGGACAGGAAAGGGGGCGGGGUAAGCUUGUGAAGAAGCAAGCUUAUUGCCCCACCCCCCAAAAACAAACCAAACCCAGCAAGAAAAUGUAUCCGCUUUAGCAACAAAGCGCUCAUCCCUUGCUUGCUGCUUCGCGUUCUUUCUAUUCCAUCCCAGUCCAUUCCGGGAUAGGCGACUAAUAUAAUAUGUGCAGUAGUCGUCGUCUCACCAAUCGGCCCGGACACCAGACCGCUUGUGCUCGCCCAUUCUGUCUCGCCCUAAAUGGAAUGGCUCUCUUAGUUACGCUGUGCCCCGACCCGAGUCCCCACGUCCGCUUUUAUCCGCCCGCAACCUGGCCAACACAACAUUAGGGCCGUCCCCCCCCAUUCUAUGCUGACCCGGGCCGGGGCUCGCUUUUUAGGAAGCCCGUUCCCACCGCGCUCACUGCCCGGCUGGCCUGCCAGCGGUAGUGGGAAUUCUCCCGUUCCCUGGUCAAAAAAGGUUGGUUGGAUGCGGGAUCUACUCCACGAGGAGCGGUACGGACGUAGAUGAUAUCAUCACGAGCUCUCUUUGCGUACCGCUAGGGAUGCUUAACGCCACUUCGCCAACUGGCAUUACUUCCGCUUUCAUGUCUCUCAGUGUGGUUAGCACUAGGUGUUUCCGAGCAGCGAGGCUUACACCCAUUCGCAUUAAUUCAUACAAAGUUCCUUACCCUUAUGCACGAAUUUUGGAAUAAGCCAUCUUCCUAUCAAGGUUAAGGAGUCAACUGAGCAUCUCAGCGGCGGGAUUGAAUACCCGGAUCGAAUCAGAGUUCACGCCGCCCGCCCUGAACAAAUAGAAUAGGAGGCGUGGGCCACAAGUCGCACAUAAGCCAUCGGGUCGCACGACAGAAGAACACCCAACAUAAAGAUGCACACUCCUCCAUGUGAAAUAGAAAGAUUCAUCUUCACUUUUUUGUAGUAGUCGUGACCAACGGCCAUCAGCAGUCGGCUCGUUAGUAAGGUGAGAGCUUCAAGCCCGCUUUCUGGUGGCACACCCCCCAAACAAGCACCACUCGACGAGCGGGGGGCGGGGGGGGGGGGGAAGCUNNNNNNNNNNNNNNNNNNNNNNNNNNNNNNNNNNNNNNNNNNNNNNNNNNNNNNNNNNNNNNNNNNNNNNNNNNNNNNNNNNNNNNNNNNNNNNNNNNNNNNNNNNNNNNNNNNNNNGGGGGGGGGGGGGAAGCUACAUGCCCAAAACCUUCGACCCUUCUUUCUAUAUGGGGGUGCGUGGGGCAUCUCAUCUUGUCAUUUUUUUGCUCAUUCCCCUUAGGCCAAAGUGUUUGGCCUUUACUUCGGAGCGCCCGCUCACGCUUCGCUGACCUAUCGCGUGGUAAAGAGAAGAGAGUACGAAAGAAUUGUAAACAGAGCAGACCGCAAAAAAAUUCUAAAUAUGACAAGUCCCCCAUGGAUUCGAUAAUAAGGAAAUGAAGAACGGGAACAAAACGAAAUAAAGCAUUUCUAGCGGAUGAGGUUCUCUCCAUUUUGUCUGGUAAUAGAAUAGGGCGGCUUGCUUUGACCAACACUCCACUUUUUGCUCUGUCCAUGGAGCGUAUGAAUUUCCUUAAAUGUAGAUAGACCAAAAAAGGGAAUAAAGGGAUAGGAAUAGGAAUUAUAGUACCAUUGGAAGAAGAGGCACCAGUGGGAACAUCUCUACUGACGAACCAUUUCAAUAGUACAGGUGCUGCCGUGCCACGGGGCACGACCAUGGAAGUAAUGAAAAACAAGAAGUUCUGUAGUUGGACCAUCUGCUCUAUCCGUUCGAUUUGAGCUUCUCCAGAGAAGAUGAGACGAUAAAAAUGAAAGUGUUCGCAACGCAUACCGAAAAAGGGUACCUAUGUUGCCGACCAUUAAUGACUAGUUUGAAGACCAAGAGCAGGGGCACGAGCCAAGAAAGAUUUGUUACUUUCCCUAUGGUUUUCGAACAUUUUCAAUGAAACCUUCUCGUAGAAGUAUUUUCACAAAGUUUUCGGUAAUAUUAGUAGAUGCUAUUCGAACCCUUCCUUUUAUUAAGAUUAGAAUUCUUAUUCUUAUUAUUAUCUAAUUAUUCUUUUUUUUCAUGUAUAUGCGUCAGACACAAUCUACUAAUUGAUCUAUAUUCUGAUACCCUACUAUAUCAUAGUCUCUACUACUAGUAUUUUUAAUACCUCAGGAGCUCAUGAGACUCUUUUAGUGAAAUUCAUAAGUCUCAAUUCCCGAGCGAUCGCACCAAAAACUCGAGUUCCUUUUGGAUUUCCUUCUUGAUCAAUGACAACCGUCAUCAUAUCGUAUUAUCAUACCGUUGUCACGUUUGAGUUCUUUACAUGUACGUACAAUUACAGCUCGUCUUACUUCUGCCUGAUCUUUCUAGAGGCAUUUUGGGCACUGCUUCUUUGAUUACAGCAACAAUAACGUCACCAAUAUGAGCAUAUCAGUGAUUACCAGCUCCUAAGAUUCGAAUACAUAUCAAUUCGAUAGCCCCACUCCGUUGUUAUCCGCUACAAAAGGGUCUGAGUGAGAUGGAUCCUGGAAGUCUGGUUUUUGAUUGGAUAGUGAUCUCGGGCACGAGUGGUUGAUCUUCGCGGGCCGUGAAUGGCCAUGGAAAGGAGUAUUGAUGUCAAUAUGUUCGAUCGAGAAGAUUGGACGAUGAAAGACGGAUCCUUUGUGGUUUGAGUAAUAGGCUGUGGUCUCGAUAUUGGGCUAUGGGUUGAUUGCUUUAUGUAUGAGCCUCUUGUGAUUGGGCUCUCGUGGACGGAUUACCCGAUGUGUACUCAUCUUCCAAAAAAGUGGAGAGGACAGGGCUACUACUGGUCCACGCAUAAGAGCUCCUCUAUGUCUUUCCGAAAAUUACUUUGACUCGCAAAGGUGAUCCCAACCCACAAUACAAUCAGUAGUUUACUUAACUGAUAUAAAGAGUUUCCCCUGCGUGCCCCUACUAUCAAUUGAUAAUACAUAAAUGAUCCGGGGCUAGUGUUGGGUAGACGGGCCCACUAGAAUUCAAGUGCUUCUUAUCGAUUCAAUACGCCCUUAACGGAUCCCCGUGCUUUAUCUCCAUUGGGUGGAGCAAGACCCUUGUCCUAUCUUUUCUUUACACAGCAACAGAAAUGAUGGUUUCCCCUCGCUGCACUUACCAAUGAUAUCUCAGAAGAGAGAAAGACUUCUAUAACUUGCCAAUGAUAUCUAGUGGGCACUACGAACUCCAGGCAUACUGUACUUGACCACCCUACUUUGCUUUGUCCCUAUUAGGCGAAAUCAAUACUUACUUUCAAUUGGUAGAGAGGAAGAAGAGAACUGACACUAGUAAUAGGUUGAUGACUCCUCUUAACAGAACUGACACUAGUAAUAGGUUGAUGACUUCUUUGACUUAAUAGCUGGCCGACUUCUCUUCAUGGAUCACCGUUCUAUAUAGUUAGGCGCAACAUCGCGUUUAACCACCUAUCCCUAUUCCCUCAAUCGAUACCGUCCAACUAUCCUUUUAUUGGGACAGCAGCAUAAUUCUCGUUAGGGACAAUAGUUCCUAUACUUAACUAACCUCUGUGCGCAAUCACUGUUUGACACUUCAUUCUUUCAGCUUUACGUUCUUGACGACUCUGUUUGACGGAGCCUGACCUUGAACUAGCUUUUUGCAACACAAACCACUAUCUUUACUUUCCUUUAGCAAUAGUAUCUAACUAUCAAUUCAUAAGAGUCAAACGGGUGGGUCCAUCCCAUCUAUCAACAGGUCCUGAUACCGGAUCUGGGAAACAAGCAAUACUCGCCGCAAUCCCUUAAUGAAAAAAAAGACCUAUCUUCUCUUGAAAGACUGUCCUUUCCUCGCUUGUUAUUGUGAUAUCAAUGAAAGAAAGCUGGAUACUGACUUCUUCCCAAGAGCUCUAUCAGCCCUGAAUUCCUUAGCCAUACGACUCUUCCUUAGUUUCCUAAUGCUGGUGGCCCUAGCUAGUGGUGAGACGGGGCAUAUACUAUUCUCGGUCUUAUAACGAAGAGGUUGCCUAGUUUGAACCGAACACUAUACUUGAUCUCUCGUCCUAUCACAAACAAGUCUCUUCCCCCGAGUCCUAGUAGACUAGUCCAAGUAGUCCGGGACAAUAGCGUCCCAUCUCUUCGCUGACCCCUGGCACACAAUCACUAUAAGACAAAGAAAGACAAACCUCUCUUAUCCUUCUCGGCUAGAAGUUACAAGUUUCCUGUUCCAGUUUCGGCUUGAGGGAAGUGCCUGAAAUCGGUUCAAUUCUUAUCUCCGAUUUCGAACUCCGGCUGGUUUCUUAUGACCAAGAGCUAUUUUCUUGGUCAGAAGAAUGGAAGGACAACGAGAAGAUGGUUCGGUUGCUCCUGCUGGAAUAUUCCAUUUAUUUAAUACUCCAACUCGCGUAACCCCGAAUGGCAAUGUUGUUAUUGCGGUUGGUCGGAUCAAUAAGACAACAAGGGAGUCAGAAUAUUCUGAUAAUAGCAAAAAGGGCUUUGGAAUCUAUGGAAGGAGCCUUCAAUGCUUCUCCAGUGUCAACCAUUAGUCGAUAACAGAAUGAAAUGCCACAAUUAAGUUGAAAAAGAGAGUCAUUAAAAAGAGGCAUGCUUGAAAAAGAGUACAGAUAAUAUGUUAUGGAUGUGAGGAGCCUCACCCAGUACUUUUCUUACUAAACUAAAAAACUCUACUCUCCUUUCACAGCCAACCCACCCAUUGCUUUUUCGAGCUCGAUAAAAAGGAAAGUUCACGUGCCAAUCCUUACCAUUGGUAACUAUAAUUACCAAGCCUAAUCUUUCACUAAAUACCGAGUAAAGCAAGCAAGAAAGAGGGAAGGAGCAGCUGUUUUCGAGCUAGGCUCGAUCCCUUUUUCAUCCACUUCUCGCUAUUUUUAAUUCUACUUGAACUAGUUCUUCCUAAGUUUAGUGAGGUCAGUACUGCAUCCAUAACUAGAGGACUUGCUUUUCUGCUUGGCUCCCACGGGAAGUUGGAUUGGAUAAGAGGAAUUGAAGCGCAAGGAAGGCAUUCGGUAUUCAAACAACUAUUCAGAGUUCCCAACUCUGGGUAAAGGAAAUCUGUACUUGACGACUGAACCAAAUCCUUUGCCUUUAUUUAUUCUAUUAUUUUUAUAUAGAUCAGCUAAAAACAAAACAAAAUACUACUACGUUGGGACAAUGACCCACCUUUCUCUGCUCAACCUGUCAUCUUCUCUCCUCGCUCCCUGGGACAAAUAAGACUAUUCAUUAAGUGAUAAACAAGAGAAACUAGUGAUAUUAUCUAAGCUUCUGGCCAUGUCUGAUUGGCAUUCAAGUCUGCCUUCCAUUGCUUGAAAAGGCCUAGCACCGUAAGUAGAAAUUGGCUAUGUCCAAACUCAAACGUCGUAUUUUAUCUAAGCACAUGAGUUAUAAUAAGGAAAGAAGACAUAAGAAUGGGAAGUAUCCGCUAGUUAUAACAUAGUAUAAAGAUAGCUAUUUCAUGGAUCUUGGUCACAAUAAAAAGAAUCCAAUAAUGAUCUAUCAACUAAAUGAGUUUAUUAUAUAAUCCCGUAUCUUCAAGGUUGUUAAGAUGAUUUAGUAGAUGUGUCGGUAUCGUUUUCAUCUGCCGUGGGGAGUGACUGCUUUGCUAAUCUAUCCUUUUAUCCUUCUUUUCGGAGACAAGCACAUAUUACCGUAACCUAGUGAUUAAUAUAUCCCGUUGGUACUACUUCGUCGAGCAAUCAAUCCUUUUUCCAUUCUUGUUCUGAGGUUGUCAGCUUCCUCCGAUGGCACCACUUGUACUCUCUGUCGGAAUCUGUAGACAUAGUUUCUGGGCGUCUUUAAAAACUGAUCGACAUAGUUGUCACACACAAACCUGCGCAACGGCUUUGGAGUAAAAGAAUCUCCUGCCUGGUCACACACAUCAUCUCGAGCACGGAAUCUACUACUCUAACAAGAUACUCGGCUCGGGUAUAUCAUGCUUUCGUUAUGCGAGGAAAGUGAAAGGAAAGAGGGAAAGGGAGACACUGAGCAAUCCGGAAUCGAUGAAAUCACUGUUUUUCGCCUUGUAAUAUGUCCGGUUACAUUCCAAAGAUGAAUCAGAGCAGGAGAUAAGAAUUUGAAAAGUAAUGAUCAACUUUAUGGAUCCAUAGGUAGAUUCACUUGUGAAGCUAUGGGAUGGGACAAGAUUCAAAAGUACCAAAAGUAAGUUAAGUGGGACGCUGAGUUCAUUGCUGCAAUCGAGGGUCCAAAGCUUUGGGAGAAGAGGGGAUCUGUACCUUCAUCUGAAAACUAUUCGCCGGUUGUCCGCAUUCCUCUCCUCGAGCGAAAGGUGUUCCCACGCAAUCGCUAUCGCUGUUCCUACGACGUAGUCAAUACGCAUUGGAAUAAUGGCAUCCCCUCCACCAUAGUAAGAAGUAACGGGUCUACGCCCUGCUUCCUUGUUCGGUUCUGGUUACGGGAACGGUUGACUUUCGAAAUAAAAUACCCUUCUUCCCUGUUUUGCAAAUUCACCUAGAGCUAGCGAAGCGAGUCCGUUUCCUAAGGACGAGCGAUGAAGAGCUUUUUAGAAUUAAAUAUUGGUCUACGCCCUCCUUUGAUGCCCAGAGGAAGAAAAGCGAAGGCAAAGCAAUGGCAUGGGCAUGAAAGGCUACGUGAAUAAGUACUUCCCCGAAAGAAAGGGGGCAGUCUAAGGCGGGACCUAUCCACUACUUGUGAAGUAAUAGAAGAGAGGAUUUCUCAUAUCUAGCGGAAGUACCACUACAAAUGCUAGGCUCCGUGGAAAGGACAUCGGCUCCUACGCAUCCUACGCAUUAGCGAACCUACGAUAAAUGAAAUACGAAUUAUUAGCGCUAUUAGGGACGAGCUCCUGCUUCCUCCGUUUCCUAUCCGAUCAGAAAUCCUAUCCUUGCUAAAACCAAUCCAAUCCACGAAAAGCAUCGUAUUGUAACACUUGUUAAAAAACAAAAAGUGUUGUGAAUUCGAUUGAGUUCGAAAGCACAUUCCCUUGCUAGAGAUAUUCCUUUUAUUCAUCCCGGAUUGUGUGAAUGCGUUCACACCUAUCCCGAGUGGGUAUAGUUACGUGGUUAAGUAAUCCCUUCCUAUGCGAGGUUCAUUGUAUGAGAGAACAUAAGGAAAGGCUUGAUACAUCCAUGUCUAGCUCAUGUCGAUCUUCGUGUCAUUUUUCUUUCAUUAGCUUAGUAGGAUAGUCCACAUUGCUAGGAUGUGUGGGUCUAGUCAGGUUGUGACCCUCGAUCAAACCAUCCUAGCAAUGCCCUCUUCUCAAAACAGGCGUUCGAUGUACGGAUCAUCGCCGCUUGUCUUUGGGGGUGGGAUUUUGGAAUUGGAAGGUUUGACAGCGCGGCAAAUAAGUAAAUCUCUUGGACAUAGCUAAAGAGAAAUCGAGAUUGUGUGUUUGGAGUGGUGUAGAUUGUAGAUUCCAGCCGAGAAGACCAGGAAAGAUAAGGAUAAAGAAUCUUAUAUAACUCAGGAGCUAGAUCACUUCCCGAUGAACAAGUCAGAAUUGCCUCAACAAAAAUGGAUGGAAUUGGACCGAAAAAUCCAUUCAGCUUCGUUAUCGAUUAGGUAUCAGUGGGAACAUCAAGAUGAAUGAGUUAACUAAGUAUCAGAUCGACCAAAUUGAACAAAUGAUAGCUCAAGAUCAUGUUGUUCAUUGGGAAUUGAAGAGGGGAGAACGAGCAGACAUCGAACGAUUAAUUUCUAUUUCUCGUUAUCGUGGAAUUCAUCAUCAAGAUGGAUCGCCCUUACGCGGUCAACGAACUCAUACUAAUGCAAGGACUGCUCGCAAGCAAAUUCGGAAAUGAAAGAAGGCUACCGAAAGAACAAGCAACGGAUUUCGCGCUCAUCCCUUGCUAAAACGCAUACAUUUUCUUGCUCCUUGGUACUUGUCUGAUCAAUCACACUGUUCAUUAGUUCACUUGAUUUUUCGUUCGAUGUCUUGAACCGCUUACUAGUCACGUAUACGUAUAGUAGGCCCCCUUCGCCACUCCACGUCUGGCCCGUCUUGGUCUCGCUCACUUCACCCGCCUAUCGUAUCGGCUCGGCUUCGUCCGUCAAGCGACAGCUUCUGCCUCUGACGGCUUCACUAUCGCUCAUGACUGGUAGUAGUUGUCUCUAUGUAGUAGUCGGCCUUUGUUAAGCUUCGCCAGAAGCGACUAGUCGCUUCCCGAAUGCCUCUUUCAUGUACUAAUUAAUGUGUAUGGUCUAGUCUUUCCAAUGCCUCCUUCCUUGCCGCCAACGCACGCUAGAUGGAGAGUAAGCAAGCUACCUUUCUUGCAUUGCAUUCGUUAAACGGUAGCUUUUGCGCCCUUCCUGCCUGCUUCAAUUGAUGUGAAUGAUCGUGUCUUCGACAUCAAUUUCAGUCUGAUUAGAUAUGUCAUUGAAACAAAUCUGUUUUAUCUCUAUUUUCUUGUUGGAUGAUGAGGAUGAGCGAGCCGAUCCUAACAUAAUUUUGGAGGAGUCGGACGACGAAGCCUCAAAAUCAGAUAAAGAUGUCUCCGACGCGAUCGGACUUCCACUAGAUUUUUAUAGGGGUCAGGAGGGAAAACAUAUGCUGUUUUCUAUCAGUCCCAAGCGGAUACUCCCCAUCUUCCACGGUCCGCUUACCGAGGAAGAGAUGCGGGAGGACCCAGGGCCAGAGCAAGUUGGGUUGGGGUAUAGAGCCGUAAGCACGGUGAGGGUGAUAGAGGAUGUGCUCGUACGGUUCAUAGUUGGGUAUGAUAUUCUCGUGGAUUGUUGGGAACGUCCUCUAUAUUCGAAAUAUACCUUUCUAGGAGCAUUACGAUCUGCAACUCAAAUGGUCCCUUAUGAAGUCUCUAUUGGUCUUAUUCUUAUUGUGCGCCUUGUGAGCACGUUUGGAUCCGCGAAGGAAAUCGCUCGGAUCUUCCCCUAACCCAACCCGGGAACGGACCGGAGGGAACCGCAGCAUGAGGAAUGUCCGCGUCUCCUCGCAAGGCUCAUUUUGGGUUUUGGGUCAUAGGGCGGGCAGUGCAGUUCGGGGCACAAGGGUCCUGGUACUACCCAGGUGCGAAGAACCCUGGAGGCGACUGCAAUGAGAAAAAAUGUAACUCACCAGCCUAAACGACGAGCAAACACUCGAACGUGAGAGCAAGGGAUCACCCAAUGAAUGGACGAGCUCAAAGGAGGGAGGAGAUAGGGAGGCAAGAACCAUGCUUUCAGAGAAGUGGCGGUCCGAAUCCACUCUGACAAAAUAAAAUAACAGACUAAGCCGUGCCAUAAGGGGGGCAUUCUCCACACGGGACGGGGCCAAGGCCUUCAUGUAUGGGUGACAGAUCGGCCAUAGGAGCACUCCGGGAUAUACACCAGGGCAACUAAUGUCGAGCAUACAAUGAUGCCGCCCGUUUUCAUUUCGUGAAAGUCCCCGGCAGAGGAAAGGGCUGUAGGUGAUGGCGCGUUCUGCUUCUUAGGGCGUUGAAAUCGUUCCUAUGGGAUCGUGCGUGGCAGCUGGUAUAGAUGAUGAUGAAAGGCGGGCCGCUUGAACCGGGACCUAUUCUCAUAAUAGGCAGCAAGCAAAGCUAAAUAGGAAAGGGGGCGACUGAUGACUGCCUUUUUCGUCAGAAAUCAAAAAGGGUGGAAUGUGGAGCCAAUAUGGCUAGCUACAAGUAUAGCCAAAGAAAGAUGAGACGAGACGGACUAUCAGAGGACGCAGCGGGACUACCAGGGGAAAGCCCACCCCCUCUAGCUAACAUAGAUAUCUAUUCUCGGUGCGCAUAUUCGAGAUUUAGAACCUCUUUCCGACCAGGCUAGGCCGAAUCGGGCCACCACUUGGGAUGGGAAUGGCUCAGCCCACAUGCAUCAUUUGAUGAAAGCACUCCAGUCCAGUCGCCUCCGAUCAGUGGCUUGUCAACCACCGGACCGUAGCUCCUCACCAAAUGCCCCUGCGUUGGGGCAAAACAGCACAUGACCAGUUCGCUCAAGGACCACACCCUCUCGAGAGCAGGAUGCCGGCCGAGAUGGAGCGCUAACCUAGACUUUCCUUGGGCUUGCCUUGCCCCAACAUCUAAAUAAAGGGCGGGCGCCGAAAAGGAAGCAGUGACGCCUUUUCGACGAAAGCUUAGCUUGGUAGGCGCAGCUUACUCACCCUACUCCCUUAGACAAUGCAAUGCUCUGAACACGAAAGUUUGCAGUUCCGCCCUCUUCUCCCAUGCAGAGUCGCAGGCAGCGCCUCGGAUAAAAGCACGGACGAGCCACAUGCAGGGAAACUUGCACGUGUGGUUCUGGCCGGGGACCCCGGUAUACAGUACUAAUAUGUGUAGGUCCCUGUAAUUCGAGUGAGAUUGUCAUGGCGCAAAAGAAGAUAUGGUCCGGUAUUCUCUUGUUCCCCGUAUUGGUUAUGUUUCUUAUUCCUCGUCUAGCAGAAACUGAUCGAGCUCCCUCUGUUCUCCCAGAAGCGGAAGCUGAAUUAGUUGCAGGCUAUAAUGUAGAAUAUGCGCGGGAUGCAAUGCUUAAUAGUUCACUGUUGGCGGAAGCCAAUGUCUCGGGGACUCAUUCUGACUUAAACAAGGGGUGGGUCUUUACCAACUUCCAAAUCCAAGAUUUAGGGAAAAAAAAGAGGGGCAGGGCACUCUUCAUUCUUCAUUCGAAACUCAUGAAUGUCGGGUCGGAGGUUUUUGCCUUGUUAUCAAAAAGGGGAGUUGGGUAAAGCAAACUCCCUCCUUGGACGAGCACGGGGCUUAGUCAAGUAGAACCGGGUUGCGCUGCUUGAUGCUCCGAUUGAAAACAAAUCAGUGGGGCCAUGCCGGUACGACAAAAUAUGCGUUAGAAAUGUCAAUCCCUCCCCCCUUUUUGAUUUUUUUAAUGAAAAACCGGGCCGAACUUCUGAAAAACAGCCCACCCGCUUCCAUAGAAAAAUAUCGCGGCAACAUAGACCUAAGUGGAUUUAUUGGAUCCUAGGGAACCAUCACAAGUACGGCCAGCCUAUAGAACGAGAAUGCCGUGUCGUCCAGCGGAGUUUAGAAGAAGGUGACUCGGAGCCUAAGGAAGGUGACUCGCGCAGACAGCUGACUCCUUUUCAAUAGAAAGGAAUAGCCAAACCUACCCAACUGGCUGGUCAAUCUCAGUGAUCUUAUCGGCUGGCAAAGCGGAGACGACGACCACGGUCCCGACCUUACCAGCACCGUAGGUUUACUAAUCAAUGAAGCCCCUCAACCUACUAUCUUUUCUUACAAACUAAACCAAGCCUAACCAAACCCCAUGCUCACGACAUGUUCUUGAUAUUGUUUGAGUAGGAGGGACUCAGAGACUACCAUGGAAUGCUUCCAUAGUCACCCCGGUGACCUUCGUCACCAAAGCGUCACGACAGUUUCCAAGACCCCUCAUAUAAUCUCCAGUGGGGAUCAGUCGGAGCACGUAGGAAUGCCAACCACUACAUAAGCAACGUCUGGCUGAGGCGAGCAGCAAGCGGGGGAGAGUAUUUUGAAGUACAAGAACGUUGGGGUGGGACGCUAGUACUUAAACUAUGGUUGCAUCUUAGCGCUAAUCUUGCGUUUUUCAGCAGUUAGUUGUAGCGCGCCUUCCCUCCUUCUCUCAUUUCGGAAAGAUUUGGCAGUAUUUUCUUAUGAUGACCUGGUCGAGAGAGUAUGAAACAUCGGUGUAAAAGAUUGAGUGGGAUGGUUAUAGUAAGGGGCGAACCAAGUGCUUGCACGAAGAAGCGAAUCAAUCAGAAUGGAGACAAGGAAAGGAGGAGAGGCGAAACUCAACAAAAAGGGAAAAGGGAACUAGACUGACUAUCAUGAGCAAAGCGAGGGAAUUCCUUCUGAUUGGAUCCCUUAGGAGAGAGACAGAAGGUAUUAUGAAAUAGAAUCAGAUCUUUGACGAUCCAGUAUUAGCUACCAAGUGUAUGGACUCAGACUUUGAUGACUCCCUAGUGGCCAGGGAAGCGUUAGCUUCACCCUUUGAACGUCUCAUUUACUCUCUCUAGCUCUCGGCUUUACGUAUAGGAAUUUCAGGUACAUUGGUCGAUGAAAGUGAACAUCUAUCUUAUCUUAUCUUACGCCACUUACUCUAGUUUUACUUUGUGGAAGACGUCUGAUUGAAUGAUCUCCAGUCGGUUCUAUUACCAUGUGUACCCAGGCCUGCUUCCUUCUUUUUUACUAGCCUCUCUGCUUCUGUCAGUAUAGAGGAAAGUCUUCAAUCCCUUGAGAGAAAUCAAAAAAUGGCCAAUAAAAGAUACCUAGCAUGACACAUCAGCUAUGCCAUCCGAGCCUGUCCACUUGCUAGUCAGGAAAAAUAACCGCUCCGUUCCGUGGGCUUCUUUCGCUGCUCUCUUCACGCUCGCUUUACGAGUGCAACCAAGUUCAAUAAACUGUUCAUGCUAAUUCAUAGACUAUGCUGGUUUCUAUCUAAGAGUCCUGUGAGACGCUUCCUUCUCAUACACAUCUGAAGCAACGUUUGAUUAUCCGCAUUAGAGAGUUUUGCAGGUCCUUGAGAGAACGUUAUCCAAUCAGUUAUGAUUUGACCAUGGUCUGAGGUGAAAUUGGUCUUGGUCCAUAAAACGAAAGGUGCUGGGCAAGCGCAGAGAAGUCGUCUGAAGGGGAGUUCCAUAGGAAUGUUCAUCUUCGAUCAACCUUGGUUUGGUCCCAUGCCUAAAAAAGAAAUAAGGUCCAAAACAAAAUAGGGGUGAUAUAACCCACUGCUCUCCUAAGAAUGUACUGACGUAAUCCCUACUAUGGCUCCCCGAAGGAUCCAGCUGCUAAGAGGGUCCGAGCCAUAACGGAUUGAUGUGACCGUAGCGGCGACUGGAAUCGAUCUGAAUGAGGCAGUUAUGGGACUUUUCUUAUAUAACAAUAUAUAUGGAGGAAGGAUUCAAAAAAGGUGGGGGUCAAGGUGUAUAAUACGAGCUCCACUUUCACGCAAUGAGCUAGCUUAACCCUGAUUGCUUAAGGUUUAAUACAGUCAUGUUGGAUCUGCUACUAAGAAUGGAAGAGAAAGACUGAUUGCGACAGCUCAACCGGAUGAGACAUCUCUUAUUUACAGAACUGUGCCAACGUGUGCCUACAUUGUUUGAUUUACCAGUUCCGGGUAUUGGAUUUUGGAAUAGAAAGAAUGAAACUAGUACCAGCUUAUCGCCAACCGUGCUUUCUACCAACUCCGCCGACCCCAGAUGGGAAUAUUGAUUGCGAUUUAGCCGCACCUGAGCCCGCAACUGCUGCCUCUACUCCGCCUACUUCUUGUGCCGACUUCGCUAGCCUCGCGGGGUACCGAUUUCCUCCUGCUUUGUGUGCGUGCCAUUGACUCCUUUAAUGGGUCGAAACCUACUUAGUUCUCAUUUUUAUUUUGUCCAUACAAGAAAAGAAGGAUUUGUGUUUAGCAAGACAGAGAAUUGAAUAAGUAAAAAUAAAGUAGUGUGUACCCUUUACCGAAAAGCAAAUAUGACAGAUAAGGUACGACAUAUUGCUUAUUCCUGAUUGAUCUAGUUGAUGAAAGUUGCCUUGUUGGACCGAUUGUGGAUUGGAAUAGAAGUUUCUUAUAUAUAGAUAUUCGUGUUUACUGAUUUCGCAUACUGGGAAUGGAACUUGAUGUAACCCAUUGGAAACUCUCUUUGACACUCAUUAUCUGUUAUAUACGACAGGCUAAUUAAGUCCUUAAAUUUAAGAAAGGAGUCUUUCCUUACUUCCUUACACAAAAUUGUUAUGUUGUUAUGCUGCUCGUGCAAUCAAAACUUAGAAUAGAAGAAAAAGUGUUCCCUCGGGACCCAUCCUCUUCUCCUUCGCUUGUGUGACUAUCAUGAGAAGAAUUCCAUUCCAAGAAGUCAAAUAACAAGAAAAAGAAACGAGGUCAAGAUCCGUUGUUACCAGUACCGACGAAAUGGAGAAAGUGUCCUCCGGGAACGCAAUCUACUACAUUAGUUGGUGUAGCCAAAGAAGAGGAUAUCCCCUUUUUUGACUCAUUGGUCUUUAGACCAGACCCAUACCAUAGCUACAAACACUUUUGAGUCGGAGGAGACUGGCCAGAUCGCCUUCUCGAGGCUCUCUGGGCUUAUCGGACGUCAAUCUGUAUAGCCACUGGUCCCCUUCUCCUUAGUCGUUGGCAUGGACGCCAUUCUUCCCAGUGAACUCGACGAUUCCUUCCCUGCGCGUUCUGCUCGACGACGAUAUGACUGAUAAUCAGAAGCGAGAGGCUCUCGAAACUAGUCCUACUUGAUUCGAUCGAUGGGAGAAAAAAAGGUUACGAGCGGCAGAGCACGCACAAGUCUAUCAACGUCAACUCAGCCACGCUUUGGACCGAUCCUACGAAUAAGAGGCAUUAACAAAGCAUUUAUGAGACACCAUACUUUCAAUAGGAAAAGGCCAGCUCGAAGAUCAACGGGAUCUUUCUCCAAGCUAAGUUUCUACCCCCGAGGGAACCGGCCACGAUGCGUGGGGGUAUCGGUGCUGAUAAACUCAUCUCCGCUCAUCUUACCUGGAAAUGGAAAUAAAUUCUGGUAGAUUACCUACCUCAUUUGAGAUGAAGGAAUUUCCUACUUAAGAUUCAUAUGCCUAUUUUGUUGUUGAUGUGGAGGAAUUUGUACUAGCCUACUCGAUAUGUUCCUUGCCUGGUUCGCUAUAGGAAGUGCUUUCAGCAAAUGAGGAGGGGAAUAUUCAUAGGUAUGAAUCUUCCGUCAAUGGUUAAGGUUGAAGUGAAGGAAAACCUUCUUUGAAUUUUGACGCCUAAUUAUUUAGCUCUAGUAUUGAGAAAGAAACCAUUCAUACGACCAGGUCGCAGGAAUGCUUCUUCGGCUUACAAUUCCGAGUCAAGAACCGUAACUCGAGCACUUAGCCCUAGCUCUUGCUCUUUCCUUCCUUGCAAUGGGCUGCCUGUGUGCCUACUAAUAUUUACCUCAAUGGUGCGCUAACUUUAGAAUUAGGAUUUGCCAAAUUCAUAUUAGGGGGGCUAUGCAGCAAUUCGACCACUAUUACUGCACUAGAUAUGUCAGGCUUAUCCUAAAGAAAUUAUGGCUUCGCUUCUCUUCUUCCUGGUGAUGGAUAUAGUCUCGAUGGCUUUGCCCAAGUAUGGCAUAAAAGUAAAAUAGGAUAUCCUUCAAAAGGGAAUUUCAUGUGUGAGCACCUUGCCUCUUUUAGGGAAGGCUAUUUACCAAGUGAGUCUGCGCAGCAUGCUAUGAAACAUAAGAAUCAUUUGGAAUCCCAUUUGCACCCGGAUUCAGCUUCUUUCGAACUAGCAAAUGCACUUUCAGAGCCAACAACGGAUCGGCUUGGCUCAUUCCCCAUCUGGGGAAGAAAGAGUACCUAGAUCUGCAUCUACUAAGUAUGCCCUGAAAUUCAUGUUAUGAUUCGGUCUUUCCCAAAGCUAGGGCUUCUUUUCCCAUCCCUAUCCUCCGCGUCAACCUGUACCGGACCCAGAGUCAAAACUAAAAAGAGAAUGAAGUCUCGAAAACUCUUAGUUAAUAAAUAUUCGUGUGCCUACUUUGCUUAUCCUUCUCUGCCCCAUUUUAGAUAGUUGGGUAGAGCGAGGGAUAUCGGGGAAGGAAGAAAAACCUCCACUUGUUUUACGGAUUCACAUACUCGUUGGUAUGUUCAUCAAGUUCUCGAUUACUACUUAUGGUGCCCACUGACUCCCUUUAAUGGUACGCAGUCCCUGCCAAUUUAUCAAAAGAAAAUGCUAUCCACUGAGGGCCAAGCGGAGGAAGUGCAGAAAUCGCGUAUCCGUCUUAUCCUCGCUGGAGUACAGUGGCUAUAGAAAGAAAGGAAGAGUUCGAUUGCUUGGAGAAGGUAUUCUUCUUGGUCGACGGGACCUCCCCUCUUCUUACCCAGAAAAGGAAACGAGUCACUUCUUGCGGAACAGUAGAUCCGUUUGUCUUGAUCUACCUAAGCAGGAUUGAGUACGAUGAUGCUCCCUACCUAUGUGUACCUCAUACUUUUCGGGCUAGAAAUGCCAUAUAGUUAAUGGAACUAUCCAUUUUGGUCGAUCUUGAUUAGUAGAUUGCCAACUUCUUCUUCUUCUGAUAGGAAUCUUCCCUUUAUUAGGUGGCUAUAGAAUAACGAAACAAGUAAAGUAGGUUAUUCUUUACUAAGUUGGUUCCUCGACUCGACUGGUAAUGCAGAAAUCACCUGGGCUUGCAAGCUAUGUGAUGUGACAUACCUGGCUCAGCUCAAUCCUAUGACGAAUACCUUCUGCGCCUAUGAUGAAUACCUUCCUUUCCUUAGCGGAACAAAAACUCCUAUCUCCUGCUAAAGCUGGAUGCGCACCGGCACACGGGGCAAAGAGGACUAAGGAGAAGGGAUGCCAUACUAAUAGACUGGGCAAGCAAAGCAAGGCAAGCGUUGAUGACUCUCGAUUGAAAGGUUAAGAAAAGGAUGCGCAUGGCACGUGGAGCUAGCGACUUCGCGUAUUACUUAUUGAUCGAAAGUAGGGCUUACAGCAACCAAUGAAUACAUACCGGGAAGGGCUGAGAGCUACCUACUCCUUACAGGGCUGCGUUUACCCAUUCCUUGCCUAGAAGAAAAAGAAUAACCAUCUUCCCUCUUCUCCUCCCUUCACACUCGACUAGAGGGCGGGAUUCUUUCAUCCAAUUGAUGGCACUUUACUAAGACUGGAAAAACGGGUAAGAAACCCCGUAAAAUUGAUUCAACUUGACUGUCAUAAUUAAGAAAGUGAAGAGAUAGGGGUCAUGGAUUCCAUACGCCCGCUAGACCCAUUCUUAAAGAAAUGCGUAAGGCUUUGGGCUUUCACCGUAGGUUAGGUUCCUCAUCUCUCUCAGAUGUAGUAGUUCCAGUUGCUCCGGUUGUCUCAAUUCAUUCGAUUGUGAUAAGGCAAGAAAGCUAAUAGUUGAACAGGUGGUAUAGUCACCAGUACGGUAAUGAUGCUCGGCAUGUGGAAGUUCUCGUUUCUCAACGUGCCAUUUGGUUCUAACGAAUUGAACUACAAACGGGCUUUCCUUUAUCCUCCUUGUACGCCAACCUACUGACAAAACAGGAUUUCUAGUUGCCUCCUCCGGUGAAAACGAACAGUAAACAUAUUAUUAGACCUAGGAAAACCAAAACUCGUCGAACAGAAGAACCGAGUACUAUAGAAUCUAAAACACACAUAUGCGAGCUAUUAAACAUACUGUUCCUAUUUCUAAAUAAAAACAUAUUACCGCAGCGCUAAGAAAAGGGUUUGAAAGCUCUAAGUGGUACGAUAAGCGGAAUGAAUCAAACGAAGUGCAUCAUGAGGGUUGGGGAUUUAGCAUACGCUCUACUAUCAAUUAUAGGUUCACAUAUGCCCCAAGAAAGAGGUGCAGAGGUGGAAUUCAAUAGAUUUAAGCAACUUCAGUAUGCGGGUAGCGAUGCUUUUUGGAAUCCAAGAGAACUUUGAAUCGGAGGAACGAUCAACACAACUGGCAUGGCUUUGUUGAAUCAGGAUUUGAUGACAGGAACGUUGUUGAAAUAACUUCUUUACCCCCCGUAAAAUCCUUUAUGCCUGAUUUCAGUACUAACAAUAAAUGGCUAAAAACAUCCUAUUUUUUACUGUAAAAUAUGGAAAAUCAUAUGGGAAACGAAUAACGAAUAGAAGUAGCCUAGCCUUUUCUUUCAGUCUCGGUCUCUACAUUCCCUUGUUCUUACUGUAGCUAGCACUUGUUUUUGCAGUCAAGGAGCCAGGAAGCGGGCGGGCCUUCAAUCACAUUUUAGCUUGACGUUCUUCUCCUUCUUGGGGGUCGACUUGUAGUAGCAGGCGUACAGGACGAGGCCGAACAGCGCAUCGAGGCCAUUGGCGAUCUGCAGUGCACGAACGAAGACAAGAGCCGACACGGUUAGAGAGACACUCUCAAGUUAUAUAAGAUUUGGUUGGAAUCUGAAGAUGGAGAUAUUACUGAUCGUGACGUAGAGGUUGAAUUUGAUGAGAGCGUAGGACGUCCAGCAGACGCCGUUGAGGAAGCUCACCAGCGACAGGAAGAAGGGCAUGUACUCGACGCUCUUGGUCUUGAUCACUUUACCCUGCACGCAACCCACAAUACACAUUAAUUCCUCCCUGCAAAAAUAUAUAUUCAUUAAUUCCAAGCAGAGGAUGCAACAGCUCGAGCGUUCAAAAAAAAUAUAUAUUACACAGACAUAGGUAAUUAACAAGAUUGAUUCUAUGUUCUAUGUAAAAUGUAAAUAAAUUCCACAGGUAAUAUUGGUGAACUCUACACCUGGACCACAUGACCCACGAGAAGAAACCGACAUACAGGAUCCCUUUUCUGUUUCAACGUGAUCAUCUCACAGAGUUGGCAAGGGAAGAUCAAAAAAAGCACAGACUGGUACAGGGAACACAUGUACUAUCUCCAUCCAAGAACACAUGAUUCGAAAUCUAGCACACCUGAAACUUGCAUCCCCUAGGUGAACACAUAUGUUUAUGAUGAAGCUGAACAUGAAAGAUUUCAUUAGAUGAAAUAUUCCUCCCGUUCCAGACCCGUCAAUCAACAGCCAACGAGUUUGGCGAGAACAACAGAACAAGUUUGGUUGGCUAAUCAAUUGUACAACAUAACUACCUGUAUUGAAUGCAACUGCAAGUAACCAAGGAUACCGCAUCGAUAAUCAGAGGACACGUAGGGGCUACGGUAUCUUUUUAGGUAGAAACGAACAAUAGGCCUUUUGACGGAACAUAGAGCAACAUGGUCUUGGGAUGUGCCACACGAACACCAUGACAGUUUAGCCCAAAAGGUAGCACGUUGGUUUUUACUGGUAAAAAGGGGGAAAGAAGAGAUUUGACACGAUGGUUAAAACAGGACCAUUGAUGCAUCUUUUAGAGAUGGAUUUGGUUCCAAAAUUGGCUUCCGCAUCCAUGCUACCAGAACAAAUAGCAACUAAGGUAUGCUAAUAGUGGUACAUAAUGAAUGCCUCAACUAUAACCUAAUGAGUCACUUGCCCUGAGUAAGCUGCAAGAUCCUUCACAGAUCACUAUGUCUAGAUCAUGCAAAAGAUUUGAAAGAUGAUGGCAACCCAUCAUUAAUGAGUAAUCAGAAAAGAACCUGGAGACUGGAGAAGAUGAAUAUGGCUAAUCUGUUUUUAAAUAGAAGUUCCAGAAGAAUUAAUAUCGACUUUUUUAUCUUAAACAGUAGAACCCCUGAAUCACCAAUCCAUUCUGAACUGCAAAGGCAACGUGUCACUGACAGCUGGGUCCAAAAAAUCCUUGACUGACCCAACAGUAAGUGACCAUACACGACAACUUAACCUAUGAAACCCUCAUCCACACAACACCAACAACAUCAUCGCCGCCACCAACCGAAGGGGAACGCACGCCUAUUCCCCAACAAUAUCACUAACAUCUACCAAUAUAGAUCUAAAAAGACAUCUAUGCACGUGGAGCGAGAUUGAUGGGUACGUACCAUGAUGGCGAGCGGGGAGGCGUACAUUGCUGAGCCGAAUAUGACGCAGAGGAUGCCGUAGAACACCCAGAGCAUGCAGUUGAGCAGCGUCGCUAGGUACGGGUCCGACUUGAACUCCUCAAGUCCUUGUUCUUGAUGAUCCGCCAGAACGUCGGCCUGCACAUGUACAAGCAAAAAGCAAGCGCCCCCUCAUCAGAAUCAAACCCUAAUUACCAACCACCUUCCAUAGAGAGUAGACUAGACAAGCGGAUGAGGGGGAUGGCGGCGGUGGCUUACACAGGGUAGAGGAAGAGGCCGAAGGAGAUGACAUUGCCGAUGAUGUUGCGGGCCGCGUCCGGAGAAAUCAUCUUUCUUUGCUCGCCGCGAGCGGGUGGGGACUUGGGAUUGGUUUGGAUUGGACGGCGCACGCGGCGAAAGGGAGGGAGAGAGAGAGCCAAAGCAAUUGAGAUUUGGGAGUCGGUUGAGGUCGAGGGAUUAGCUUAUAUAGAUAGACGCGGCGGGGUAGCGGUGUUUAUCCGGUCUCGUGUUAGAUCCUAUGAUUUGGUUAGUUAGCCUACGAGAACAAGUCACAAGUUUCGAGUUUUACUAUGCAUCCAGUUCGUUGCUAUCUCUAUCUUUAUCUACAUGGAUAUUAACACGCACUAUUCUUGAGAGUCAAGACACCGUUUUGCUUUAAAGAGCAAAAGAAAUCCCAGAUAAUUACUAAUGCACUGUUGAGUACACAGAUUCUUUUCCUGUUCGUACUGGAGUAUAGUAAGGAAAAACUGCUUGACCGAAUCAAGGUCAAGAUAACUAGUGUGAUUCCUACACUGGGAGAAUCGUGGAUAUGUAAGGAAUAGAGAAAUUCCACCCGCCUAAGUAAAGAACUGUUACAAAUAAAGAGGAAACUAAUAAGGAUAAGUAAGAAACAAGAAAAAAGAAACCAUAUUUAAUACCGGAAUAUUCGGUUUGAUAACCUGCAACUAAUUUCCCCUCUGGGUAAUCUUUCACAUUCGGCCAAAGAAGAAAUUCUAAAAACUAGAAAGCCUAUAGGCUGACACCAAAGAUUCCAUAAAAAACCAUAUUUUGGCUGUGCUUGAACUAUAUCAACUGUACUUGAACUGUUAGAUAAUCAUAGUCGAUAAUAACAUCACAGCUCCCACCGCUAUUGCAAAACCGUACAUGAAACCUUAGCUUCAUACGGCUCCUCUAUGAUUAGAAAAAAGGACUGUUUCGGUAUUAUCCCCCUGGUUUAUCAGUUGCAGGUGAAUCCUGUGAAACAUCUCUCUCGAGGCUAGUAACAACACUUGGAAAUGAAAAAUGAGCUUAGCGGUUGUACCAGGUCAGGACCAUAAACACCACGAGCCGGUUAAGCAACAGAAGCUGUGGGCGAAAGCACACUCGUCAUUCUCAGACCUGCGGUCGAGGUACAUGCGAACAAGUUCCCAUUCUCUAUGUUUCAUGGCCUAUCAAUGAAAGUCGGUAUCAGGCUGGCUUGCAUUGCGGGUCGUCUCCUUAUAUACCUAAAUCCUCGUUUCACUCAUCUAUAAAGGUCUACCCUUCGAAAGGUAGGUUGAGUUCCCCCGUAUGUAACCAGCCACACUCUACUCGCAGGUCAAAUAUUGGCGUAGACAACAGAGAAUGUGCUAGGUAGGAAACCGGAGGAACUCUUACUAUACGAGAAUCUUCAAUUCAAUAUGACAACCGAUCAGAAGGGAUUGGACGAUGCCAAUGCAUUGCCCUCCUUCUCAAUACCAGAACUAUCUGACCGAGCUCCAUCAACACAGAAAGCAGAAGGGACAGCAGAUACGGAUAGACUGGAUCCAGAAAGGGAUUUCAGCCAGUCCUUGCCUAUUGCUGGGCUGGUUGUUUUGUCACGGUCCGAUUAGUAGAAGAUGAGUGAGUAAGACGAGGCCCCCGAAGAGUAAUGUAGAGCUAUACUGCUCUUGUUUUUCCUUCCGCCCUGCUUAGGAGAACUUUGUCUAGAACCCACUUUAGCUAGCUUUCGAGGAUACCAUUACAGAUGAGUGAAGCGAGUAUACCUUUUCCGGACCUCCCGAGGUAGCGCGGUAGCGGAAGCCCUUUCUAGUUCAAGCAGUUCCAAUUCCUAUUCCGCUUCACCGCUUACACCACACUCUAUUGGUUCACCUUGUGGUGCCUUUCGAUCAAGGUCUACUUUGGUUGAUCCAAUUUGUUCUACAGCGCGUUAUCCGCAUCGAAGUUAGCCAGAUUCCUACCGCUUCUUGAUAUUAUGGAUUUUGCAAUCCCUGAACGCUAGUGCUUCUACAACCAACGGAUACUAUUUAACAGAAAUAAUAAGUAGAAAUGGACAAACGAGUGUGGCUACAUAAAGUGAGGAAAAAAACAUGGUGGUACCAGCAUUGCGUAUCACUCACUAUGCUUUAUGUAAUAUGGCCUACGUCGUCUCUCUUCCAGAACCUCACAAUCAUCAGUGUCUGAAGUUUCAUGAUGAAUAUUGGUUUCAAAUUUUAUUGCUUACGUGAGAAAAUAUCAAUUUGGAACUCGAAUUUGUAUUUGAGUUAUGAUGAGGAGUGAGGUAGAUUCGCAUUGUUGAAGAAAGCAAAGAAAAAGGAUGCUGCUAUGGCUUGCUUGUGGCUCUUUCUUCUAUUGGCUAGUCUCAGGCAUGAUAGUUUCAAUUUCUUUUGGAAAGCAAGUGCGGCUCAGUCAUAAGUGUUAGUAAUAGCAUGAAGUAAGUUGUCGGUAGCCGGCAUUAGAUAGAAGGAAAAGCUUCUCAAAAGCAUCCUGAAAUAUCAUAGAAUGGCGAUCGAGAUCACCUUCACGGGAAUCAUCCUUUGCAAAUUGGGGGAAGGGAACCAAUCAAGUCACCAACAAGUUCCCGAAACUUGGUUUAGUAUUAAGGUUCUUCUCUUCCAGCGUUUACUAUUCAAGUUCUUCUCUUCCAGCCCCCUGGCCCCUCUCUGAUAAGUAAAGUUUUCAAAACGAAAAGAAAAUGACAAAUCUGGUUCGAUGGCUCUUCUCCACUACUCGCUUUACUACUUUCUAUUUUUUCAUAUGUAUUAAGUUUCCCUUAAUAUAUAAUUUUAUAUUACUUUCGAUUUUUAUAUUUUUAUUCCUUUGGCGUUUUAUAUUAAUAGUAAUAGCCGUUUUCAAUCUUUUUUGUUCGUGCUUCAUCGGCUCCUCCUUUUUGAUCACUCUCCCGCCGGAGAUUCAAGACCCCCAGGCUCUAGCUCAUUUAGCAGGGCUAAACUUCUAUCUGAGUCUUUACGAGCAGGAUCCGGGAUGGGUUACGUUCAUUUAGAAUGAGCUAAAUCACAAUACCCCCUGGAAGACAUACCUGGGCGGCUUAAGCUCUUCCUAAUGGAAGAAAAGCUCUCUUCUAUGCGACAAGAUGUCAUUCAGGAAUUUGUGGCGCUUUAUCAAAGAGUAGGGCCUUAUCUACCGAUCGAGCCCUACUUGGUCGAUGAAGCGCUUCAUUCCUAUCUUUUCCAUAUUCACGCAACUGAUUCUUUCACUGUUCUCCAAGCGUCUUAUCAAGAUCUGCGGGAGAAUGAGGGAGGAUCAGUUUUCCUUGAAAAUGUUGUUUCCCACAACCGGGAUUUCCUUGAGGCGGAAAGCUCCGCAAGGAGGUGCCUGGAAGUGGAACAGAGGAUCCGGUGGGAAGAAAUCCCCAAGAGCAAGGCAAGUCUCGAAAAGGCGGAGCACGAGCAUGCUCUCGACUUGUUUAAGUCGGGGGAUCUUAGAAGGGAAUUAGAAAAAAAAGAGCGGGGUAGCUCAGUAAUUCUGAUUCUUUUCUCUUCCAGCAUUUACUAUUCUCUUUCUUCUCUUCCAGCCCCCCGGCCCCUCUUUGAUAAGGAAAGUUUUCAUUUCUAAAAAACAACAAAUGACAAAUCUGGUUCGAUGGAUCUUCUCUACUAACUACAAGGAUAUUGGGACUCUCUAUUUCAUCUUCGGUGCCAUUGCAGGAGUGAUGGGCACAUGCUUCUCCGUACUGAUUCAUAUGGAAUUAGCCCGACCCGGCAAUCAAAUUCUUGGUGGGAAUCAUCAACUUUAUAAUGUUUUAAUAACGGCUCACGCUUUUUAAUGAUCUUUUUUAUGGUUAUGCCGGCGAUGAUAGGUGGAUUUGGUAAUUGGUUUGUUCCGAUUCUGAUAGAUGCACCUGACAUGGCAUUUCCACGAUUAAAUAAUAUAUCAUUCUGGUUGUUUCCACCAAGUCUCUUGCUCCUAUUAAGCUCAGCCUUAGUAGAAGUGGGCGGCGGCACUGGGUUGACAGUCUAUCCGCCCUUAAGUGGUAUUACCAGCCAUUCUGGAGGAGUAGUUGAUUUAGCAAUUUUUAGUCUUCAUCUAUCAGGUAUUUCAUCAAUUUUAGGUUCUAUCAAUUUUAUAACAACUAUCUUCAACAUGCGUGGACUUGGAAUGACUAUGCAUAGAUUACCACUUUUUGUGUGGUCCGUUCUAGUGACAGCAUUCCUACUUUUAUUAUCACUUCCGGUACUGGCGGGGGCAAUUACAAUGUUAUUAACCGAUCGAAACUUUAAUACAACCUUUUUUGAUCCUGCGGGAGGGGGAGACCCAAUAUUAUACCAGCAUCUCUUUUGGUUCUUUGGUCAUCCAGAGGUGUAUAUUCUCAUUCUGCGUGGAUUUGGUAUUAUUAGUCAUAUCGUAUCGACCUUUUCAAGAAAACCGGUCUUCGGGUAUCUAGGCAUGGUUCAUGCCAUGAUAAGUAUAGGUGUUCUUGGAUUUCUAGUUUGGGCUCAUCAUAUGCUUACUGUGGGCUUAGACGUUGAUGCGCGUGCCUACUUCACCGCAGCUACCAUGAUCAUAGCUGUGCCCACAGGAAUCAAAAUCUUUAGUUGGACCGCAACCAUGUGGGGAGGUUCGAUACAAUACAAAACACCCAUGUUAUUUGCUGUAGGGUUCAUCUUUUUGUUCACCAUAGGAGGGCUCACUCGAAUAGUUCUAGCAAACUCUCGGCUACAAAUUGCUCUACAUGAUACCUAUUAUGUGGUUGCACAUUUCCAUUAUGUACUUUCUAUGGGAGCCGUUUUUGCUUUAUUUGCUGGAUUUUACUAUUGGGUGGGUAAAAUCUUUGGUCGGACAUAUCCUGAAACUUUAGGCCAAAUCCAUUUUUGGAUCACUUUUUUCGGGGUUAAUCUGACCUUCUUUCCCAUGCAUUUCUUAGGGCUUUCGGGUAUGCCGCGGUGUAUUCCAGAUUAUCCAGAUGCUUACGCCGGAUGGAAUGCUCUGAGCAGUUUCGGUUCUUAUAUAUCCGUAGUUGGGAUUCGUCGUUUCUUCGUAGUUGUCGCAAUCACUUCAAGCAGUGGAAAGAACAAAAAAUGUGCGGAAAGUCCUUGGGCUGUUGUACAGAAUCCAACCACACUAGAAUGGUUGGUACAAAGCCCUCCCGCCUUUCAUACUUUUGGAGAACUUCCUGCGGCAGAAGAGACAGAAAACCUCUCCUAACUAUGAAGGAAGUUUCAUAGAGAUAGGUGUGGGGACGGGGACAACAAUUGCUUUAGCUGUUUUUUCAACUAAAGCGGGGCUUCUUUCUAAGCCUAAUCCCUUCACUUUUGAAACAUAAGGAGUUUUUGUGUAGUGAUCUCUGUUCAUGGAGAUCACGAGGCCACUGAUACCCUAUGUGGAUAAGUGGGAUAGAAGAGUGGGAAAGCGGGCUUCUAUCACAUAGUUUAUCUUUCAGGGUACAUAGGACGGCCCUCUCGUCAUUACCUUUUGUGCUUACCCGUAGCUAGUUGUGCCUGAAGUCAUGGAUGAUGCUAUUCCCACUGAGAGAUGUGCUGCAAAAUGGAAGCUGUGUUAGUCCUCGGCUAAAAUCAUCUUCCUUUAUUAAAGACCAUAUAUAUCCAUAUGUAGAUAGAAGAGGGGAUAUAGUCGUUCAAAGCUAAGGUGAGUCUGUUCCAGCUAAUUCCUUGGAUUCCACUUUCCUGUCAGUCCAUGUAAAAAGGAGUCCAGCCCACAAGGAGAGGGAAUCCACAAAAAUAUUUGUUUUAGAUGAUUUCUACUAUGUUUCAAGUGAUCAAAGAAUAGUAUAGUAUCUUUAGACAGAACUGAAAUAGCAGAUGCAGAUUCGAAUGUUAAGGUUAUUAAAGCUUAAAAGAAAAAGCAGUCAUAGGUUAGGUGACUAAGAAAAGAAUGUGGAAAGGGUCAUAGAUAGGAUUGGUAUAUUAGUUUCAGCUAUAACAGAGAUUUCUCAGCAUGUUUCUAUCUGGUUGGUAUCCGCUCGUACCAUUCAUUGUGAGUUCUUUUAGGGGUUGCUCAACUCUCGGCUAUUUUCACCAUCUAGAUGAUUGCAUCUUCCCGUUCUCACAAUUUCUCAAAGGUUAUUGUAUCGAUACUAUGGAAUUUUUAGUGAAAAAACAAUAGGGUUCAAUUCGAUUCAUUUUGGAAACUCUAGCGGGGCCAUCCCCAAUUCCUCUCAGCUGUCAUAAUUGAAUAAAAGGGAUCAUAUAGCUUUCCAAUCCAGCAACAUACAUCUAUCACCUAAGCAUAACUGCCAACAUCAGUAUGCAGAAAGAAUCUGUUUAUAACGGUUUAGAGUCGGAAGCAAGGCAAGUCACAGGCCAGCUUUCCUGCUUAAAGCAAACUGUCUGGAAAAGGAAACAUUUGUGGCACCUAAAUUGGUGAAAGCAAACAGAUUGGGGAAACAUGGCAAGCUAAUAGGAAGGAAGCCGAUCAAUCGAGUACGAACCUACACCGUGGCCGUUGUUUGAAAGUCAACCGUACCGUUGUUGGAAAGAAUCGAAGCCGAGGACGCUACUACCCGGAACUCAAUACGAUUCAACCAAAGCCUUUGCUUUGCAAAAGAUACCCGUUCAGCUGUUCCUUUACCGGCAACAACUAUGGAAUAACAACCUUCGCUUUGCUUUCGAUAGUCUCUCGCAUUAGCAAAUCUCAAAAUAUAGUAGAUCCCGGGGCGUACCUAAUGGUUUCAUUGAUUUGAAUGGAUUGACCCGUUGUACCGUUGUAGGAAUCCUCAUCCGAUGUGCGAAUCCCGUGGAGGAAGGGGGGAAACAAAUCAAAUUAUUUGAUUUUGAUAGGAGCAGUGCGGUAUUGAGGGUUUCUCUAUCUAUUCACUCAUGAAGUUAAGACAAGUGAGGAUUGAUUUCAGUUAUUCAUAUAAGAAAUAAGAGGAAGACUGUCUUCUCGGGGAAGACAUGCUUUCCCGCUCUCGGCACAUCUGUGCUAGGGAUACCUUCUUGCGUUGAGAUGCCAUCAACUCUUUCCUGGGGAAUCAGGUCAAUACGUUGGCUAUGGAAAAGCAAGCUAUAGCAGAUCGUUGAGUAUAGAGAAAAAGGAAUGGAGUUUCAUUAGCUCUCUGCACACAUCCAGUAUAAUACCUUUGCGAGCCCCUAAGGAAAGGGGUGUCGUGUUCUCUUUACAAUGGGGGUGAUCCAAGUUUCCAAAAGACAAGGUUGGUUGUAUCUUUUUCUAUUGGCAAUCCCCAAUCCGUUGCUUGUUCGUUAUGAACAAAAGAAGCCGAUACCAGAAGAGGUGUUUAUCCAGCGGAGGUUCGUAUCUCUUCCAUGUGAGACCAGUGACCUCAGAUCAUCCUGGACUUAUGUGCUGGAAUAGCUUCGUUAUGAGUUGAAGCAGCCUCAGCUACUAUUCCUACUAAGGAGGAGUCGCCUUUUUCAAUUCCCUCCCUUUCGCAAUCCCAUGUUGAUGUAACGACUGUAGAGUAUUGGCAAGGCUGUAACAUUACAUGCAGGUCCUAGCCUACGUCCGUUGGUGGUUGACUACCGGGAAAGGGCAGAAUAGCAACAGUGAGGAAGCAUACCACCCAAAGCAAGACGUGAAAACCUCCUUCGUAUCCAAAAGCCCCUUUUAGUCUGUCUGGCCUUAGGCGAAAUGAUACAUAAUCGUAUCUUCUCCGCUGGAUCGAAUGAAAGUAAAUGGUGGUUGGAUCCCACUAAGGAAUUGGCACGCCCGUGGAGCUUACAAACAAGCAAGCCAGUAAAAAGUUAAGGAAUUCACAAUAUCGAAAAAGAGUUGGUUGGCUUCAGGAGUCACUCAAUUGGAUUCGAUCGGGGACUGGAAUGAAACUUCUCAGAAACGAUAGCAGAUUUGGUACCAUAGCUGAGGCGAAUGCUCGUUGACAUGAUCCAAAAUUGAAUGAAUGUUGCAAGAUAGAUUUAUUUAGAAUAGUAGUCUUAGACUGGUGCUCUCUGGAUCACCCCUACGAUGAAACAAAGCCCCUAUUAUGUCCCCCAGAUUUGCACAUUCUUCAUCCCGUUUUGCCAUUGUGCAUUAAGUAAUCCAACGUUUGUGGAGGAAGCUGCAAUGCACCACAUGUUAGCUUAUAGGCCAGAUUUGGGUCCUGCAUUCUUCACUACCUUAACUACUAUAUUUAUUGAGGUGAAGGUCUUACUUAGUAGGCAAAUUCGAGCUGUUGUUUUAAUUCAGAGACCAGACGACUUUGAUACUGCUGCUUCUAUGGCCUUGACGCUGACAUAAGCGCAUUUAUAUUAUGAGUUAUUAGGCGAGGCUGCCCCUAGAACCAUCUUAUUAUUUUUAGCGUAGCAGUUGCUUAAAAUUGGAGAAAAACAACCAAUUGUGCCUAUGUUUCAGACAAUCCCAUGCUUGCCCCGGAUCCAGAACUGUGAUUAGCAAGCACUACUGUCAGGUUCUUGACAGUUUCCUCUCGACUUUCAAAACACCUAUACUCAUACUCUCAAUCAGUGCACAUUUCUCUCAGGGUAUCCAAUCGAUGGGAUACUGGUGCUGGGGAGGGCACUAAACUUACAGGAAUGCUUCUCUUGAAUGAAUUCAUUGGUUCGAAUUCUUUUCUAUCUAAAAAUAAAGUGGAAUAUGGUAGUUUUCUGGGUGAAAUGGGCAACUGGAUCAACAAACAUGAGUGGAGCCAUAGCCUUGUAUGAGUAACGGUGCAACUGCCUAUCUUAUCCAUCUCGAGCCCUAAGCAAUGCGAUUUUCCUUUACUUUGCCACUAGCUAUAUCAUUGUCUAAAUGUUGAAGAACUAUUGUGAUUUCAUUUCGAUCGGAGGUUACACAUGGAGGCUCUGGGUCAAGAGGGGAAAGCAUGGCUGAACAUAGCAGCACUUCCCACUCACUACCACCUAUGUCGCAAGCGCCUUCCUCCGUCUAUCUGUUGUCGCUUCCGGGCACACCAUCAAUUGAUUCAUCUUUGAAUAAUAAUGGGUUUCAGUGGCGGACAAUAGCAAGCUACUGACCCUCUAGAAUAUGGGUGCAUUCAGCAUCGGAUUGACAAGUUCUGCUGAUAGCGGAUCCUGAGACGCAACAAGGGCGGGGACAAUACCUAUAGUGGGGAGGGGACCCAAGCAUCACAAUAUCACGAUGUUUUCUUUUCAUUGAUCAAACCGCUUCGCUUGCACGGAUCUAGAAAGAAUAACAAGAGCUGAACUACCGGUAUACGGAGUGGCUUCGACAUGUCUAAGCAAGGGGAUGAGUCGGCAUCUUGUAGAGGAUCUAUCAAGAGUGGCAAAAAGAGAUGCAUUAUUCAUGGCAAGUAGGCGGUUCCUUUUCCCUAUUACCUCAUUGACUUCCCGUUUGGAGCUUGCAACCAUUAUUCUAGGGAGCACGAGCACAUAUGAAGGGGAGAAGACGACUGGUGAGGGUGGAUUUCAGUCGAAAGAGCUUCUGCAGUCACCAUUGCGUAUCCGUAUCGUGUUCCUCUAUUCACAGGUUCUCAUGCCCUUACUAAAAAGCUCUAUAACAUGGUCCCUCAUAAUGAAUGUCAUUCCUUUUCGCCUAUAUAAAAAUCCUGCAGAAUCACAUUCGCUCUUGGGAAAUAGGCAUUGUCGAGCUUUAUUUUCAGACAAGUUCAUCUCUGUAGUGGCCCAAUCCAACAAAAUAACAUCUCGCAGGUGAUCCACCGAGCGAAUCCUGAGGCUGUGGUGCUCAUAGUACCCGAACCCUUGGAUCUCGCUUUGCAAUGGAACCUCUUCUGUGGACUCAGCUUAAGUAAAAGAUGGAGGUUUCGGCGAUGUCUGGUUGGACGGACCCCCUAUUCAGAAUACGCGUGCGUCCCCACGUACGCGCGUGAUAAACCAUAAACACAAAGGAGUGAUAUGACCCUCUAAGAAGAUGAGGAAUCCACUUGUUAAAAGAAGAAAGAAUCAGCUAAACCACUGGAAUAGAGAGAUUCGCCUCAUGGAAUAUAAGGAAAACAUGCACAAGAAAUAUGAGGAAUGCACUAAAAAAGAAACUAAACAGAUCCAAAAUAUAAGGAAUGACCGGCUUCGACUUCUAUUCAGAUGCACAAUCCAUUGAAAUUAUUCCACUUUACCGAUGCAUUCAUCUGGUUUUGGAUGCAUUCAUCAUGUUUUCAGUAUCCAUUCCCUAUGGUGUCCAAAGGGAUUGCCUUAUGAAUCGAAAAUUCCGAUCAAUCGAAAAACAAAUGCAGCAGGACACACUUUUGAAGAUAAAACGAGUGUGCAGCUGUGAUGCACACCGGGGGAAUUCCAAAAAGACUGGCUUCCCCUUCUAGAAAGAGAAUACGCGUGUGUCCUCACGUAUGCGCGUAAAAAAUGAAGAAAAGAAAGGUGUGGAUUGCUGCGAGAAAAUAGCUUGCACGAAAGAGCUCGAAAUUGAGUAAGUUAAGUUGACCCAAUUAACCGAUUUUAGAGUCUUGAAAAAGCAAUCGAAUUAAGUUGUAUAUAGUCUAACUCAAAUACUUGAUUCAUGAUUAGAAAUCUCAAUCUUAAAUUAGCUUAUAUAAUGUUCUUUACUUUUGAUGCAAUGACAGAUUCUCUUUCGAUAACAUAGCACAGCCAUUGGGCGAGACCACGUGAACAUGACUACUUAGUAACGUCGUUGAAACCGGCCAACCUGCCGUCGUAAGAGAGAUAUUUUAGCAUUGUUGCAACCAGUUAUCAAUCCAAUCCUUCGCAAACCAACUAAGCUAUAAAGCUUUUUUUGUUGAAGUGGCAGACACAAGAUAAAUAAUGUGAAACCGGACCUCUCUUACUACAGUGGGAGGUGUAGGCCUUAUUUGCAGCAUCAGGUGCAACAUUAUUCCCCCCUAGAGAGCCAGCGGGUCCCCACGCUGGUGCAUUCGGGAAGCUGUAUGCAUUCGGUGCCCUCAAGCGGGGAUUAAGAUUACCCAAAUCAGCAUAACAAAAUGGGAGCUCAAAGACAAACUCCAGAAUAGCUGAGUUGACAUCAAUACAGACCAUGCAAUGCUUAAAUUGCCUUUGCUCAUUGCUGCUAACCUGACUCCAACAAUUAGACAAUUGUUGCAACUCGUGUCAUCCGUGAGGGUAACUUGAGUAGUAAUUUUACUGAACUACAACAACAACCAUGAACUCACAAAAGAAGUACUCCAUCAUGGUAGCAGUCCAUGAAUCCCAUUCAGCACCAGAGCUCAACAUACACAAGACUAAACUGCCAAUACUCUAACCACCAGCUACAGGUGGCUCACGAAUGAAUAGUUCCAGGCGAGUAGCUUCAGGUGGUGGUCGUAUCUCAUCUCCAUCCACGAACCAAGGUACUAGCCAGUGCCAGACUGUACAUGUAAAGGAAGAGACGCUGAAGACUGCCUUUUAUUCAUGGAAGAUAGAUAAACAAGAUUCAUUCCAUCGUAAGACAGAACAAAAUACUACUAGCCAAAGCCUACUUCGGCACAUGAAGGAAGUGAGCAACAGCCCUUGGGCAUGAGGCGGGUAAGAUAUGCCUAAUCUAUUGGGCCGAUAAAUACUUCUUUCCCAUGGGUACGAUAUUAGAAAUCUUUGUUGCGAACAGAAAAGAGAGAGACAUAAUAGAUUUGGUAGGCGGAGGAAUGGAAGGGCCAGGCUCACAUCUUAUGAACGGAGGAAGCGAAAUGCUGCAGUCAAGAGAAAUCAUUAACACUUAUUCACAGCUCAAAGCCAUAACCAUAGGGGCCUAGUCUACGAGAGAUUGAUCCGACAAGCAACUCCGGGAUGUGAGGCGUUUAAGCCAUAGUUGAAAUAGAAAGUACCGGUAAAUGACUUGCCGGGGAUCCGCUGAAAUACGAGAAGAUCCCGACGUUUUGCAGUGCAUGCGCUUGGUCAUUGGCAUGAGGAGUGCGGCACGGGAGAGCGUGAUGUUGCCAAACUAGGAUGGGCCCCGUUCCUGAUAGCAGCUUCCCUGGAACUAGCUGCCAUUGUAUCGGUUGGUGCCAUUUCUUCUCUUGGAGGCACGGCAAUAGAUUAAGAUUAGGCGGUAAGCGAAGGAACUGUAGGGCUUAGGGCUGCGGGUGAGCGCAACUUCAAUAGGUCGAGGGGAGGAAGAGAAGAAAAAGCAGCUAUUUCACCUGGUGUCAUAAUAACCACAGUUUUCGGGUUUUAAGGCAUAAGCGCAGGAGAGAUCUUCUUUCAUUUAAGAAGAAGCCACCGUAAAGAAGAGGAAACAAGGCGUUUAAGGGACACUGACUCCCAUUAUUUUCUCCAUGCCUGCUUUGGCUAAAUCGACGGAGGCUUAGCUUAUUAUGUGUCAGGCGUUUAGCUAGCUUAGAGAAUAAAUAAAUCUAUCCCUAAAGGGGGAGCGGUACCACUAUUUUAGGUUAGAGGAAGGUUGAAGAGAGAAUAGCUAAAAUAGCCAGUCGGGUAGCCAAGUGCGGGUGGCUAUGGUCAAAGUGAAUAUGUCUUGUCGAUCAACUGUUUAGUAUACCCAGUUCUGUAGAAUUAUUUUGUGCGUGGAACUCCGAACGACCCUUAUACUGUUUUGCUUUCUGCUACUUCUUGUUCUGCUUUGCCUAGAGAAUUUCACGUCUGUGGAAUGCCCUAUAGCUAUAUUUAGGUAUAUUACUCCUCUAGCUAUAUUUAGCUAGUUCACCAUUGUAUACGACCAAGGUUUACACCUGAGAGUCAUAGUGAAUCCUUGCAUUCGUGAAACUGACCAGAUGAGAACGAAACUGGUGGGAACAAUCAACUAUACGACAACUGCGAAGUUCAAGUUGGCUUCUGAAAAUCAACUAUGCUGAAAUAGAUUCUCUUUUGAGAGCCCUACAUAUACCGAUCAAACAUUCCAUUUCAGACUUGUCUGCUUUACUAUCUAAUAAGUUUGAUAGAAAUCAAGGCGGGUAUAGCUUCCUUUGAUCCAUACCGUAAUAUUCAAGCCGACUUUGUCAACUUAUUCCCCUUUUUCAGGUUGAAUUGACAAUGCUGUACUUUAUUCAACCAUAGGAAUCAGAAUUUCGUAGGUAGAGGGGGCCAAGGUGCCAGAAACAUGGAUUUCAUGGAAACAAGGUAAUCCAUAGUUGGUAGCAGAUGUUCCAUGGGAUCAGUUAUCCUCCGUCUUGUCUCUGCAUUCGAGGAAUGCUUGUAGCUAUGCUAGGCGUGAGAAGAACUCUACAAUACGAUUUCUACGAUUGGUACCACAUUGGAAUUCAUUCUCGGAACUCUCCUCUAGAGAAUGGCCUAGCUAAAGAGAGUGAUAGAUCCAUCGCGUCGUGUGGAAACUAAAGCUAGGUGCCGCCAUUCGUCCUCAGCCGUAUUCUCAUUCUGGGAAAAGUUAUGGCUCGUUCUGGGAAACGAUCAGUAGUAGUGGUGGAUGGCAGGUAUGGAAGGAUCCCGGCAAGUUCCUAUCUGAGAUUACCACCGGCCCUUCCCUGAGCUGACUUCUUUGCUAGUAGUGAAGUGCGUUUUCACUUAGCUGGAAAAGUCCAUAAUCCGUUUUGACCUCGGGAGCCUGCCCACGGAUCUGAUCAAAGUAUGAUUCCCUAGUGCCAAAAGUCCUAAAGCCUAUGGCGCCAAGCAUGGGGAGUCCGCGGAGAAGAAAAACUCUAUUUCGCUAUGGGCCAAAACUAGUGUUUUUUCGGAUUUCUAGUCUAGUUUAAGUGCAGGGCUAGAGAGUUCUCUUCCAGUAUCUUAGCUGACUGUCCGCUUGCUUGACUCGAACAAAUAGCUUUUGUUUCCACAAGGCAGAUCCCAUUCCUCGAAUGCAAAGGACAAGAAAGACGGAUUCUGGCUGGAAGAAAGGGUUCUCGUAUUGGUUCUUCUGGUGCGCUACUUCCUUGUGCUGUGCCAGAUUGGAAUUGGUAUCGGAAUCCUGGUUGGUAGAAGGAAGCUCGGGUAUUGCUUAUUGUUGAAAGCACUCGUUUGUUUCGGCUCGUGAGUUGAAAUCACUCGCUUGUUCCGGCUCGUGAUGUGUCUGACGCAUGCAUAGAAUCAAGAUCUAUUGAGACCAGGAUGUUUGUUUCUUGCUCGAAACAAGAGAUACGCUCCGGCUUAUUUGCAUUCAACUGGAGAACCUCACUUAUCAACUGCCCUGGAUUGGAUCUACUUACGAUUUGAGAAACUGGCUCCAGAACCCAUGUUUUUGAUGCAGAAUCGGUGGUUCCUUCUCUUUUUCGUGAUUUCAUCCAUAAAUCAAUGGAAAGAGCACUUUAUUCAGUGAAUUGACACGUUCCUCAUGCUUUUACAGUAGUAGUAGUCUCGGUAGCAGAAGUAGAUCCGAGUGUAGAUACCGGGAUCAUAUCACCACUAUUGACUAUUUCAAUUCAUUCACAUCUGCUCGUAUCAAUCAAAGUUUCCUAUCAAGCAAUCCCAGCAGCAAUCAAGUUGGCACCCACUAUAUAAGAUGCACUAUUUCCUGAUCUUGUCCCAAACCCAACUCGACACUUUUAGACCUGGCCUGGAUCCCUCCCUUCUCCGACAAUAUAUGCAACCUUAAAGAAAAGAGACCACUCUCAGAACGACCCUUCGGAAAGCCCCACAACAAGCUAUCCCAGAAGAAAUUGUAUAACUUGGCCAAAGUAUUCACUUCCAAUUCCCUUUGCAAUAAGAUCACAGUAGAUACUGUUUAGAAGGUUCACUCUCUCGUCUACAAAAAAUAGAUGUGUGCUUACUUCUUGGAGAUUAACUCCUGCGGGUAAGUGCACACCCUCAGUAGUAUCUCUAUAGACUUUAUAGAGUAUUUCCAAUUGAUAAAUGAUUUGUUCUUUAAGAACAUCUUUGGAUAUAUCAGUUACUUGUGUUUCAACAUUAAUAGCAUUUAUGUGAUGGAUCAUCGCCCUAACGGCGACAAGAAUAGCUAUCGACAAUGACAAACCCAAUGAUACAAUAUACUCAAAUAUAAUCGUUUCCAUAAAAAUCUGCCAUCAUUUUUUUAGUCAUACUUGUCCCUUAGCGGACUCACUCUUGUCUUGCUUCAUCUAAGGAGUGAUAAGUGCCAGGAGUCUGCCUCUAGCAUCAAUACAUGUCCUAGUUACGAACAAAGAAGCGGUGUUGUCUCCUUAGCGUUAGCGGCCUUAUGCCUAUUCCAGUAUACGCCCGUGUCAAUAUGUCUAGACUUACCUAUACCCAUGCUUCCUUCUUCUUUGACUAGCUUGCUUCCCCUAUCAAAUAGAAGGGGAAUGACUGCGUGCUUGGCCAUCGUUAGUAAGCCCACGUAGGAUAGGACCAUCAUCGAGCAAAUGUUCCUUCAAAGGCGCGGAGCGUGCUAUGGCAGAUUUUCAUCCCGCAAGAGGAUGCGCCUAACUAAAACGCCGUAAGGCAGUGCAGCUCAAUCCGUUGCUUUGCUUGUUGGAUCCACUUUUGGAAAGUUUCUUUGUUCGUAGCAUUAGUAGUUACUCACUGCAUUAGUAGUUACUCACUGGGUGGGUGCACCAACGGCUUUCUAGGAAUUUGAGUUGAAGAUUCUUUCGUGAAAUAAAAGAACGGCAGCGGCAGGUUGAUGAGGGAAAGGAAACCAGAUCUUUUUUCUAUGGUAUGGCCUGGGUGGCCUAAGUGAAAUCCCGAGAUAUGAAGGAGCCGAUCAAUCUACCCGCCCGAGGUAAGCUUGCUCCUCACUUGAGUUGAAGCUGCCUCCGCUCCCUGUCGUCAUACGGAUUGAUUUACUUUAUCUUGACAUGCGCUACACUUAUAUUUGCUAGAGAUAUCAAUCGAAAUAGGAGCCUUCUGAAAAUAGAAAUCGAUAUAUCCAUGGUAUUGAAUGGCCAAGAAUUGAAUGGGAUUGUGGCACCCAGUGAUACACUACGCCAUGUUACGAACAAAGAAAUGAUAGAAUUUCAUUAUGGCAUGGCGCUAUAGGCCAUCGAUUCGGUUAUAGGAGUAGACGCGGGCAAUGGCAAAGAGGAACAUUUGGAUGGACGACCUCCAAGACACGAGUCACUACUUUAGAACUACGUUAUUCCCUGGCGUGAGGUACACAUCCGGGGUUGAAGAAGGGACGCAUAUCAAAUAAAUGUGAUCUAGAUCCCUUUAACAGAAUAGCAGCAUCUUUGAAUUCCGAGCCGAGACUAUUAUGAUUACCUACCGAAUUGGAGGAAUCAAAGAUCCUUACUUGAGGAACUUAACUGGCACUCUACUGAUUGGACUUUACCGACUUCAAAAACCAGAAAAGAUUCUAUACCGAGCUUACCUAUCAACCAGACGGACUUGAACAACUGACCUGUAUGCUAUUGUUAUUGUCGGGCCUCCAGACCAUACCAAUUCACCGAGUUAGAAACCGGACCAGAGCUAUUAACCGACUUGACGUGCUUUCCUGACUAACAGACCGGACAGACCAAUCCAACGAACUGACUUUGCUAGCUUAUCGAGCCGAGGAGACAAGACGGAUCCAUAUAAGGAUACCAGCAACCCGAAGAGAAGAACCCCGGUUUAUUAGAGAGAUCCGUUCUAUUUCACUAGUUGGGUUUCUGUCUCGGCCUGGCAUCUUUGGACAAGAAUCAUAAGUAUAAGUAGCAGCUUCCUAUUCCUUAGUACUUUCCUGUAGUGUAGUUUCUCAAACCAGUGCUUUUCCUGGAAUGGAUAGAAUUCCUCAACUCUAGGAAAACCUGGUAUGAAAAAUUCCGUAUAAUAUGCAAAAUUACGUUUCCGUAUAAAAUAAAUAAGUAGACUAGCUCUGGACCGGAAAUCGAAACCCUGGAAAGAAAAGACAGGACAGGUAUGAAUCACUAAACCUGAGAGCUUCCUUGUCUUCUCCCAAAGCCAACUCUGGAUUUUCCUCCUUCCCGCAAAGUCAGAGUGAUGCUAUCUCUCCUCUCCCCGGCCCUCUGGGAUGAAGAAUGUCCAACAUCCUCUUCUUGGAUACCAGAUUCCAUCCUUAUCCACCUGGCUAGAAGCUGGCUAGAAGAUCGAAUUUCUUGGAAUGAGUAUAUUUUAGGUGUUUACGUAACUCAUCCAGUCCAGAAAUAGCUUGACCUGUACAAUUUCGAACGAAUCAAGAUAUCCUAUCGUUCUGGUAGCUAUAGUAGCUAUCUGUUCUUCCACUAGGAGAAGGUUUGAUUGGGAUUGUUUAAGCAAUUCCCGUCAUAAAAACAAUGGAUUCUGGCUAGUUUUAUCGAGAGCAUAGGUGAAUAAUAGGCUUGUCACUCUGCGAAUUGAGCUAGUUCCUAUUUUGAUUUGCCAGCUACUUGUUUCAUUGUGGCACAUUUGAGCCGCUGAUCCUACUCUGGAAAGUGAAAUACCCACAUGAAUAGCAGGUCGAAUUCUGGCAUGGAAUAGAUCCGCGGAUAAGAAGAUUUGUCCAUCUUGGAGAUGACAUUAGUUGGAAUAUAGGCGGAAACCACUCCAGUUGGGCAUACUCUCUUCGCCUAAAAGAAAAUUGUAUUGAGUGGCUCUUUCUAAAAGGCAUGAAUGCCAAUCAAAUCAACCCUAUCCUGAUGGAGAAUAGAGAUCCACCCACCCACCUUCUAUAUUCUCCCAUCCCCGAGGGAAGACCACGCACGGCCGAGAAAGAUGUGUCUCGUAUUCAGCAGCUCGCCUAAGUCCUAACGUUAAUGGAAAGAGUAAGAUAAGAAAGCUUAAGCGUGGUAGCCCAUAGAACAAAUAUGAGAAGUGAUGUUUUGAAAGCUUCUUAUUGAGUCUAAUACUAUCCUUUUGAAAUUCUUGGUCCUCAGAUCAGAUACCAUAACCAGCAUCUACAUGCUCAUGCUGCAAACUAUCACAUAGGUCCUAUUUCAGGUUCAUUUACUUUCUCAAAUAAGUAACUUUGUCUAAUGUUCCCCGAGCGAUUAGUUAAAACAACCACCCCCUGAUCCGAAAGGAAUGGGUGUUCCCGAGGCUUAUUCAAAGGGCUUUCUAGUGAGUUAAUGGGGAAUGAGGGUAUCACCCAUAACCAGUUUGAAGAUGCAAAAAUUAUGUUCUUGUCAAGGAGGGGGAUUAGCUACACAACCAAGGAAGGCCUUUUUAGAUUAUUAAUAUUCUGACUGCUUUUCACUCUUGUCUAGAUCUUGCUAUUGCUUAGAGGGCAGGCCGCAGGACAAAGCAAGAGCUUGCAUGCGAGGGGCGCAGCGAAUGUUUGCUUCAAAGGAGCCUGUGAGCCAGCGAUAAUUAGACCCGUUAAUUAGUAGGGACAACUUGAAGUAGGGACAACUUGAAUACUCCACCUGUGUCUAAUCAUCCACUCGACCAGCCAAUGAAACGAAUUGAGAUGAAAGUGAUCGAAAGUUAUCUCCCGUAGAAGGAGCUAUGUUUGCGAAGGAUCGAAGAGAGCGUUGAGGGCGCUAGCAACAGCGUGUUUGUUUCAACACAAGAAGUGUCGAUCCAAGCUUUAAGAACUCAAUCGUCCGUCCGACCGAAUCACUCGUUUAUGGCUCUGAUUCCAAGUCAGGGUUUAAAACAGCGGUGACCCAGCUAGUUGAAUAGUUUUUACUUGGAACACCAGACAUGAGAGCCAGCUACAAAGACAGCUAAUGAUAUCAAAGUUGACGAAACAAGAGAGUUUCAUUCAAUUCUUUUCAGAGUGUACGCCUAUGAUCAAUAGUUCCUUAUGUAAAGGAUAUUUCCCUUCUCAUAUUCUAUUCGAGAGUUAUCAGUAUUUAGCAAAGCUGUUCCUAUCUAACGGAGGGCUAUUGGAUCAAAUGAAAAAACAUUGUUGAGAAAUAGUAGCCACCCGAAGUAGAGGGAAUCCAACCUUGCCCAAUCGAUGCUCAAGUGGCCCAAAGAAGCAAUCUGAAAAGGGAAGAGCUUGUUCUGAAGGAACCGCACUCAAAGGUAAUGUUUACUUUAUCAAAUCAUUCUUACUCCUUGGUUACCCCUGAUGAAACGAUCCUAUUCAUUUGACCAUUCACUAGUUUGUAAAUUGCGCCUACUUCAUGCACAUAACUCCACUCUACUGGAGGCUUGGCAUGCUCGAAAAGAAAAAAACGGAGUCAAUCUUUUCAAAUUCCUUGCGAACAAUACCGAAGACUUGCGGUGUGUAGUUGCUUGUGUGAGAUUUCUCAAGAUUGUAGAAAGGGGUUUUUAAAACAGGUUCCUUCCGUCUGAGAGGCUUUGCAAUCCAACUCAGUCUCCUUUGUGUGCGCACACACGCAAGCCAAGUUUCACUUUGAAUACCCCUGCCUUCCUCUCCUUUCAGUAAGUUUGGUAUUCUGUCUUGUGAGGUAGGAAAAGCCAUCAUGUUUAGGAGAUCAACAAAGAGUGAAUUGGUACAUAUGGACAUCGUGAAAAUAAGGAACUAGGGGAGUUACAGCAUAGUGAAUGUAAAGCUUACCUACCCGCCUAUCCUGCAUUGCUGACCUACCUGUACGAAUGUGCUUAAACGGAGAAUGAGGCGCCCUACCAAAUAUCCUGCUUGGGGCUCCCUACAAAUAGAAUUUAGGGAAUCCCUGCAGUGAACGAUGACAUUAUAUGGGCAAGAGCUUUACUUGUCCAUCACGGACUACUUUUCUCUCCGUUCAAUAGUGAGUUGCCUGAUAGAUAUCCUUCUAUGCUUCUUAUCUCUUAUCCUUUGCUGCGCGCCUUGCUAUUCUUUAUUAUAUAUCGUAUCAUUUGUUCCAUUCUCAAUGGUUGGCCAGAGGCCAGGAUGCUUUAGUUUAUCGGAUCGAUCGCUGUGGUCAAGUGCGCUGGUCUCUUUCCCAAGUCACAGGGGUACGGAUACCAGAAGUAGAUCCAGCAGGAGGUGGUAGCCAUUAUUAUUGAGAAAUAUAAAGAAAGCCGCUUCGUUCCCUUGUUUACUGAACUCUUUUUGGGAGAUAGGUCUACCGUUGCAAACUCAUUUUCUUGUAAAUUCAUUGUCUAAAAUAACUCGUAAAUUCAUUGUGCCAGAAUUGAUCAUCUAACUAGAACUAGUACUAGAUAUGAGCGUUAUUUCUGCGGGUUGCUAGUAGUUUGUUUCAUUAUCCCUCCCCGUCGUCCUCGAUGAUGAACCUUACAGAUAGGUCCCCAUUACGCACCUGUCUCUCUGCCCUGACCCAGUUUACUGCUCGAAAAUAGUAGCGGGAACUGUUUCCAUGAUGCUUAAGACUUUCAUACACGACCCAAAGCUUCUCUGGGUCAUUGAGCUCCUCUUCCUUGUGCUGGAGGGCCGAGGCAGCGAGAUCCUCGACGCUUUCCUCCGCGAAGUGGUAGCUCAAGACCGAGGUAGCAUCGAGGUCUCUUAACAGAGCGCCGAUGUGCUGGUGGUAAUUAAGGACUAGGGCUAGCCGUUCUUCUUCCCCCAUUGUAAGCGGUCGUCCUUCGGGCAGAUUUACACGAGCCUGACCUCCCUGCGGGAGAUACGGGGCUACGGCGCGGGACAGGUCGUCAUCGCCUAAAUGCAUCAGAUUAGUAGAUGCUUGAGCCCUUGCUUGCUCCCCGCCUUCCGUCAAGCCCCCGGGGGUUUGACUUGUGGACGCGACUUGUUUCUCACGCCUAUUGGCACCCCCCUGGAGAAGCGCAUCCCAGAAGCUAUCCUCCAGUGGUGUAGCCCUAGCCCCUGACCCCGACGGAUCCUCAUUUUGCGCGGGGUCGUUACCCGGUGAGCAUUCUGUAGGAGUAAUGUUAGACCCCAGCACCGCGCUACAACAAAAGCCGUAAAAAACUUGCACAGCCCAGACCGGGCAACGCGGACAUAAAGCGCGAACCAACAUCCGUGAUACGAAAACCGAAAUAAGAAUGAGGAAGAAAAACAUAUCCAGAUGAAUUUGAUUUAAAUUUAAACCCAAAAAUAACUUCCCAAACAAUUUGGAACAAACAAGUUCCAUACGAGACAUAAUUAACAACAUGGAAUGUCAGAGAAAUUCAAAUUAUGUAAGUUUGAUAAAACAAAGUCCCUCGUAGAGUCCACGGGGAGCCUACUUCUAUUUUUUCUGUAGUCAAACUAAGACUGGAGCUUGAAGCCACUACUCUAGAACCGGAAGAAGCCUAACUUUUGCAUUUUUAGUAUUUUUUCUUACUGUCAUUUCCGUUUAAUUACAAUACGAAAAUCUUCGAUUGGUAGAAGUGAGUCCAGAUCUCCCUCUUUUCCACUAAACCAUUUAAUUUCUAUAUGAAAAUAAGAGAUGCUUCUAGGGACAAUCAAGAUCACUAGGAAAGAGCUGAGUUAAAGUGGCACUCACUUGAUUAAAGGGUUUUGUGUGUACUGACUGAUCUAAGUGCAGAACCAUUCAAGAAACGUAAUUGAAAGAAAGAAAGAGCGCUAUUCUUCUCUAGUUAGGUACUGCCAUCAAUGAGUUUGCUAAGAAAGACCCCGGUGGAAUAUUUGGCCUGCUUACUAACUUAUAGGCUUUAGAGGGGACCCUUUCUCGCCCAGCCCUACCUACAGGGAUUGUAGGAUUUCGUUUGCAACUCUUUUUCCUAGAAAUCUCAAUCCAGCGAGUCACUACUCUUUUUCUCAAACAAGAAGCUGACAAAGAGAUCCAUCCAUUUGAUUUUCCCAAGAGACUAGUUUGAUUCCACCAAAGUCUCUCUUAGCGCAUAAGUAGAAAUUCAUUAUGAUUAGCAUGAAAACCAUUUUGCAAGAUAUCAAGAAAUUCUUUAAAUAAGUCAUCAUUCAUUAGCGCGUAAGAGCAUUCAUUCUAUCAACAAUAUUUCUCGAACUGGCGCACUUCCCUGUAGAGAGGAAAGUAGGAGAUUUCUCGUAAGGAUUAUACGUGAUUUUCCCAUUAUGUGAGCGUGCAUUUCCUCAAUCAUUAAGAAUUGGGCUUUGGGAAGAAAAACUAGUUCUAUGUCAAUUCUACAGCCAGAGGAAGAAUCAAGUCUAUCUCACUCAUAUAACUGCCAGUGGCACUAUUUCUUUUCAGGACAAACCUUUUAUGGUAUUUUCACUCCGAUUGCGGGAGGGAAGCAGGGCUAUAGAAAUCAGUUCAGAAAAGGACUGAUUGAUAGACUUAAUUUUACGGAGAAGAAAGGAAUAUUCACAGCAUUCAUCACUUCUAUAUUUUACUAUGAUUUUUCGAGCGUGUAUAGAGCCUAUCUAGCUCUAUUUCCUAGUUUCUCCUUUAAGUUGUGAGGAUUGAGUUUGCUUUGAUUCUGGUUCAGGGCAAGGGCUACUUUCUUGAGUUCGUAUAAGCAUGGAUCUAAUCUUACGUGGAUUGGUUAUCGAGAUGAGAAGACCGACACUUUAAAGCGGGUAACGUAAAGGAUAGUCGAAGUAGAGAUGCCAGGCCGGGUCUUAUACUAGUAGCUUCAACCCAGUAGGUUAUUUUGACUGGCCCUUUAGUUGGCAACUCGACUCCAACCCGAUCUGGAAGAGGAUUUAUUUUUUGCGAACUCAUAACUUAGCUAAAUGGGGAGAACGAAGAGGCGUGGAAAAUUGGGGGACGGACUCCUCAAUACCGGAUGAAGUUGGCUUACUUAAGUCCUUGGAGCUUCCCCCGCGGUAGAAGAAUCUAUCUUAAGGAUAUCGUCGGCAUCACAACGAAGACACACAUUCCGCACUACUUGCUCAUCCCACGACUUCCCAUCAAAUUUUCGUAGAUCCCUCACAAUCGAGUUAGGCCGAUUAGGGAAUUUCUCUCUCUUCGAACCUUGGGAUCCAGUAGUCCACCCAAACUUGCUGUGCUUAAACCAUCUCCAAUGCGCCAGAUCAGACCCGCCCAAAGAGUUUCCCUUGCAGCACAAACACCCUCCUCCAUGUGAUCGAAGCCUGAGGCGGAACCUUUGCCCUUAGACAAUAUCUAUUCGGGUAGUCACGCCCUUGAAGCACCUGAGCACAUAGAAAAUCAACGGCAGUCAACAGACUUCAUCUCAACUGAGUGUGCCGGUCCCAGGUUCUCCAGUGGAGUCGAUAUGUGUGAGUUGAGUCUAGCAGGGGCAGGGGAGUGAGAAUAGUCGACAGUUGAAUAGCUUGGCCAGAGAAAGAGGGAAUGAAUGACCGGUCUCGUUCUGGAUCUCUUUCCUUGCGCCCUAGUCCAUUCCAUCUAUCUUGACUGCAACUUGGAUUCUUUCUUGACUGCUAUUUGGAUUCGUAGUCCCUCAAAUCUCUAAGCAGGUGGCUAGAAAACCUUCCGGAAUAGGAGGAAUAUCUGAUAGUUUCUCAUCAGGAAUGGAAUUCGGUUUCCAAUCUGGUCACACAUGAAUCUUGCCCUAAAGCAAUUUCUUGAUUAGGAGCAGUAGGUGGCCCAUAGAAAGGAAUGUCUGCCUAUCCAUAGCCGGGCAAAUUGCUGCAUAUUCAAGUCACCCAAUUCUCUUCUCUUGCACUAUGUCUAUUGGAAUGGACCCUUGAUUCUCCAGCAGAUCCUCCUGGUAUGGAAGGAUAUCAUCCACAAAACAGAUUGCUGAAAAUGCCAUCCAAGUUCACAAAGGAGCGGUCUUCCUAAUAUCUCUUUUGUUUGUGGGAAUCUCUAGUGAGACCUUUUGAUUUCCGGGGUUUCCUACUGUCUUUUGACUUUGUCGUACUCUGCAUAAAAUCUAGUAUGGUGGUCCAGUUAUUUCUAGAAUAUUUCACAGGAUGAUCGUGUGCGGCUCCUAUCCAGCUAACCAAAUGGAUCAGUACCUGUUUGCGAAUUUCUCUUUCCCAAAGAGGACACAACGAUUCGAAAUUCAGGAAAUCUCCGAAUUCUCAAUGUGCAUUUUCUGGUCCUUUCUUAUGGACAAUUCCGUUUUCCCAUUGGCAUAAAGACUUGUUUGACUAUGAUCCACGAACCAAUUCACAUACUCAUCGGAUCUAUCCUUCGAAGAGAGUUGAUCCACUAUUUGCAGGACUUCCGCACCCUCGAUAGAAUGAAUGAAAUGACUGAGCAUAAAAUCCUAUAUAGCAAGGAUAGAUUAUACGGAAUAGAAGAGUCGGUUCUAAGCUAAUAAAAGUAUGAAUUCCCAUAGCAAUAGCAAAGAAAAAGGAAGCCCAUAUCUGAUAUAUUGCUGAGGCAUCUUGGGAAAGAAGUGUCUCUCGCAUCCGCCGGCUAUGAAUUCAAUAAGAAAAUCCAUGUGACUCAUGCAGAUCAAUACGGAAAUGGCAAGGCAUUCAACUUGACCCAUUCAUUCUCGACCAUACGCCCUAAGCUCCUAAAUCUCUGACCUGCCUCCCUUAUACUAAGAAGAGAAGUAUUUGCUUGCUUGCUGGUUGAAGUCUGCUCGUCGCAUUCUAGUCGUGCGUGAUAGAAUAGGCCCACAUAAAGAGAAAGCGGAGACCUUCCCAAGGUUACUCAUCUAGAUCUGGAUAAUCACUAGCUAUAUUAUUUCCUGCUCCUAAAUUCUCGUAAAUAGAGGAUAGGCCCGGCACCCCACAGUCACGGCACCUCUAAGAAGACACCUAUUCCCGGCGCACUCCAUGUGAAAGACACCUAUUCUCGGCACUAUUCCAUAGCACACACACUUAUACUUAAGUAGGCAUAGCUCCGUUAAGAGCUCAUCGAACUUGACUUCUAGAGUGAGACCUGUGAUAGAAGGGGUAAAGGUGAAUUUUGGUCCUCUUUCUCUCGGAAAUAUACGCCACAUGCCUGUGAUCGAUCUCUCUCUUUCUAGGUAUCGGUGAAGUCCGUCAUGGAAUUUAAGUGGUAGAGUGGUAAGUGGGCGUACGGUCUAUGGAUUUCCUAUCAGUGGCAUUAUUCCUUCUCUAGAUAGAUGGCUAUUGAGCUUCUCAUUCGUGAGAGUCAUGCGCCGGAUCAAGGGCUCUCUCAUCUCCUAUUUGGAAAUGUAUAGGUUGUGUAAGUGGCCAGUGCCCGCGGGUAAAGGCUGAUCAUCAAAAGUCAUAUAAUCCAUCUAAGUGCCGGUAUUGCCCAGUGCUUGUCUGGAGUUGUCAUGAUACCCGGAUACUCACCUCACUAUACGCCAAUUCAGGGAAAGGUCAUGCUGGGAAGCUUCAUUGAAAGAUAGUCUCAACACUCUCGAUGAGAAACGACAACCCAGCUAACAAAGGUUUAUGCAUAUGUUGGUCCACAUGCAGAGGAAGUCAAGGUUUCCAGAUGUGCUCAUCCCUGCUUGCUGAUAUGCAAAUCGAUUGGAAUUGGCAAAUCAUAGAGUUUGUCGCUGACAAGAGCUGUUUUGGCCAUGGUGAUCCUCCUCUCAAUACCCAUUCCUGCGAAUUCCCAAUCCAAUUAUAUUAGUAUAAUGUGUAGAAGAAAAAGGGGAAUCCAUGAGAAAGCCCAUAUUGUUCGUGGCAAUGGAACAUUCAUUUCCAGUUUUGUGAAUGGAGAUCACUGACGAGCACUCUUGCGCAAAUCAAGAGUAAAGGUAGGAGCUAUGAAGCUGUCCCGGGUAGGAAAGGAUCCCUUUGAGUUCAUAUUGCUGCAGGAGAAAGAGAAGGGCACAAAGCUUCUAUAUACCACUGGAUUCCACCAGACUGUUCUGUGGAAAACACGGCACCCUAUCCCUUCCCUGACGGGAACCUGGAUACCAUAGCAUAGGAACCUCCCCUUCCCUGACAGGAACCUGGAUACCAUAGCAUAGGAACCUCGAAAAUACGUAUUAUAGGUUGGUUGUAUACACACUCAUCCUUUAAGAAGAUAAGAGAGCCCCGCGGACAUUUCCUUCCUCGGAACCAGGAAACUGAUACUGCCUCGAUUCUGCUUCCGUCUAUCAUGUCCAAUCUUACUUUCGUGCCGAUGAAGGGCAGUCCGGAAGGUGGAGUUAGCACCGGGCCUAUUCUUAGAAGCUGAAGUAGGAGUAGGAGCACUCUUCUUCCUCAAGCGUAGCCAUAUUAGUUGGAUCCGGCAUCCUUUUCGACUGGAGAUACCCUCACAUUACCGGCUUCCCGGCAUACUGGCAAGUUUACUUGACUCACCCAUUCUUGAGAUUGGCCUAGCCACUACUUUGUUUGAUUUCCUUGUCACUGUAGUAAGCAAGUGGCACCUAUUGAUCUACUUCCCUCUAGCAUCACUCAUCCUUACGGCACGAGUCCAUCCAUCCCUCGACCGAAGAGAGUCUUCCUCCUCACGGAACUAGGGUUUGAUUUCAUAGACAAGACUUUCGAGCGCGACGUUGCGCACAUCCUCUUGCUUGGUAUCUUUUCUAGUGUGCAUCACAUUCAUUUUCCUUUCCAGGAAUUUUCCUUUCAUGUAGAUAUGAUAAUCUUCGUGGAAUCAACCUAAUAUAGGAUCUGCCAGUAGUACUUUCGCGGGAUUUGAAAGCAGGCAAACUUAUGAUGCGAGUCUAGUUAGAAUAGAACCAGUGCACUCUGAAAUCCGAACCAACCAAUAUGCUUCGCUUUCCUCUGCUUGUAUAGACUCCGUUCGUGCUAGGACAUCCAUAGCCAAUAGUAAUAGUAGCUAGUAGCUUCGCCCCCCCCUUGCCCCCGGAAAGGUUCUCAUUCCUCACUGGAUCUAGUUGACUUGCUGCUACAUCAAUCAAUCUAUCUAUAUGUUCCGGACGGAAGAGAGAGUUUCCUACAUUGCCAUUCCCAUGAACUGAACAUCGGGUACCAACGAUCUGGAAUCCCGUGCUGAAACCUACAGAUAUGCACCUGUGCGGACCAACCUGGCAAUCCUCCUGUCUAUUCUUUCUAUCUGGACUAGCGCUUCCCACUGGAGCUUACUACUUGACUAGAGCACUGGAACUUGUUAGUUUCAUUAGUCAGUUUCCUAGCAUAGCAAAGUGAGUUUCCCAUCAAUGGAUAAUCAUCCUGUUGUUUCCAUGAACAUCAGGUACAUAUAUGAACCUGUCAACGGAGCGGAACAUAUGAUAUGAACCAAGUAGAUUCAUCUCUUUGCUCGUAACGUUAGUAGUUACUCGCUCAUUAGUAGUGAACUAUGAUCAUUUGUGAGGAAUAUGUUUUCAACUCUAUGUAUGUCAAUUCGAGAGUAGAGCAAUCUAUGUCAACCAAGAGCAGAACUCUCUCUAUUUCUGGCACAGGCUUUCUUUCAAUCAAGAAGAAGAUUAUUUCAGAUUUUAUCACUAUCCGGACUGCUAUCUACUAUCUACCUACCUAUCUACCCGGGCUCGUUGUGAGGCGGGACCCAACCCUCCUCUUCACUCCACUACUUCAAUAGAAAUGGAUCCAUCAUCUGCUACCCAUGAGUAAUAACAUUACGAAUCUACCACUAAUCCCGAGGGCAAGUAUGAAAAAGAGAGUCAAGCAAGGUUGUAUUCGUAUGUUCCAUUUGAGUAAGCCUCUGAUGCCCUGCGCAUCUAGUUAGUACUUACGGAGCUUAAAAAUCCCUUAUUUUAAGCUCUUUUUCCAUUCGAUUCCUUCAAUGCUUCACCGUACUGACUCAAACCUUCGGACCAAAACCUGCAAGGAUACAGGUACUCUUUCGCGUAUCUAUAGUACGCGCCAACUACUACCUAAGCACUCGAAUAUUCGUAUUUCAUUUCGAAUGAAUCUAUAAAACAAAUAGAAAAUGUUCAUGAUCCAUUGACAAAAAGCAAGACGCCGAUCAAGGCACUCAUUCCUUUCGCUUAUUACGUUCUCUGUUAGAACUGUUUAUAGACAUAGCCCUUUAAAGGCGAUAUUUACUGGACCUGCACCCUUUCCUUUGGGCAACGAAGAGUGCAUUGUCCAUCCAGUAUUUGUUUGCUGGUUCUCUAUGCUUUCUUUUGACUGGAAACCUAGGCUAUUCUCAGUGCUCUUACUUCAAGGAUAAAACAAACUAUCUAUUAUAAAAAUCCUUAUCACUACAAGCUCCAAUACCACGGGGUAGCGACAGAAAUGUGAAUUAGUACCCGUAUCUGCUGAUACCUGAAUUGCUUCCACUUUAGAAUCAGCUAGGCGAGAGCCCUGUUGUCCUACUGAAAUGGAUUCUAAUAAAUUCACAAGCACACGGAUAAUGAAUGGAAGCAGAUAGAACCUAUUC